Molecule: long non-coding RNA, 129549 nt
Filed under: Citrus sinensis (sweet orange)
Lineage: Eukaryota; Viridiplantae; Streptophyta; Magnoliopsida; Sapindales; Rutaceae
Description: long non-coding RNA (CSIN_LNC004962)
Source: RNAcentral
UGAUUGUAAGAGACUAGAGGCCUUACCCAAGGGAUUGCACAAUCUGACCUCUCUUCAAGAAUUAAAAAUAGGAGGUGAGCUUCCAAGCCUUGAAGAAGAUGGCCUUCCCACCAACCUUCAUUCACUUUGGAUUGAUGGUAAUAAGAAGAUUUGGAAGUCAAUGAUUGAGCGGGGCCGGGGAUUUCACAGAUUCUCCUCUCUGCGACAUCUUACAAUUAGCGGUUGCGAUGACGACAUGGUGUCAUUCCCACCGGAGGUCAAAAGAUUAGGGACCGCGCUUCCCCUUCCUGCCUCUCUAACAGCUCUGUGGAUUUACAAUUUUCCAAAUCUAGAACGUCUAUCUUCUUCAAUUGUUGAUCUUCAAAACCUCACUUCAUUGCAUCUCUGGGAUUGUCCCCAAGCUCAAAUACUUUCCGGAGAAGGGCCUGCCUUCCUCACUUUUGCAAUUGUGGAUCUGGGGAUGUCCGUUGAUAGCAGAGAAGUGCAGAAAGGAUGGAGGACAAUAUUGGGACUUGUUAACCCAUAUACCUUCUGUUAGUAUAGCUAAUAUAUGGGAUUUUGAUGACUCGACCGCGGACGACUGAAAUAUUUUAUUAUUAGUUUUUUUUCUUUAAAUUGGGCGUGUAUUAUGUGUUGGUGAUUAAUAGGUUUUCGAAAUAAAAAAAAACAAUGGGCUCGCAUUAUUUAGCAAAGGAGGAGGACUCUAUUAAUUAAUUUCUUAUGCCUAUCUCAUUCUCAGCUGUUGAAACUUCAGUUUCUUAUAUUUGUUCUUCCGCCGUAUGGUUACAUAUGUAAAAUAUUUUAUUAUUAGAAUUUUUUUUUCUUUAAAAUCAGGUGUGUUUGUGUAUGUAAUUUUAAAAUUCAAAUCUCAGUUGAAAACUGUUUUAAAUUAAUAAAAAGUAAAAUGUUAGGUAGAGUAAGGUGGCGUUUGUUUUUUUGUCUGAAAUCUGAAUAGACCUGAAUUAGUCUGAAUUCUGAAUAGGUCUGAAUGUCUGAAUCUGAAUAAUAUGUUUGUUUUUUCGUCUGAAUCUCAGAAAAUAAGUAUUAAGUUAUUUUUUUUUUCAACUUAAAAAGCUAAAAAUAUGUACGUUUACAUUUGUAUCCUUAUUAAAUUUGAAUGUCAAAUAAAUAAUAUAUUAAAUAUCACAAUAUUUUAACAUUUAUAAGUAAAACUAUAUUCAAGUGAAUACAUAAUUAUUUUAAAAUUUUAAUAUAUAAAAUACCAUUAAUUUCAAAUUUUAUCGUAUAUAAUAUAAGAAAGAAAAAAUAUGGAUAUUUUUAUGUGGGGUAAAUAUCUAUGGGUGAGUUUUGGGAUAGACAUGAAAAAUAAAUUAUAAAAUAGGGAUAUUUUUGACAUUAGCAAGUAAUUGACUUAAUUCAGAUUUCUCCAUUAAGUAAAAAGCCAAAAAAAUUAGCUUAUUUUAUUAAGUCAAAAUUAUUUAAAAAGUCUCAUUAAGUUAUAAAAACAAACACCUCUAAUUAACUUAAUUAAUUAAGUUAAGUCACUUUAAGUUAUUAAGUUAAAAAACAAACGCCACCUAAGACGCUCGCUUUAUUUUAGCAGCGGGGGACAUAUUUGUAUUAAUUAAUUAAUUAAUUAAUGGAUUAAUUUCUUAUGCGUAUCUCAUUCUUUAGCUGUUGAAAUAAACUUCAGUUUCUUUUAUUUAGCUGUACGGUUAUAUAUGUGUAAUAUUUCUCUUCUUCGGCAAAAGUUGUUAAUGUUCUUAUUAGUAAUUAAUUAGUACGUUAAUGUUCUUCUUUUGUUGUGUUUGUAUAACAACAAUACUACCCAAUAUCAAUUGAUCAAGUAAAUUAAAUUUAGUUAAUUAAUAGUAAACCGACCAUAAUUUAUCAAAAACAUUUUAUUAUAUAAUCUUCGUACAUGUACGUCGUCAUCAAAUCCCAUAACAACCAAAAGAAAACAAGAACAUGCCACACAAUAAAGCCCAAUAAAAUAUCAAAAACGAAAAAGCAAACGAAGCCAAGCAUUUGCCCCAAAAAAAAAUCAAAAACAAAAAACAAACGAAGCUACGUACAUUUCGAUUUUUGUGGCCUUAACUUAAUAUCUUCACCAGAACUCAUCAGCAAUGACGUUAUAAUGUUCUUUUAAUGCCUAUUGUAAAGUGGUUUUUGAGUGCUAAUUAAACACACGAGGGCUUGACCAUAUUACAAAAUUAAUUAUAAUCUUCAAUUGCUGUUAGUAUGAAUUUAUAAAUACAAUUUCAUCAGUUACUGAAUAUUUGAAUUCACCAACUGCAAUGGAUCUUCAUAUUAACACAUCAAUAUGACAGAAAAGAUAAUGUCUUCAUGAAUUGGAGUGGGAUAAAUUUUUUCCCUCUUAAAAUGCAUAAUAAAGGCUAAAGAAAAAAACUUUUUUUUUCUUUUUUAAUUUUCAUUAACAAUAAAACCAGGCGUGUUAUUAGCUAUAUUAAUGAAUUGAACAGCAGAUAUAUAUAUAUAUAUAUAUAUAUAUAGUUACAAAAGCACUUUAUUACAUAAUAUAUAGCAUUUUAUUACAUAAUCUUCGUACAUAUAAACCAUCAUCAAAUUCGAUAACAACAAAAACAGAAAAUUGAAGGAGAAAGCGAAUAGAAUUUUAAAAGCAAAAUAAGCAAAACGUUAGCCUCAAAAAAUUUAAAAACAAAAAGCGAACUAAGCAAAGCAUCGUCACUAGAAGAAUUAGUUUUAAGCUUUAGUGGGCUUAAUUAAUUUUAAGCUUCAGCUGCCUUAAUAUAUUCACCAAAAGCAUUACCAGCUGCGUCAUCAGCAUUAAUAAUACGAGUUUAAUAAGCCAAAGCUGCCUCUUCCCUCAACAAUAAUGUUAAAAUGUUUUUUUAAUGGUGUUGCAAAGUGGUUUUUGGUUGCUAAUUAUAAGCAGAGGCUGGACUGUAUCACACAAUUAUUUAUACUCCCUAAUUUAAUGCACUUUAAGCAACUUCUUGAAUUAAUCGUUUCUGUACCUUUGCUAUUAGUAUUUAUAAAUACAAUUUAACAGUUAUUGAACAUUUGGAUUCGUCAAAAUUGCUGCAAUUACAAUGAAUCUUCGUGUUAACACAUUAAUAUCACAGAAGAGGACGAAUUACGAGUGGGAUAAUUUUUUUUCCCCUCAAAACGCAUACUAUAUGCCAAAGAAAAAGACUUUUUUUAAAAAAAAAGAUAUUUUUAUGAACAAUAAACGAAUCGUAUUAAUUCUUAGAUGCUGUAGGACUAGGAUUUAUAAAAAAUACUUUAUUGUUGUCAGUACAUACAAAUCAUCCUCAAAAACCCAUCAAAAUACAUUAAACAGAGAAUCUAAAGAGAAACAUCUCACAACAAAACCAAUAAAAGAUCAUAAACAAAUAGCACAUCAAGCAAAGCUAUCAUUUCUUUCUUUAAUUAAUUACAUUUGAGCCUUAGUGGCCUUAAUAUCUUCAUCGAAAGAAUUACCAGACUCUUCAUCAAUGUUAAUAAUCUUAGGCUGCCUCUUCUUCUCUUCAGCAAGCUUUGGCACUGUGAUCCUUAGAACACCAUUUUCCAAAUGAGCCUUAGCAUGUUCCAAGUCAACACUCAUUGGCAUCCUAAACUGCCUCCAAAACUUGCCAAAUGUCCUCUCAGCUCUGUGCCAUUUCUCUCCAACUCCCUCCUUAUAAUAAUAAUUACUCUUCCUCUCCCCACUCACUCUCAGUGUACUCGGUUCUCUUCAACUUCAAUCUUCAUAUUAUCUUUCUUCAUCCCUGGAAUGUCGAGCGUGAUCACGUGGGCUGUUGGUGUCUCCAUCAAGUCUGCUCUCGCCAGGGCUAGAGUUUGAUGAUGAUCAGCUACUUUUACGAUUGUUAAAGGGGUUUGUUCAAGAACCCUGAAAGGCUCUUCCGUCAUUGGGAACGUCAUGUCAAAGAAAGGUGAUUGUGUGUACAGCAUCAGAGCGUUUGCUUGUGAUGCCAUGUUCAUCAAUGUUGCUGCCAUAACAAGAAACAACAUUGUCAUUGCAAGAAUUCUUGGUUUUUCCAUCUGGAUAGCUAGCUAGCUUUUUGAGAGUGUUUGUUUGAAGCUAAGUGUUUGUUGAUUUUCUGGUGAAAUGAAAGGAGGUGAAUUAGAAAAAUAUAUACACUUAGACUGGAUUAUAGCUCGAUAUCUGGAUAGUUCUUUAGAAGUCUUUGCGAAAGAAACUUAGAGAAAAUUCUAGCACAGCGUAGAGACUAGAAGAAACGUUUUGCAGAUUGUUCUGGAGAUUGAAAUUCUUUUGGUUUGGGAAUCUUAGUUGGAAGCUUUGCUAGAAUUAGAAUAUGCCACAGGUUACUUAAAAUAGGCACGUGUUAUUUAAAAUUGUUUUGUAUUAAUAUUGAACCAAUUACUCGUAACUUAUUAUAAAACACAAUUUCAUGAUUAUUGUAUAAAUCUACAGUGGAAUUGUUCAAAUGAAAGCACAAUUGGGAAAAUAAUGUCUCAAUUCUCAUGGGAGACAACACUAAUCAGUGUUGUCAUAUACUAUAAUCUCAAAACGUCACAAUUGUUGCUAACCAGUAAAAACCAGUUCAAUUUGAUUUUCGAUUUAUUCACAACUGAGGCGUGAUGGGUACCAUCAUCAGGCAAUAGAAAUAAAUCAUGGCAAAUGAUAAUACCAUUUUUUAGUUUACUACGUGUACGAUGCUUUUGAAUUUAGCUAUGCAAUCCAAAGCUCGUUCAAAUUCGCUUUCUUGCAGUGCAAUCGUGAAGCGACAAUAGCCAGGAAUUCCGGUCCACGAGCCACUGCUGAUGCACAAACCAGUUGCCUUGACUAUGGCUUCCCUGAUAUUUGAGUCAUCAAGCUUGAUUUGUUCUGUAGCAGUUUUCUCACCACUGCCAGAUGAAUGCCGGCUGAUCUUUACAGUUUUGUUGAGAUAGGCAGAGGGCUUCGCCACCAUUGAAACACCACCGCAGGAUUGAACCACUUCCCACCCACAAUUCUCAAGUACCUGUUGCAGAAAGAUCACCAUGGAGAAAAUGGUAGGCCAUAUAUUUGGAAUUGAGUAAUAUAAUUCAAAGAUUAUGUACUACAUGUAAUUGGUUAAUUCAAAUUUUCUUGUAAGAGGGCAGAUAGAAGUACCUCUUUCAAGCGCUUUGAUCUACUUUCCAAGUUUCUUAUAUGUUCUGCAACAGCAUUCAUCAAGUCUCUUGCUUUUCGCUCUCUCAGACCAAGCAACGGCUUUAUAGCGUAUCUGACUGUGCUAUGAGGCUUGCUUAAUCCCGAAAAGCUACUAAAUGCAUCAACCAACUGAGGAUGAGGUUAUACUGUAUAAGUACGUACAAAACUCUAUGUUUACACAAAAAGACUGGACGAAUAACAAGCAUGUGUUGCAUAACUCACAACAACAACACAUUCCACAGUCAAAUUAAAUGAGCAGAUAAAUAACAUGAGAAUCAAGAUUUCUUCAAACCAAAUAAAUCGACAAAUCCAAAAAUGAAUUUAACUACUUGAGGGGACAGGAUGCAAAAGGAAUAAGGGACACCAUUAGACAGAAUUUCACAUUACAGUAUUUGUCCAAUAGACAUAAGAAUGACAAUAAAAACAAUACAAAUUAUCACAAAUUGCAUGAAGUCGAAGUUGUCUGAAGAAAUUCUAAUCAGGAUAAAAGAAGAUAAGCAAUUGGUCCCUAGAGCUCUACGUAUUGAGAACAAAAAAUAACAAGAUUGUUUCAUACGUUAUUCAUCACAAACAAGUAAAUGACCAAUAGAUUCCCUCCUAAACAUGAUCACGUGGGCUGUUGGUGUCUCCAUCAAGUAAAUGACCAAUUGUUUCAUAUGAAUGCACCAAGCUCACAUGCAAAGAAAUUGAGAUAAUGCAUCAAGAGAAACAGAACCCAGGAGUUCACGUGCAAAGAAAUUGAAAAAAUGCAUCAAGGAAAACAGAACCUGGGACAGACGAUACAAAAGUUACUUGUCCAGAGAAGUACAAAAAUAGAUGAGUAGUUAAGGUUUUCUCACAUCAGCAUUUAGCGGAAUAUGGUGGUACUUUUUCAUGAAGUCAGCAAUCAGGUUCCUGAAUCUUUUGCUUCCAGCUGGUGGCUCAUAGGGGAAAAAAGAACACUCUUUUAGAACACUGGCAAGAUAAGCCAGGAAUGGAAUCUUCUCAUCAGCAAUUGAAUCAUCUUCAAAAGAUAAAUCCAAAGAACUGUUGAUCUCAUGGAAGCCAUUUUUCAGAAACUUAAAAAUUUUCUUAACCUGUCCAUAAAUAUAAGUUGAUAUCAUUUUAGCUCACUUCCCUGGUCAGAGCAAUUACCCACUUUAUCAAUAAAACCCAAAUGAAAUGUAAACCUGGUUUGGUUGACGGAGUUGACAACUAUAAACUGCUAAAGCAUGAGAGAUACGUCCACCAGCCUUUCCGUAGGCCCAUGCUGUUCGAGCACAAAUAGGUAAGUCACCAGAAAGUCCCAUGAAGAACUCAAAACGAUGACUGUUCUUCUCAAUUUCAACUAAAGCUGAAAUAUCUGUAUCAGAAGCCUGCAAAAACACAUUCAAGAGGUGGAUAUUUGGGAUGGAUGAUGAAUUUCCACAAAUAAAAGUUCACUUGCCUGAAGAAUUUUAGUCUGCCAAAGCUUGUCGACACGGAAACCACGGCGUUCAAACAAACGUUUACAAACGCCCUGUCAUGGACAACCACCCAUAUUGAAGAUCAUAAUCCCGGAAGGUUUGAUGACACCAAUUCCUUCCUCAACUGCUCUAGCAAUUAGACCUAAGCCAAACUGAUCCUCUACAAAACCCUGCAUACAGGGAAAAUAAAUAAAUAAAUAAAGAAGAAGUAAAAGGUGAUACAGCUGUGUAUUGACCUUUUAUGUUUUAUCUCUCAUUUACACAGCUUAGCCUUCAUAAUAUAUACAAAUAUGUUAAGAACAAGAUAUUGAAAACACAAUUGAAGCAGUCAAUCUUUCAGGGCACUAAAAGGUUUCGCAAACUCCGUGCUAUAGAUUUUCCCAACGUCAAAGGCUUUUAAAUUUAAGUCAACAUGAACCUUGAGAAUAAAAGUGAUAAAGACCGCAGUCAUGAACAGAUUUCAAAUGCAACAACUUGAUACAAUAUAUUCAUUAUUAGUCAAUCUACUAGUACUCUAUUCAAAAAGCAAUCUGUCAAAAUGAAUAAACUUUCUCAGUCAUCCACAAGACAUAACAGAUAGUUGUUGAGUGCACCUAGAAACAGGAACUAUGGGAAUCAAUGUUAUUGUGAAGAGGUUAAACACUAAGAAAAAACUAAAAUCAGGGGAAAAAAAAAAUCUUUCAGAUCAAGUUUCCCUAUCUCCUCUCAGCAUCUGUCAAACUCAUAUUAUCCUUUUCCCACGGUCUUCACUGGUUUGCUUUAUUUCCCAAUGAACAACUAAAGACAUCAACCUUACCUAAGUUAUGCAAGAUUCAAACCAAAAUUAUAACACGUAUACUUAUAAAUAUGUGAAAGUAGAGGAAGCCUGUCAACUUAAUUGCUAACUUCCCCACAAUUUGCAAUUGCGUAUUACAAUUAAAUUAUUUAGAAUAUCUUCUAACCUGCAGCGCACAAUAGUUACUCAAUGAAUACAGAAAUUCCUCGCUUGCAUUUUCAGUGAUUAUUUUGGACAUUGCAUCGGGAUUGGGGUUAAGAAUCUGCAUGGAGAAAACAGAACAUGUUAAACUAGGAAUUAAAGGUAAUCCAUGUGGGCACACUAAAAUUCGAACAUGAUGUUGGAAAAACAAACUUCACCAAAAUUUAAUCCCCGAGAAAUAUCAUGAGUUGCAGAUAGUAAUAAUACCUGAGGUAUGCAUCCCACUAUUCGUUCAAGUUUAACGUCAUGAUCUCUGCAAUAAGCAAGAAGAUCAGAUUCAUGAAACUCCACCCUGUCCAGUAAAGUUUUCUUCUCCGCAUCAUAGAUGGGCUGACCUAUUUCAUCUAAUGCAUUCAAGUACAAAUUUAUCCAAGAGAUCUUUAUUGCUCUGGGAUUAAUAUCAAGGCCAUAGACCUGCAAAAGGAUAUUCAGACAGCAUAAAAGAACUGCUACAAGGUUCCAUUUUCAGCAUUCUCCAAUAAAGACUUUUGGACAAAGGACAGAGUUGAUAAUUCAGAUGUUCAUUGAUAUGUAAUUUUUCUGAAUCGGAGGGUACUAAAACACCAUAAUCUGGUGCCAACGCUGUUACUUAUAAAUAACAAGUGGCCUUGCAAAACAAGGAGAUAGAAAACGAUGAGGAGAGAAAUCAUGAUGGAGCUCCUGAAGGCACUGGUAAGGAAGUAAACAAAAGCUCCCACAUGGCAAAGGACGACGAACCAACAAACCUUCGAAGGCAACCACUUCUCAGCUAUGGCAAUGGUUAUCCAUCCAUUUCCACAACCAAGCUCAGCAACAGUCUUGUCCUUCAAAAUAGAGUCAGGAUGUCUAUUCAGUCCUUCAUAGAAAGUAAACGACCAGUCUUCUGGGAUAAAAAUGCUGGGGAUGACCAUCAUUGUCAAAUUUUUUCUCCCUUGGUAGCCUAUACUUAGAAACAAUAGUGUCAGAGCAGAAAAUCCAGCAACCAUAAUCGGGCAUGAAUCUAAAGGAAAAAAGUGAACGAUGACCUAUGGAUGUUUAUGUUGGGAAGAUGAUAAAUGAAACUUUCGUACAAUAACAAAGAUAAUAAUGUGUAUGCAGACAAGCUAAUAAGCUAGAAAGGAUAAAACUGAAAUUUGGUGCUUUUAAAGUGGCAGAAGCAGCUUCAUGAGUGGCAUAUGAGGGAUCAUGAAUUCCAAUAGGGAAAAUUUACAUGGUGAAACCAUGGCGGCCAAGUUACAUAAGAUGUACAAAAACCUCCUAGUGGCCUUACAAAAUUUCACUGAAGAAAGAUGAAAGUUGAGUUGGCUUAUUGAUUGCAUAAUUUGUGCACGAGGUGAAUAAAAUGGCUAAGGAAUUAGCAUCAACUAUUAAAGUACUCCAAAGUACAGAGCAAGAUUACUGUUUCAUACAGUUAAUAUGAGGAACUGUGACAUUGAAAGAGAAGUUCAUCCAUUGAACUUUGCUCAUGCACUGACGACAAAUUUUCAGGAAACAAAUCCAUUAAAAUCUAGGACUUAUUAUGAAAUGAUGUACAAACUUAUUGAAAUAAAUUAACAGCUGUUAUUAUUUCAGUGUUACCUAAAAAGCAAAUUCUAUCUACUACAUAGUAUAUUUUUAGGAACAUACAUUCCACUCCCAAGCCAGCUUCAGAUAUUAAUUCCCUUUCUAGUUUGUUAGCACUAAACUUCUGUAUUAUUCGAGUUAGAGCAAAUAAUUACACCAAAAGUAAAUGUUUAAAUGAAACAAAUCCUGAUCUGUUUGAUUGUCAAGAAACAGUAGGAACAGAAGGGAAAGAAACAAAAGAGAACAAAGUGAAAACAAAAGCUCACUGGCCUCACACAAAAAGACAAAAAAAACCUACAACUAAGACUUCGUUUUUGUUUUCUUGGGAACUGAAUCCUGAAAACGAUUGGCACUCCAUCCAAGUUUUCUCAAGACACUCAUUGGUUGCUCAGAAACAGCCAACUAAGGUGGACCCAAUGAAAGUCUAUUGUAUGGUUAAAUGAAAAUAAUCGUGAUAAAAUAAACACCCUAAGUUAAGAAAGUGAAUGAAUAAAAAAAUGCACAUAAUUAAUAGCACUCAUAAUCAUAAAUUUUCUCAAGUAAUCAAAUCAUAUUCUUCUUAAAAAAGGAAAAAAUAAGUUCUGCAGAUUCUUCAAGUUUCCAGUUGAACUACCCAAAACAAAAAAAGAGCAUUUGUUUUUAUCUGGGGUUUCUUUCAGAAACAUAAAUCACGUCGUAAAAAACGCUUUAUUAGAAGCACUAUUUCUCCAAAUUGUCCUCUACUAGAUAACUGCCAAACUGAGCUACUCAAAAAUCCUUUAAAACAUACGAAAAGCACAAUUGCUUCUCUACAAUGCACUUCUUAUGUCACAUAAGCACUAAACUACUUUCCCAAAAAUCACUUAAUUUCAAAAGCACUUUUUCCUCCGAGCUAUCUUCCACAAAACCACUCCCCAAACUAAAAAACAAACAAUCACUUUUAGUCCCUAAUUCAAAGAAAGUCAAACCACUAGCUCAAAAAAAAAAAAAAGGUCAACCGAAUUAAACAAGAAAAAAUGAACAAGAGUAAUGGACCUUCGUAUUGGUCCAAGACGACAUCUUGGAUCCGGAAAUGGUACUUGUUUAGACAUUCGUCCGAGUCAUCGACCCGUUUCUGAAGAUCCGAAAGGAAGACCUGAGCCUGAGUCCGACUACUCGGAUCCUCCAGCUUCUCCAACACCGACCGAAACGCACCGUACGCCUCGUCACCCGACGCCUCGCAUUUCCUCAAGAACUCCUCCACCGCCUCCGCCGUCGCCGUCGCUGCCGUCAUUCCGUACGUUCACUCAAUUUACGGGUUCCUAGUUUUAGAGAGAGAAUGCUAGCGUGAGCUUAGAAAAUUGAAAGAAGGAAGUAGAAGUCUGUUUUCUCGUUCCCGGUACUUGAGCGUGUGCUUGUGUACACAGAUGUAUAUACAUACAGCUAUUAUUUUAUUUAUUUAAUAUUUAUUUUUAAAAUAUUUUGAUGCGGAGCAAGAGAAAAGGUCUUAUGUUUUACACGUGGUGCGUGGUGAGUGGAUACUUUUAGUCUACGUGGAAUAUCUUUUUCAAGCACUUUUACUGGUAUUUCUUUAAAGUCUUUAUCAAAGAACGUAGUAUAAGAUUACAAGAAGCAACUUUUCAUUUACUAAGACAUGAUUCGAUCUUAUGGCUACAUAUAAGAGUAUGUACUACAUCUACACAUAUACACUUGUAUAAAAGGCAUGAUUAUGUGAUAUUUGGUGAAUAAUAUUCAAAUAAUAUGUUAAUAGUAUGACACCAUGCCAUAUGAUGGUGUCACUUUCAUAAACAUCCCUCACACUCAAGGGAAAAAAAUUCAUCCUUUUAGCAUUUAAUUUAACACCCUUUCAAUAAUGAUAUAGACAUUUAUGAUUGAUACCAAAAUUAACCCUAAAACUAAACCUUUUAUUUGAUACAUGUGAUUACAAACUGAAAAAGCAUAAAGUAUAUAUGUCUAAAACACUAACUAAAAGAUGCAACAUAUUCUAAUUCCUGCCUCGAAACAUCUUCAAUAACAAAUAAUGCAUUGAAUAUGCUUGUCCGUACAUCAAUAGCAAAUUAAAAAUCAAAUUGGUAAUAACUCGCAACUAACAAGAGUAUAAUUUGAUGAAUCAUAUUUAUGUUUUCCUUACAAUUUCAAUCAGAAUCUUCUUCUGCAAGUGUUGAAGAUGACUGUGCAAGACAAUUGGGAAACUUGAAAGGGAGUAUAGUCAAUAGCUGAUCAUCAUCGGCUAAUCCUUGGCAAGCUUGACCAAAAGCGUAUCCCAAUGCAAUACCAACUGGAAUUGCUACAGCAUUCCCAACUUGUAUGUACCUGAAAAAUGAAUAGUAAUAUUGAAUUGGAUUGCAAAUUGGUUUCUAAAAGCAGCAUAUCAAACAAGGUUUUUACUUACUAGUUGUCCAUUAAAGACAAAAGCAAGUCUUUGCAGAUGUUAUGCUUCCAUAGUUUGCCCAUUACAACAUAUUACAAGCAACCAUCAUCAUAUCUUAUAAAAUUUAACAAAAAAUCUUGACCCCCCUUAUCUUAAUUUGACCUCUAUGUCUAAAGAAUGUUCUGUCCAUCCCGAUUGUUAGCUUCAUUCUUGUAGCAGGCAUUGAAGAAGGGAGGCUCAAAUUCCGCUGGCUGUAGCAUUACUAUCACAGCCAAAUGAUUAAUUCCAAGUGCAAAUGCAAAAAAUUAAUUAAGAGGUAAGACAACAGCUAAUAAAUGAGCAUCAGUACUGUAACAUCAUUGUAGCCGAAGAUUUUAGUAAAAUCAUUACUUUCGAAUAAUAUUCACACAUGAUCAUCACGUUUCAAAAAUAUCGACUACUGAAAAAUUAAAGGUAGUUAAUUAAUGAGUUUAAUUACAAUCCUAUUUAAACAAUUAUAUUAGCUAUUAUAUAUAUGUAGAAUUUGAUAUUUGACUCAUUAUAUCUCAUCAGUCCCCACUAAUCACUUUUAUGUUAGUACAUAUUUUAUUAUUAUAUGAAAUGAUUUAAAAGGGUAAAUAACUUUUAAGUGCACUCAUAUGACAAUUUCUAUUAACAUCUAAUUUAGCUAAUCUAAUUUCUUAAACUCUAUUUUUUUUAACUUUUUAAAUUAUUAUUUCUUCUCAAAUAUUAUACUCUUCUUUUGUAAUCGUGAAAGAAAUUACUUUACGGUACUCAAUAUUCAAUAAAGGAUGGUGCCUUUUUCUUUUUAAUGAUUAUGACAACGAUGAAUAAUUUUUUUUUUUUAAAAGAGAGAUUAUAGUGAUUAUGAGAGUUUUUUUCUCUUUUUAAAAUAGAUUUUAUAAAUUUUAUAUAGUGAGUGCUUGGAAAAAAGAUAGAAAUUAUAAUAAAGGUAAAUCCAUAAUUAUGUGUGAUAUGUUGAGAGAUAAAGAUUUAUUUAAAAUAUUUAAUGGGGUUAACAAAAAAAUAGGAGAUUGUGAGUUAUAAUAAAAGGGCCAAAUAUCACUACUCAUGUAUAUUUGGAAGGAGUAGCCGGAAACGAGAUUUACAAAUUAAUUUAAUGAUAAUAGCUGAGAGAGAAAAUAUACUACAUUAAUAGACCGAGAGAUUUCAUGUUUACCUAUCUAAUUAUUAAUUGAUCACUAAAUUCAUUCCUUUUGACAUUUAAUGACUUUAUAAACGUCAUUAAAAAGACAUACUAUUAUAUUUCCGUACCGAACUCGUUCCUUCAAAAUAUACCAACACUUUGCUAUAAAUAUAUAAUUAUUUUUUUGGAUAUCAUGAGAUCUUUAAUAGGGCCGGAAUUUGUGCUACAUAAUAAUUUUCUUUAUAUAUUUAUAUAUAAGUUAAUACAUAUAUAUUAUGUGUAUAUUUAUUUUAAAAAAUUAAAAUGUAAUUAAUAGAUAUAUUUAAUUAAAUUAUACAUUUCAUAUCAAAUGUACCUAUUAUAUAUAUGGGUUAAUUUCUAAUUACCCUUAGGGAAUUGACAAUCUUCAAAUUUCCCUCUCUUACUAUUGAAAACAUCAAUCUACCCCAAAACUCGUUAUUUUUAACUAUUGACCGCCGUUAACUCAUGAAAGUAUGAAAGUAUCCCCACUCUAACAUAAUAUCCUUGUAACGACUUUGUAAAGGCAACAAAAAUAAUUGAUAUAUGUUAAGUAAUUGGAAAUGAAAAAAAUUAACAAUUAAAAUAUUAAUAUGUAAAUAGUAAAUAAAUGAUUAAAAAAUUAAAAUAUUGAAUUGACUUCAUAGGCCUGAAAAAGUAAUUAGUUUCCCUGAAUUAGACAUAUUCAUUGGGGAAAUUACACACACAUAUAUAUAUAUAUAUUAAUCAAGCGUAAUAAUUCUAUGUACUCUAGAAUCUCUCUUUCUUUAGUGAUUGCAAUAAGCGUGAAUCAUGCUUUAUUGCAAUAAAGUAAAAAUGGCUUAUGAUCAAUUGCUUUGUUCGUCUUCUUUUUGACAAUUAUAUAUUUUGUGGACCGCAUCAGGCCAUAUGUUCACAUUUGCAAUAAAGUAAAAAUUGUUAGACACGUUUUCACAACUUGUAUAAUAUGGCCAUCUAAAUUAUUUUAAUUAUUAGUUUUCUAAUUUAAAUUGAUAUUUAUCUUUAUUUAGUUUAAUUUCAAAACGUUGGUUUUGGUUUAAAAUUUGAAUAAAGAUAAAACACCUCUCCCUAAUAUCUUUCAUACACGUUAUGGGUGGUUUUCUAAAAUCAAGGGGAUAACGGCUCAUAACUUCCUCUUUUAUUUAAACAUGUCAUCUUGAUGGGAGAUGACUUACGGUCAAGUUUUUUCAAAAAAAAUAUUGAGGGUCCCUGGUCUAAUAACAGAGCCUGUGUAUACCAUCUACUCUCAGGAAUUAAGUGUUGGAUAGACUAGAAAAUUCUGAGUACAAAGCAUCACUUGUUUUCGUUGGUUUUGUUUACAUUCCAGUAGAAAAGUUGUGUACAAUUGAAUCUGAUAACUAUGGCAGGAGGUAAGUUUUCUAACUUCCGCAUGAUGGAUAUAGUCUUUUAAAAAUGGCUUAUGUCUAUACCAUGCAUUAUUGCUUCGCUUUUGUUCGCAAGUCAAAAAUGGUAUAUAAUUUCUUUGUUUGUCUUCUUUUGCACUUGUGGACUAGAUCAGACCAUAUGUUUCACAUUCGUCGAUCUGCUGUCUGUACCAUGCACAAUUGCUUUGCUUUUGUUUGGCGAGUUAAUAAUAAUGUUUAAUGACUUUGUCCGUCUUCUUUUGCAGUUACUGGUAGCAUUGUCGACCAGAUCAGACCAUAUGUUUCAGAUAGGGGUGGGUACCAUUUAGUUUGGUUCGGUUAAGUUCUAGAACCGAACCAAACUGAAACCAAAUGGUUCAUGAAUUUAUGAAGUAAAUGUGAACUAAAUUAUAGAACCGAACCGAACCAAAUUAAUUUGGUUCGGUUUGGUUUGAUUUUAUCUUAUAUAUUCAUUAUUCAAUAAAAAAAAUAAUAUAAUAAUACACUAUUAAUCCAACAAUAAUCUUAAGUCUAUAAAUUAGCAAACAAUAAACAACAUAAUAAAAUCUAACAAUAAUAAAUUAAAAUGAUAAAAGUCAAUAAUAAAAUAAAGUGUAUGCUAUGACAUAUAUAAUAUCAUGUAUUAACUAACAAAUAGAAAUUAAAAAAAUAAAUUCUGAACUAUUUUUUAAUUUUAAUUUUAAUUUUUUCUUGAACCAUUUGGUUUGGUAAUUUGGUUCGGUUUUGAACCAUGUGUAAUUUGACAUAGAAGCUUAAAAAGGAAAAUCAUUCUUUUUAUUAAUAUUAUAUCCGUGUUAUGUUGAAAAUUGAUUAAAAAAAAAAAAGAGUUGAAAAGUCAAUUUGGAAGAUAUCAUUUGAAUUCAAUUUGGAGAUAGUCGAGAAGUUUGAUAAGCAAUUGGAAGUGGUCAAAACUAUUGAAAUGGUGGCUAUUGAAUGUUGAAAAAUUGGCUUGAUUUUAGGCAAAAUUUUGCCUAUAAAAGGGAAGCUCUCAUUUGAAAACCAGGUAUCCAAAUCCCAGAGAAGCGAUCCAAAUUUUGGUGAGAAUUGAGAGAUAAAAAUAUUCUUAAGUAUGUUAUAUUGAAGGAGCAUUUGGCUCCUCAAUAUGGGUAUUACGGGUUUGCUUUGUUAAGAGAUAUUUCUCAGAAUUAUGUAUUUGGGGCUUGGGUGAGAGAAAUUUAUUUCUGAGAGUGGUUGUAAUAAUUUUCCACAUAGUAAAUAUUUUUCUCUGGUUGUUUCUCGACAAUGGCCGUGGUUUUUUUCCGGAUUUGGAGUUUUCUACGUAAAUCUUGUGUUGUGUGGUUGAUGUAUUCUCCAUUUAAUUUUUUAUAUUAAUUUGUUGCUUGAUAAAUUGCUUAGAGUGAUCUUAAGAGGAAGCUCAAUUUCCUAACAUGUUAAGCGGACAGGCUAGAGGAUCUGUUUUCUCAUAUUAAAUUUGGAUGCAACCAUUCUGUCAGCUUGUAUCACAGAUUCACAAAAGUCCUCAACAAAGAACAGAAACAGAUAUUGUGAAAAAAAAAACACAGCAGGGUUAAUAUAAGCGGACUGGAUGUUGUUUGUUAAGUCAAAUCAUGAGCAAAUGCUAUUUCUCGAAAUACUACCGGCGAAGAUACAGUAUUUAAUAACAUAUUUGGCCGAAAAAAAUUGUAGGAUGAGAAAUCCGCUUAUCAUAAAUCAAACAAUGACAAAUCAAUGAAUUUCAUUAUUGCUCAUCCUAGAGGAGAGAAAGAAGAGGACAAAGAUGAUGCAAGUUCAUAAGAUGAAAACUUUUGAUUUGAAAAUACACAUGUACCAAUCAAUCCAUGAACAAAGAGGUAAGAAUGUAACAAGAUCACGAAACAAAAAUCGGUUCCACAUGAAACAUAAUUCUCGUAGAAAAAUAUUAAGUUUGGCAGCCUUUUUAGCAUCACUUCUCUCUCACUUCUAUUUGAAACUAUGAAAAGGUGUUCAAGAACAAGUGUUUGUCAUUCGUCUUAUGCCCAACAAGACUUUCUAUCUUCAGUAUUUAAUACAGCUUAAUUGCCGAUAUGCCUGAUAUUCCUCCAUUCAUGAAGUUGAGCAAUUAGUCCCACCCGAACAACUCAAAUGGAAUGAAGCAGCAAUCACAUUGCAGAAGGAAAAAGUCGGACUGCCUCACACAUUCAGCUCAACAAAAGGUGUAAUCUCGAGGAAACCCCUAAAUUAACCAACGUUAGUGAAUCCUCUUCGGUGAUCUGCUGUUUCUUUACUCUCCAUUUACUAACCUUGGAAAAUCAGAAACGCUAAACAGAAAUGAAAACGAUCGCUAUUUACAUUCAUAUCCCUUGCAUUUUAUAUCCAACACAGCAAUGUUCGCAUCCUUUGUAAAGAUCUCCAUUGCAGCAAUUUAUGUGUCCUUUGCAGGAAUUUUUAGUAAUGCAGCAUUGAUAAAAUCCAGCGGAGCCUGGAGAUCUAACUUUCUUAAUUUCCGGCUGUUAAUAAGUAAAACAAUUUCUAACAGGAUUUAGAUUUACAAAUUAACUUCAUUAUUUUAGCUGAGGGAGAAAAUGGAAUAUGCUAUGUAGCCUCUUGUAUUAAUAAUCAAAAGAAUUUGAUUGAUAAAAGAGAUUUGAUGUGUGUUUACAAAUAAAAGAUGUCCUUUUGAUUCUUUUUCUUUUUAUUGGUUGCAGUCACAAACCCUAAAGUUACCUAAUUAGAUUAAGAAAUUUGCUUAAUGAACGACGAUUUUACAGAAAUAUACACAGAGUAUGCCCGGUUUUUAAGUUUUGCAUAUUUAAAAAGGGGAAAAAAGGAGGAAAAUUUUGGAUUUCAUUUAAAAAAGAGAUAUUAUAAUUAAUUAAUAAGAGUAGGAUUUGGAUUCUCUUCUAGUUUUCCCUCUUCUAAUUUUUCUUGAGCUUUCAAUAAUGUAGUUAUAAAGUUAAUUUCUAGGGCAAAAAAAAUUGAAAGCUUAAGAUUUCAUUGUAUAUUGUAAUCUAAUUAUUAGCAAUUAAAUUCAUUAAGUUUGACUUUUAAUAACUUUGUAAAAGCACACAAUUUUAUUUCUAUACCCAAUUCUUUCCUUCAACAUCAAUCCUUUCCUUUUUUUCAAUCCCCGAGUUCCGAUCAAGCAGUAAAAAGAUGAAGAGAAAUUGUUUCCUUCUUAAAAAUGACGUCUUUAUAAAUUUGUCAAGCAGAAAAAAAAAUAAAAAGCUUAACUAGGACAUUAGUUUAUUUUUAUAAAAUUUAAAUAUUUUGAGAAUAUAAAUCAAGUAAAACAACUUAUAUACCGUUAAUUUAAUAAUAAAUUGUAAAUUAUGGAGAAACCACCGGGGUAAAAAUCAAAAUGACAGAAAAUUUCCCAUUAUAUCUUGUACAUGUAUAAUUUCUCCAUGUAUAAAUAACCGGCUUUAUUGGAGCCAAGUCAUCAAAAGCUCCCUAGUGCUCUAUGUGCUCUCUUACUUAGAUGCAGCUCCGUUGGUCAAAUGUUUGCUCGAUGUAUAUUUGGUACAUGAACAACACUUGCAUGAACUUCAAAGUUCCCGGUUCAAGUCUCAACUGCUACUUUAACUGAGAUAACUUCUCAAACAAUGGGCUAAGGUUGCGAGACAUUAUAUCACACAAAGUGAAUGAAAGGAAGCAAUAGAUUUCAUAUUCGUGAAGAACUGAAGAUAGAGGUUGGAUAUUAAAAGAAUGGUGGUAUGAAUUAACUGAUAUUACUUCCAAGUUUCAACCAAUAUCCUCCCAUACGCCACAUUAAUUGUAUCUGUGUCUCUGUGUAAUUAUUUAUUUAAGGAAAAAAAGGCUAACAUAUAUAAUUGUAAUUACAAUAUUUGGGAUGAUGUUGUCGUAACAAUCAAUUAAGGCGGGCACGAGGGAGCAGAUAAAUCAAUGAAUGUUACUUACAAAGGCAUUGGUUGGAAAUCUAAUGAAGGUGUACGUUCAGUUGUUUGAUUUAUAUUGUGGCCGGUUUCCCUUCAAGAGGCUGGUAAUUAAGAGUAGGUCCAGCUCGAUAUAAAAUGCCAUUAAUAGUUAAUUGAUUAAUUAAUUGCUUCUCCGGGCUUUUAAUACGUACGCACAUGGAAAAGAAACAAACUCUGGAAGGGUAUGGUAUAAUUGAAACGAGUGAAUAUGAAUGAUAUCAUGAAGAUGGUGGAACCUAGCUAAUUUAACAACAAAUUAAUCAAUACGAAUUAAAUUAGAAAUCUUAAUUAAUUUAUUAAUACAAAUGCAUUGACGCAGCAGUACAAACAUAAGGCUUAAUAACUAAUAAUAUAUAGAGAGAUAGAAUCGAGAAAGGAAGGGAAAGAGAGAUUAUAGCUACUUAUAAAUUAAAUACAACAUGCAUGCAGAAUUAACCCACACCAUGCGUAGUUGAAGACAAAGAUGAAGAUUGGAGAUUAAAGAUGUAUCAUAAGCUAGCUAGCACAAUCGAUUGGCUGGGGGAUACGUGCUGCCAGGGGCAGGCGUGCAAUGUUCACCCUUUUUGGAAUUCUGGGAAUUAGGGGUACAAGAGCGAUAGUUUACGCCUCUUCCGCAACCGAAUGGUAGACUGGAGGGAUUCAAUACGUUUGUUGCAGCAGCAGCUAACUUUAAUUCCGGAUCAUCAUGAAAAAACAACACAUCAGGAUCAAUAUGGAAAUUAUUAAUGUUGGUGCCGUUGCCUGCAGCACAAGAUUGAUUUGCGGUGAAGAAGAGUAUCAUCAUAGCUAUGAUCGAUGCCGAGACACCGCCUCCCAAUCCCAUCACAUUAUUAUUUCCCAUGCUUUUUCCUGUGUACAAGUCUUACUGACUACUUUUUUGAGCUUGUUUGGGAGAUGCCAGCAGCUUCUUGUAUUAUAUGUAAUGUCUUGUCAAAAUCCAACUUUUUUGGUUCGAAUAGUUGACAACUUGGCUUUGGACUGGCUACUUGAUUACAUAUAUAUUGUCACGGAUUUCAUUUACUUUAAUUAUAUAUAGUGUAGGACACGUAAUGCUAUAAUUGAGCAAGUCUCACAUGUUUUUGGAUUAUUCUCGCAAAUUUAAUUUGGCAUCAUUCACCUACCAAUCUCCAAGACCAAUUCAAAAAAUAUUGUUCUUUUCCACUAGUUAAAAUAAAGUUUUUUUUUAAUACUGUAUAUUUCUUAAUUAAGGGCAUGAUUACAGACCAGGAAUUAUCAUAAUAAAAAUAUUGAAACAUUAUUAAAUAAUUAUUUAGUGUUAGUAGAAAGAAUCGAUCUAGUCGAGUGGUUUGUUCAAUAUAAUUGUACAUUUUCACUCGACAUGUACUCUUUUGGCAACAAAAACAUACAUGCACGCGUGCGCGCACACACACAUAUAUAAAAUAAGAAUAUCCUCACUUUAGUAAAAUAAGAAUUUCACUAAAAUAUAAAAAAAAAUGUUAAUACAUUGAAAACUAUAUCUUUUUUAUUUGUUAAUAUAUUGAAAUUAUAUGUAUAUAUAUAUUUUUUGGCAUUCUCACUUUGUUCGCUAUAUAUAUGUAUAAUAUAAGGAGCAAUAUUUCAACUUGAAAUUUUGACUUAAGUUUUUUACAUAAAUUUUGAGUCAUUAAUCUCAUGCAAUUGAAUAGUGGAUGAAUUGGCAUCAUUAAAUGCUAAUUUGACUUUUGAUAUCUACAAUUAGAUUGCACUAAAUCAUUAACUCAAAAUUUGUAUAAAAAAUUUAAGUUAAAAUAAAGUAUAUGAGUCAUUCUCUAGUAAGGGAUAACCUAAAGGCAAGCAAAACACACACUCUAAUAGUGUAUUGUGUAUAUAUAUAUAUAUAAUGAUUUAGGGUCAAGCUAGAAGAUAAGAAAAACACACACUCUGAUAUUAUAUAUUUUGUCUUAUAGUAUAUUAAAAUGUGUUUUUUUGUUUGUAAAUUAUCCGUUAAUUUGUAUUAAAUUAAAGAAAUUUUCUACCAAAAGAUCUCUUAAUUUAUUAAGUAAGGGAUAACAUAUUUUCAGCAGUACUUUUAUCGAGUCUCUAUACAUAUAUAGUAAUUUUUUGAUAUAAGAAUAAUUCAAUUAUUAAAGUAAGGGAUAACAUAUUUUCAACAUUAGUCUUAUCGAGAUUAUCGAGUUUCUUCUGUAAUUUGGAGGGCUCCUUAACUUCUAACAUUCACUACAAGAAUAAUGNNNNNNNNNNNNNNNNNNNNNNNNNNNNNNNNNNNNNNNNNNNNNNNNNNNNNNNNNNNNNNNNNNNNNNNNNNNNNNNNNNNNNNNNNNNNNNNNNNNNNNNNNNNNNNNNNNNNNNNNNNNNNNNNNNNNNNNNNNNNNNNNNNNNNNNNNNNNNNNNNNNNNNNNNNNNNNNNNNNNNNNNNNNNNNNNNNNNNNNNNNNNNNNNNNNNNNNNNNNNNNNNNNNNNNNNNNNNNNNNNNNNNNNNNNNNNNNNNNNNNNNNNNNNNNNNNNNNNNNNNNNNNNNNNNNNNNNNNNNNNNNNNNNNNNNNNNNNNNNNNNNNNNNNNNNNNNNNNNNNNNAAAAAAAAAAAAAAAAAAAAAAAAACACAACACAUCACACACGCUGCACGGGUGCACGCACACAUCACAAACAGCUGCAUCACACUUAACCAAGACACAAUCACACAACUCACUCACGCAGUCAACUAGUCAAGCACAGCUCUCAAUUCUCAAACUCAAAAACCCUAAGCCACUAAGCCAGCCACUGCCACCUAGCCCACCGCCGAGUCAGCCAGCAGCAUCGUGACUGUCGACGCACGCUAGCCAAUCAGCUGCGUCUCGCCGUCGCGCCUCUCCAUCGCGUCUCGCCGUCGCAAACUCCAAAGGUCUCGCUGUCGCAUCUGACUGUCGCGUUUCUUCCGCCAUCGUGACCCGCCAUCUUGACCAACCGCGACGCCGCUAGGUGAGUGAGUAGCCUCGAUUGGUUCUGUAAUUAGCCAUAAAACCAGUAGCCUCGAUCGGUUCUGUAACUCUGUUGAACUUUUUAAGUUGUAAUUAUAAAUAGUAAUUAUAAUCCAAUUCACUGCUUUUUAAGUUGUAAACUUGUAAUUACAUGAAUUUUUGUCAUUAGAUGCAUUCCGCUAGAUUGAAUUUUUAUUUUAUUUUGUGGUGAUGGAAAGAAUUUGUUAUAGAUCAGUAACUAUAUAUUAAUUAACGAUUAAAAAGAGUGGUCCAGUGGAUGCUAUACGUUGUAAAUUGAUUUCUUUGUACUCACGAAUUUGGAAAUGCAAUCUGGAAAUGCAAGUUGCAGCUGCAUUUGGAAAAUAGUUUUGGUAGGGUCGGGCUUAGCCCGACCCGAUGUUGGCCCGAUUCGGGUCGGGCCCGACCCGAUCCUACCAAAAAAUAGGUAGGGCUUUUUUAGGGUCGGGCUUUAGUUUUUUAUUGAUCGGGUCGGGUCGGGUUUGGCCAAGCCCGAGCCCGACCCGAAGUUUUGCCAUCCCUAGCAUCAACUGCCCUUGGAAAUGAGAUUGGAUAACAUAAAUGAUUACUAUUCUAACAGUAAUUUGCCCUCGAAAAUGCAAGAAACACAUUGGAAAUAUGCUUCUUUUUUAUUUAGUGACCCAUUUAAUUUAUUUAAUAUUAUUAUUUCUUACGCUUUUUGUUUUUAGUUUUUUUAAGUAUUUGUAAUGCCAAUACAACACAAUCAAUUUAGCAAUAUUUCAACUUGAAAUUUUGACUUACGUUUUUUACAUAAAUUUUGAGUCAUUAAUCUCAUGCAAUUAAAUAGUGGAUGAAUUGGCAUCAUUAAAUGCUAAUUUGACUUUUGAUAUCUACAAUUAGAUUGCACUAAAUCAUUAACUCAAAAUUUGUAUAAAAAAUUUAAGUUAAAAUAAAGUAUAUGAGUCAUUCUCUAGUAAGGGAUAACCUAAAGGCAAGCAAAACACACACUCUAAUAGUGUAUUAUAUAUUUAUAUAUAUAAAAUGAUUUAGGGUCAAGCUAGAAGGUAAGAAAAACACACGCUCUGAUAUUAUAUAUUUUAUCCUAUAGUAUAUUAAAAUAUGUGUUUUUUUUUUUGUAAAUUAUCCGUUAAUUUGUAUUAAAUUAAAGAAAUUUUCUAACAAAAGAUCUCUUAAUUUAUUAAAGUAAGGGAUAUCAUAUUUUCAGCAUUACUUUUAUGGAGUCUCUAUACAUAUAGAGUAACGUUUUGAUAUAAGAAUAAUUCAAUUAUUAAAGUAAGGGAUAACAUAUUUUCAACAUUAGUCUUAUCGAGAUUAUCGAGUUUCUUCUGUAAUUUGGAGGGCUCCUUAACUUCUAACAUUCACUACAAGAAUAAUGAUUAUUUCCUCGGGCAAAUACCCUCGGAAAUAUACAAACGCCCUCGGAAAAACUCAUUUCCAAUAAAGUCAUGCCGUCAACUGUCAUCGUAUUAAGUCGCAUCGAAAAAGCACAAUUUUCUAUGGGUCGUCGCAAAAAAAAUUAUUUUCAAUAGCAACGACAUCAUAAAUGACACCAAAUGCCCUCAGAAAUAAUCCCUAUAAAACCAAAAAUUACAUAUUUCCAAUUGCAUUUGCCCUUGAAAAUGGCAUCAACUGCCCUUGGAAAUGAGAUUGGAUAACAUAAAUGAUUACUAUUCUAACAGUAAUUUGCCCUCGAAAAUGCAAGAAACACAUUGGAAAUAUGCUUCUUUUUUAUUUAGUGGCCCAUUUAAUUUAUUUAAUAUUAUUAUUUCUUACGCUUUUUGUUUUUAGUUUUUUUAAGUAUUUGUAAUGCCAAUACAACACAAUCAAUUUCAAUAGUAUUUUUUGAAAAAAAAAUCCCAAAUGUAUAUGCAGUAUGAUCUCAUAGCUUGAAUUAUUUCAAUCAUCCUCCAACACGUCUUCUUCAGUCUCUGAGAAUUGCGUUCGCUUCUACCUCAUCUUCUCAAUUCCCAUCAUCAUCUUCAUUCGACCAAAUAAUAUCCAUCCUAUAUAAAUCAAGAAAUAUUAAUCUGCUCCAUCCCCACAUCAUCAUUAGUAGACCAAAUAAUAUCCUAGAUGAAUGAAGAAAUAUUAAUCAGUAAAUUAUCAAAUCAGUAACUAGUAUAAUAAUAUGCUAUAUUCGAACAAUCACUUUGUAUAAAGCUAAGCAUAAGUAUUAUAACCAAAAUAUGGUUAAGAAGCCUAACAAAAUAUGAUACUGGAGCAAUGGAUAAUAAUCAUUAGAGCAAUAUUUUGUAACAAUAAGCAAGUAUGCUAAUAUUUGGAGUCAACAGCAAGAGUUGGAUUCUAAAUUUAGCAAGUAUUUACUAACCUAUAAAUUUGGACAUUAGUCCGUAUACAAGUUUAGAGAGGUCGAAAAAUGCAACACUGCCAUUAAAAGAUCUAUGUGCUUGCGAUAAUCUAGUCUAUCGGUUACAAAACCCUGUUAUGGUUAGUUUCUAUAGAUUAGAAAGUGAAAAGCAAAUUGAAAAAAAAGGCUUGAAAGUAAAUGAAAAUUAACAAUUGAGUUUCCAAGAAAGAGCUUCACUAUUCUUUUCAACUCCUUCACUUCCUUAUCCAAAAACUAUAAUACAAUGAAGAAUGCCAAACAAUGAGCAUGAAAUAAUUGCUACUUGAAGUAUCAACCAUCGCCAAUUAUAAAUUGUUCACAAACCUUGAAAGAGAGUAAAACUACUAUGAAGAGCUUGGAUUCAUCAUCAGAAACAGCAACAAAAGCAAGCCCUUCAGCUAGCUCAACUGAAAACUCAUCAACUGUCAAAUUAUAUGUGCGUACAAAUUAACCUAAAAAUAUAUAUAUAUAUAUAUAGUUUAAACAUAGUAGUAUUAUUUUCCUAAUGAGCCAAUACUCAGCAUGCAUGGCUUUGAAUGUAGACUCAAAUAAUAUGCGGUAAAUAGAAUCCAAACAGAAAAUAAAAGAAAAAUCGUUCCAGAUUUAAGUAGUUAUAUGUUAGUUACCUUAGUUUCGACCUCGUUGUGCACUCUCAGAUAAGGAACAUUGUUAUUAAAUUCUCUAGCAGUUGCAGCAUGUGCUACUUUACUCUUUAAUUUAAUAGCAGAGUCCACAGUCCCCAUCUAUCAACUAAGAAAUUCAAUAAGGAAAACAAAAAUUGGACAAAGCUUCAAAGUCCAUAGUCCUUGUAUACCCGCAAGGAAAGUUUUUCAAAGGUUUUAACUUAUUACAUAUAGAUGUUACCAUGAAAGCAAAUAAACAGUGGCGGCACAUGCUCUGUAAAUUAAAUUCAGUAACUAACAAAAUAUAAAAUAAAAAUACAGUAACUAGUUGUCGCUAGGCCUGCUCUCUGAUUCAAUAUUUUUUUCUUUUGGUUGUUAUUCUCUUAUUCUUCCCUACCGGAUUUGAUUCCUAAUUAGCAUUUGAAAAUCAAGCAUGUGCUGCUGCUUCUGAUUUUUUGAGUUAUUUUAAUUAGACUUAUGCUAUAUCUUAUCCUUCUUGCUUUCAUUACGCCAUACUAUUAAUUAAUAACUUGUGCUGACAAGCACGCAUGCAUUGAUAAUUAAUUCACAUGAUUCUUGAUCAACUAAAUGGAAGAAUCAAUAUUCUUUCUGAAAAAAGAAAAUUACAAAAAUGCAAAAAUGAUGCUGCGAAGUUGUAAUUAUACACUAGAAUUAUAGUCUCCAUGAAUCUGAUAGUUUACUAUCCACUGACUAAGCCCCAGCAAUAUUUAAAUAGCAUUCAUUUUUUCUAUCAGGCAUUUCAACAAAUAGCUUGAAGAAUCCAUUGAAAUCAGAAAUAGACUCAAAAAGAGUAGAUUGAUGCAUUUGAAAUCAGAUAAAGGAGGGGUCAUUCUAUAAUGCCGUAACUAAAUUUACGGCAUUGAUGCCGUAAUGGACGUGUACCGUUAGAUUUGCAUAAAAAAUCUUUACCAUUAAUUCUAAAUAAAUAGGUAACCUGUUACCUAAGUAGCAGGUAAUUACUCUUUUUUGUUCAAGUUUCAGGUUACAUUUACCAAUUUUAUGUGUGAUUUACAAGUUUUAUGAAACUUUUACAAGUUAAUGUUGAUUUACAAGUUUUAUGCAACAUUUACAAGUUUUUGUUUUAUUUACAAGUUCUUCUUACAAUUUACAACUCGAACAUUAAUUUACCAUUUUUUCCAUUAAUUUAUUAGUUUUAUGUGUGGUUUACAUAUUUUAUGUUUUAUUUCACACUUAAUGUGAAUUUACUAGUUCUAUGUCAUUUUUCUAAGUUUUUGUUUUGUUUACAAGUUCUUCCUGCAAAUUACAAUUCCAAUAAUAAUUUACCAUUUUUUUCGUUAAUUUACGAGUUUUAUGUGUGGUUUACAUAUUUUAUGUUUUAUUUCACACUUAAUGUGAAUUUACUAGUUCUAUGUCAUUUUUAUAAGUUUUUAUUUUUUUUACAAGUUCUUCGUGCAAAUUACAAUUCCAACAUUAAUUUACCAUUUUUUUCAUUAAUUUACUAGUUUUAUGUGUGGUUUACAUAUUUUUUGUUUUAUUUCACACUUAAUGUCAAUUUACUAGUUCUAUGUCAUUUUCUAAGUUUUUGUUUUGUUUACAAGUUCUUCAUACAAAUUACAACUCCAACAUUAAUUUACUGCAUUUUCUAUCAAUUUACUAGUUUUUUUCUAUUUUUUUAUUUUUUUUAAUUUUGUACACCAAUUUACCACUGUAACGCUAAUUUACCCGUUUUACCUUCAAUGUAUGAGCCAUACGUGUGGUUUAGAAAUUUUUUGUCUUAUUUCACAUUUAUUUGGAAUUUAGGUUAUUUAGUUUAAGUCAAUUGCCUCAACUUAAAUCCAACGUGAAAAUGGUUAAAGAGUUGGAUUAUUGGCAUUUUAUGAUUUAGAUAGAAUGAUAUAAGGGUGGGCAUGAGUUGAGUUUGAUAGGGUUAGUGAAAUUCUAACCUGGUCUACUUUUUAAUGAGCUGAGAUAAAAUUCAUCCAACUUAACUAAAUAAAAUUGUUUAACCCAAUUCUACCCAAACCUUAUAUCAUCUGGUUAAGUUGAUUAGGUUGAAGGUCAAAUCAAAAUUUUAAAUUGAACAAUGAAAAUGAUAUGAAACUUAUUAAAAUCAAAUAUAAAUCUUUUAUAACAUGAAAUUUUCAUUCACUAUAUCAAAAUUUUAAAUUGUAGGUUGAAGGUCAAAUCAAAAUUUUAAAUUGAACAAUGAAAAUGAUAUGAAACUUAUUAAAAUCAAAUAUAAAUCUUUUAUAACAUGAAAUUUUCAUUCACUAUCUAGUGUACGUAAAGAAAGUUAAUAAAUUAACUAUCUUUAAAUUAAGAAAAUUUCCACAAAAAGCAUAUAGACUUUAUUUCUCCUGCAUCUCCUUUUCCAAUUCCAAAUUAAGACUUUUUAGAUAAUUAGCUAGCAUCAUAUACAAAAAUAAAAUGAAAGUGAUAUAUAAUUAUGUGCCGUUAAGUAUUCACUAAAAAAAUAAAAAAAAUUAAAACCAACUUACUUUUAUAUUAAUCUUAUAAAAUAAUAAAUUCACUUAUAAGAGAUUGUGAUUUUGGUUUUGGAAUUGUAGUCUAGAGCAGCAGAUGCAAGAAUGAAAUAGCCUCUUGUAUUAAAAGAUUAAAAAGAAAAAAAAAUUAGAUUCAUCCCUCAAUUUAUCUAUGUCAUCAAUACCAAGAUCCACAUCAAUGUCGACUCCACCAUCUUUUAUUCCCAUAAAAAAAAAUGACAAUCAGUUAUUGCUUGUAACACGUCCCAAAUUUAAUGGAAAUUAAUUAUCGCACCUACACUCACCACUUUUUUUCCUUGUUCCCGUAAUGUUUUUGCUUCUUGCUUGCUGCAAUCAAUUAUAAAUAUUUUGAAAAAAAUAUAUAUAAUCAGUGCACGUUAACAUUAUUGUGAUUGGCUUUACUAAAUAUUCAUAAAUUUACCAACAGUCAAAAAUAUAAUAUUUAAUGUAAGAAGACUUACAAAUACUCAAUGAAAGGCCGAUUUCUUCUUAAAAUUUCAUUUUCUUGGCUCACAUUAUCAUUCUCGUUACCCUCAUCUACAAUUUCAGCCAUUUUCGAGUUUACAAAAAUCUGUACAUGAAGAUUUAGGCACAAAAAGAAAUGUCAAAUAUCACAAGUUUUGGAUCCUAUAAACCAACAGAACAUUUAACCCAAAAACAGCAAUAAAUUUAUCCAAAAACAGUAAAAAAUUUAACCUAAAAACAACAGUAAAUUUAUCCAAAAACAGCAGACAAUUUAACUGAAAAACAGCAGCCAAUUUAUCCAGAAACAGCAGAAACUUUAACAUAAUAACAGUAGCAAAUGAAGCCCAAAACACCAGAACAAUUAACCAAAAACGGCAGCCAAUCAUCCCAAAUACAGCAGUAAAUUUAUCCAAAAACAGCAGUAUAUUUACCCAGAAAUAGCAAAAUAUUUAACCUAAAAAUAGCACCAAAUGAAGCCCAAAACACCAAAAAUACUUCCCUGGAAACAGUAGAAAAUAUAACCCAAAAACAGCAGUAAAUUUAUCUAAAAACAACAGAAAAAUAAACUGAAAUACAGUAGCCAAUUUACCCAGAAACAGCAAAAAAUUUAAGCUAAAAAUCCAAUUUACCCAAAAACAGCAGAAAAUUUAAGCUAAAAAUAGCAGCAAAUGAAGCCCAAAACACCAUAAAAAUUUAACCAAAAACAGCAGCAAAUCAUCCCAAAUACAGCAAAAAAUUUAUCCAAAAACAGCAAAAAAUUUAACAAAAAAACAACAAUAUAUUUACCCAGAAACAACAAAAUAUUUAGCCUAGAACCAGCAGCAAAUGAAGCCCAAAACACCAGAAAAAAUUAACUGGAAAUUGCAAAAAUAUAACCCAAAAACAGCAGUAAAUUUAUCUAAAAACAGCAGAAAAAUAAACUGAAAAACAGCAGCCAAUUUACCCAGAAAUAGCAGAAAAUUUAACCUAAAAACAGCAGCAAAUCAUCCCAAAUACAGCAAAAAAUUUAUCCAAAAACAGCAAAAAAUUUAACAAAAAAACAACAAUAUAUUUACCCAGAAACAACAAAAUAUUUAGCCUAGAACCAGCAGCAAAUGAAGCCCAAAACACCAGAAAAAAUUAACUGGAAAUUGCAAAAAUAUAACCCAAAAACAGCAGUAAAUUUAUCUAAAAACAGCAGAAAAAUAAACUGAAAAACAGCAGCCAAUUUACCCAGAAAUAGCAGAAAAUUUAACCUAAAAACAGCAGCAAAUCAUCCCAAAUACAGCAAAAAAUUUAUCCAAAAACAGCAAAAAAUUUAACAAAAAAACAACAAUAUAUUUACCCAGAAACAACAAAAUAUUUAGCCUAGAACCAGCAGCAAAUGAAGCCCAAAACACCAGAAAAAAUUAACUGGAAAUUGCAAAAAUAUAACCCAAAAACAGCAGUAAAUUUAUCUAAAAACAGCAGAAAAAUAAACUGAAAAACAGCAGCCAAUUUACCCAGAAAUAGCAGAAAAUUUAACCUAAAAACAGCAGCAAAUCAUCCCAAAUACAGCAAAAAAUUUAUCCAAAAACAGCAAAAAAUUUAACAAAAAAACAACAAUAUAUUUACCCAGAAACAACAAAAUAUUUAGCCUAGAACCAGCAGCAAAUGAAGCCCAAAACACCAGAAAAAAUUAACUGGAAAUUGCAAAAAUAUAACCCAAAAACAGCAGUAAAUUUAUCUAAAAACAGCAGAAAAAUAAACUGAAAAACAGCAGCCAAUUUACCCAGAAAUAGCAGAAAAUUUAACCUAAAAACAGCAGCACCUGACCUCUGGUUACCGCACUUUCAUUUGUGUGUAAAGUCUCCCAAAUUCUUUAGUCAUGGCGUAAUAGAUUCUCUUAUAUAAAUAAUGAAUAAUGUUGUUAACAGAAGCCCCUGAACUUAGAAUUACUUCCAGUUCUUUAUAUUCUUAGUUCUAAUAAGGCAAGAGUGAGUUUUGGUAUAUCUAAUGGGAUAUAGAAAGGUAUUUACCCCCAUUUUAUCUAGCAACUUCAAAACCUGGUAAGUCUCUCGCAAAACCUGAAUUUAGAUGGAUGGACUUCAAAUUAAUCCUAAUAAAUUUUUUAAAAAAUGGAAAGAAAAAUUGAGUAACUGCGGCAAAAUUAUGCAAAGAAAUUAAACUGGCUGAGAAGAUGGAGCAACUUAAAUGUGCUUGAUGUAGCAAAUUAAAUGAUUGGACUAAGAUACUUGAUUCCCCAAAAGUCAGUGUCUUCAAAGUGUUGAAACUUGAAAGGAAAACACAACCCUUCACUCAAAACAAAGACCUGGAAUGACUAAGAUAGAAUUUCAUACACAUGAAAGAAAUUACGAGGGCUAAUUUGCUUUUCUAAUAAUCUCUUUCUUAAUGAUGGCAUUUUGACUUGUGUGGGAAUGAAGUGGGAACAAUGAUGAUGAUGGGGACAAUAAUGGGAAGAGGACAUGAUUAUUGAUGUUGGCUUAAUUCUGCGGGCAUUGAGAGUUAAAAGAAGAGAGAGAGAGAUGAUGAAAAAAUAGAAAAUUCAUUCUAUAGUUUCUGUGCUCCUCUCUCUCUCUCUCACAUCAUGCCAGAGGACGAAAACAGAGUAAAGAUGCAAAAUUGUGCACAGAAGGAAUAUUAUAUCAGAUAAUAUAAAAUUGAAUGAGAGAUCUGGAACUAAAUUGCUUAGCAUAACAUGAAACCUUCGACUCUUCAAAGUUGGAAGCCAAGGAUUAACUUACCUUGCACAAGUGAUGAUGAACAAACCAGGACAGAGACAGCAACAACAGAGACGCAGCAGUUGGAAGGCAGAAAAUUGGCUCAAGGAUGGCUACAAUCUACCAGCGCACUCGAACAGAAGUUUACGCAGGGGUGGGUGUGGCUUUCUCUUUUGCAAUUCAUUGAUUAGGGAUUGAAUUUUGCCUUUAUAUUAUAUUAUUCUUUUAAUAGGCAAACCCCCUUUCUUUAAUUUUAAACCGGUUAAAUUUUACUUUUAAAAUAAUAUUUAACCGACUUGUAACCGGUUAUAUGUAAUUUAAUCAAUUUCUUUUAUUGAAUUAUAAUUAUUUAGAAUCGUUGAUUUAAUCUAACAGUCCACGUCUAUUACGGCAUCAAUGCCAUAAAUUUAAUUAUGGCAUCAUAGAAUUUUCCCACAAUAUAUAUAUGUAUGUGCAUGUUGUGUGUGACCGUGCUGCUUAGUGGGGAUGGCCAUAAAAUGGACGUAAAGGUGGAAGGCCAUGAUUCCCCAUGAGUACAGCAAAAUUAAAUAAGGAAUUCCAAUACCGUCAAUUCUGCGUUUUAAUUUUAAGUUGAAGUAUAAUAAAACAAGAGGCUCAUGUGAUUUAAUUUUGUAUAUUUAAUUAAGUGAAAAUGAAACUUGCAUUGCAGCCAGACAUAGUUUAACCGGCUAUUAAUGCACUUUGUUCCUGUAUUUUUCCAAGUUUGAAUAUUAAUAAAAUUCAAAGUUGAUAUUCAAUGGAUAAGGUUUCUCAUCCCUAAAAUUUUAUUUAAAGAAAAAAAAACAAUCUCAGAGAAAAGAAUACAAACUGCAGGACCAUUGCAAAGAUCCUGGAGUAAGAGAAAAUUUUGUAAUUAGCACAACAUGUAACUUCAAUGACUAAAAGGAAGAAAAUAAAAUAAAAUAAAAUAAAAGAAAGCACAACAUGUGCCAUCAAUGAAAUUAGCUUUUAUUCUUUGUCAAAGUGGAAUCUAUUUGGUAAUUAGACACGUGCUUAUAUAUAGUAGAUAACAUUCUAUAAUGGUAGUAAUAGCAGACUCUGCGUAUUUUCGAAAAAAAAAAUGCGACAUUCUUUUUUGGAAUAUUUGUCAUGUUUUCCUCUGUUUAUCUGCUCUGCCAACUCGUAGGGUCUUCAUUGUUUUUCUAUUUUCCCAGCCUUUUUAAAAUCUCAAGCUUGUCAAAUAUUUUAGCAAUUACUUUGUAAAAAUUAGAAGUUCAUGUCCUUCACUUGCAUUGCUUUCAAUUACUUGAGCCUUCACAAACUAAACCAAAAGAAUUUUUUUACUUUAGCAAAUCUCUUUCAAAAAAUUCCUAUUUUUCUAUAAGACUCUCUUAAUAUAUGAAUUAAUAAUUACAUAAUUCAAAACUAAAUUUAUAUUAUGUAUUUUUGGCCUUUAUAAAAUAUGCUUUUAUUGUUGUUCUAGUAAUUGAUUUUGACUUAUUUCAAAGUACGUAUAAAAUAUCCAAGCUACUUAGUGGCCAAUAGUCCAUAAAAUAAACAUAAAAAUGGAUGGUCGUCUAAUUCCUCAUGACCUACAGCAAAAUUAAAUAAGGAACUCCAUUACCAUCAAUUCUACGUUUUAAUUUCAAGUUGGAAACUAGAGAAACUGGAGGCUCAGUUGAUUUAAUGCUGUAUAUAAUUAAUAAAGUAAAAGUAGAACCAGCAUGGUAGCUAGACACAGUUUAACUGGUGUUAUGAAGGCACUUUGUUUCUGCAGUUUUCUAAGUUUGAAUAAGAAUAAAAUUCAAAGUUGGUAUUCAAUGGGUAAGGUUUCUCAUCGCUGAAAUUUUGUUUAAAGAAAAAACCAGUCCCACAUAAACGAAUACAAAUAGCAGGACCAUUCAAAAGAUCCUAAAGCAAGAGGAAAUUUUGUAAUCAGCUUGGAGUAGUUUGCAAGGCAACUCCAAUAACAAAAAGAAAAUAAAAUAAAAGAAAGCACAACAGGCAGUAUCAAUGAAAUUAGCUUUUGUUCUUUGUUAAAGUGGAAUUUAUUUGAUAAUUAGACUCGCGCUUAUAUAAUAGCUAACAUGCUAUAGUAGUAAUAGGAGACUGUGCUUCAUUUUUGUCUUAAAAAAAUCGCAACAUUCGUUUUUGAAAUAAAAAAUAAAAAAUAUAUGUAUAAUGGUAAAUAUUUGCUCUAUUUUACUCUAUUUAUUUGCUCCACAAACCUGUAGGGUCUUCAUUAUUUGUCUAUUGUCCCAACAUUUUUAGCAUUUUUGCGAUUACUUUGUCAAAAGCGGAAGUUUGUAUUUCCUUCAAUUGCGUUGCUUUCAAUUACUUGAGCCUUCACAAACCAAAGCAAGCUAAAGUUGUUCCCUAAGCAAAUCUCUUUUUAAAAAAAUUCUAUUUUUCUAUUGGACUCUUUUACUAUACAAAUUCAUAAUUUUGUAAUUUGAAACUAAAUUUAUAUUAUAUGAAUUAAAACUUUUGUAGAAUAUGUUCUUUUUAUUGUUCUUGUCAUUGAUUUUGACAUAUCUGAUAUCUCAUCUCUAAUAUUGUUUGUAUACAUAAUCAAAUCAUUUUUCUACAUUCUCUAGAGUCUUAGAUCAGAAUUAAUUCAACUUCUAUUUAAUAUGUAGUUACAAAAUGGUUAGUGAAAUGAUAAAAUAAACUCAAAGCAUUGCAUAUAUAUCUCUUUUAAUUGCAAACUAUUUUCUUGUAAACAAUGUUAAAUUUUUAUAGCAUCAUUUUAUUGCCAAAUAUUUUUCAGUAACUAAAUUUUUCAUUAUUACAUGAUCAAUAUUUGUCUCUAUCAAUUCUCAUUACACGCCACAUCGAUAUCAUUCCUUAUUAUUCUUUCUUUCUAUGUUAAACUAACUCAAAUCAAUUAUAUCUUCUAUAUGAAAUUUUAUAAAAUUAUGAAAUCAAUGCUUUUAAUCUCAUAUCAUCACGGUGAUGGUACCAUCCGCGCCAGUAGCAUUAAAGUCAUGUAGACAUAUUUUCGCUGUUGCCGUGGCCAUUGCACAAAGAAUUAAAUUGAUCAGUUAUUUCCUUUGUUCUGUUUAUUUGAUCUGCUUAACUUGUAGUGUGAGCGUCUUUGUUAUUUGUCUAUUUUCCCAAUAUUUCAUAAACCUCAAACUUGUCAAAUAUUUUGAUGCUUAUUUUAUAAAAUUAUGAGCUGAUAUUUCCUCCAUUGAUAUUUGCUCCAAGCCAUGUCCUGUUAGUCAGACACAUGCCCAUUUUUUGCAUCGACUGAAAUUACUUAUUUAUUUAUUUUAUCUUCUUUCUAUAUCUUCUCUGAAAACCUUAUCGAAAUCACUCUUAGCUUAUUUCACUUAAAUUAAUUUCUUGAUAAUAUCUGAAAAAAUAAUCUUUCGCUUUAGCCGUGCCUGUGGAGUUGGUCGGACGUGAAUCCUGCUGAUUCACUAUAUGAAGAGUUGGAAGUUACUUGAUAUUCAUGGUAUGAAGAUUUGGCAGUCAUUGAGGAUUGCAGCAUGCAGGUGUUGAUAGAAUGUAUAUAAUUUUCCUGCAGCUGUUGACGGUAUAAUUAAAAUUUUCAGUGAUACUUGAAUGCAGCAUACGCAAGAAAACAGAGGAAAGAAGCUGGCUCUUACUAAUUGGCACAUUUUACUUAAUGAUGUGUGAUAAAUUUGGGACUCUAAUAAAUGUUUUGAAGAUAUAAAAAAAGGAAAGGGCUGGCAGGCAACAGACGUCUGUGCACAUGUGAACUUAUGGAUUCCCAAAAACGACUCACUAUCAACAUUGCCAUGUAAUUUAAUUUUGUGUUGUGUGCGUAUACAAAAAUUAAUCAAACUCUUUUCGACAUUCUCUAGUACCUUUGGUCAGAAAUAAUUUAUUUUUUCAAUUUGUAAAUAUCAAAUGAUUAGUGAAGUGAUCAAACACACUUAAAGCAUUGCAGUAUCUUUUAAAAGAUAACAAUGGAACGUAAGAAACUGACUGACUGGAACUUACAGAUGAAAUCAAUAUGUUGAUAACUUAAUAAUUUUUGUUGUAGAAAUAAAAAUAAAUUAAAUCAUUUUAUUCAUGAAAAAUCAUUUUUCCAUAUUUUAAGAUUGGGAUUUCACUCCGUUUCCUAACAUAUACAAAAGCAAGAUAAACACGUUCCAAAGAAUUGAUACAACAAAACCCAAAAGACUAGUAAACGACAUAAAUUUACAAAAAAAAAAAACACACAAAAAUCCUUUUUUUUUUCAAGAAAAUUAUGCGCUCAUCAAAGACAGUAUGCAAGUCAUUUUCCUAACUUCAUUUUUUUUUAACUCAAAUUUGCCUAUUAUAUUUUAUGCUUUACAGAGUGUGGUGAUGCCUUAAAAUUAAAAAAAAAAAAAGAGUUUGGUGAUGUAAGACAAUUAUUUAAUUAGGGUUUUAUUCCAUUUUUAAAAAAAUUUUGUCAACUAAAUUUUGAUUAAGGUAGUAUUUGAUAUGUUAUAGAGCAUUUCUAUUCCUUUUAGACAAUUAUUUAAAUAUAAUUAACAUACCUUCAUUCAUUCUCAUUCAAGUACAAAAAACACUCCAAUAUACUAUGAAUCUUCUGACAUAUGUAUUUCUUUUUGAUAACAUUAUUCAAUGAGCAAACACAAGUAAAGUUGUUCAAGUUAUGCUGGGGACCCUUUUCGGUAUUUAUGAUGGACUAUUAGUUAUUUAUCCUUAUAAAUUUAUAAAUAACAAUAAUAUCAUUAUUCAAUCAUUUAGAAGCAACUGAGUAUUUAUGAUUGGUUUAUCUCUCAAUAAGAACUAGACGCAUGUAUAUAUGUGAACUCUAAUUAAAUCUUGAUACUUGCAUUAAUGUAUAUAAGCCAUAUCUGAAAAACUGAGUUUUAAUUUCUACCUCCAUCUUUUAAAUGUUAGAUAAAUGUAAUUAAAUAGGAAGCGGCACAUAACGAUGGAUUCUUUUUGCUGGACACUAUUUUUCCCCCAAGUUAUCCAAUGAUGCUUAGUCCACCGAUGUCCUAUUUGUCAAGCAGACAAGAACAAGCAUAAACUCAAAACGGGGGAUUUCCAUGCGUCUGUAUCACUUAUUGGAUAUUUGGGCUCAUCAACUUUUAGAAACAGUUACAAUGAGGUAUGAAGCUCUUUCGGCACAAUAUCACGAAAUUUUGAUAUUAGCCCUUAAAAGAGCUUGGGCAAGGUCAAAGAAGUAACUGAAGGACUUCCUACAUGAUAUAAAUUACACCGGUUCUUCAUAAUUAUUAACGCCUGUCUUCUUCAAUUGCUGAUCAUCAAAACCUCAGCAAAUUGAAACUCUGUAAUUGUCUGAAGCUCAAAUACUUUCCAGAAAAGGCCCUGCCUCCCUCUCUUUUGUGAUUAGAGAUCUCGGGUUGUCCCUUGGUAGAAGAAAGGUACUCAAAAGGAUGGAGGACAAUUACAGAGGAGCUAAGACGGUAUUAAUUAGUUUCUUGUUGGGGUGGGUGUAACGUGCGACGGCCUCUAUGUAAUUCUUGAUGUUAUUAUUAUUGAUGUUGUAUCUUGGUGUUGUCUUGAUGGCUUGGCGGUCUUUGGGUGGCUGAGUUGCUUGCUUCCAAUGGCAGAGCAAAGAUGUAAUCUUCAAAUUGCCAAACAAGUCUUCAAUUAUCUUCCGAAAGAUGUGCUCCUUUGUUGACAUAGUGCUCUAAUUGUACGCAAGUAUGUGGGUAGAGUUUAGUUGAUAAUCUACUUUAACCUGUUGAACAGAACAGAUUUUCUGAAAUGAAUUUCGAAACUGAAAAUCUACAUGAGUUUUGUGUUCUAUCAUGCGUUGUAUGUAUACUGUUCAUUGUUUGAGCUUAUGAACUAAGACAUCAGAACAUAGAUUUUUUUCUAGCUAGUGUUUUUCACUUUAGAUUUGAUUUUUCACUGAAUACAAAAUUUGAACUUUGUUAUUAUUCAAAGUAAAGAUAAAUGUGCAAAUUACAACAGGUGCCAUUUUUACUUGAUUAAAUAUGUAUAAAUCACCCGAACCUUCUGUUUUCACUAUUUUCCAACUUCAAAUUAAAAUGCAUAAUUGAUGGUAUCAGAGUUCCUUCUUAAAUUUUUGUUGUAGGUCAUGGGGAAUUAAUUAGACGGCUAUCCAAUUUUAUGCCUUUUUUAUGGCCGUUCACUUAGUAGCUUGGUCAUAUAUAGACGUAUUGGGAUGUCGUAGGCCUUAAAGAAAAAAAUCAAUCUCACAUUUAAAGGAGUAGAAUCACAUGAUUUUAUGAUACGUUUACUAAUUCGGAAUGGACUAAAAUUGAAAUGUGAAAUAAAAAAAUUAAAAUAAAUUAUUUACUUCAACUAUAAGAAUCAAAAUUAAAAUAAAUUGUAUUAUCAUUAAUGUAUUUACUUUACCUUAAAAUUACAAUGAAUUAUUUAAAUUAUUAAAAUACCCUUAAAUUCAUUAUUACCACUAUAUUUAUUAUCUAUUAUAUGAUUAUGGUUAUUAAGAAAGUUAUUGUUAAUAAUAAUAAUAACAAUAAUAAUUAUUUUCCUCUUGUUUUUAUUAUUAUUUUCUCUCCUGUUUUUCUUUCUUUUUUUUUUAUCCUCUUCUCCUUUCUCUCUCUCUCUCUCUGUUUUACAAAUUCUUCGUUACUUCAUCAUCAAUCAUGUCAAUUUCAUCUUCUCCAUCAACAUCAUCAUCAUCAUCACCACAAUUAUCUUCUUCUUCCUUCUGUCAAUUUCAUUAUCAACAUCACAAUUCAGUUUCAUCUUCAUCAUCUCACCGCAAUUACAUCAUCUACAUCAUCAUCAUCGAUAAUAUUAAUCAUCAACAAUGGUAAUAAUCAUCAUCAUCAUCAAUCAUCAUCAUUAUUGUCAUAAAACAUCAUCGUUAUCAUUAUUGAUUGGUUCUUCGAUGACAACAAAGAGGCCGACCAUGACUGCGGCGACAAGCUACUGAACUGACAUGACAGAACUGACGAAUCCGAACAGUGAUGAGCAAUGGAGAUGGGCUACAAUCGGCAAUGAAUCCGACUGGUGACGAGCUGCUUAACUGGCUAGUGAGUGAGAGGAAACUUUAUUUUGAUAACAGUAAUUCCUUAACUGCUCCAGCAAUUAGACCGAAGCCAAACUGAUCGUCCACGAAACCCUCCAGACAGGGAAAUGGGGAGGGAAAAAAAGAAAAAAAGAAGUAUAACAAGUAUGCUUUAUAUGACCUUAAUAUGUUCAAAUGUAACAACUUGAUACAAUAAGUUCAUUAUUGGUCAAUCUACUUGCACUCUAUUUCAAAAAGCAAUUUGUCAAAAGCAAUAAAUUUUCUCAGUUAUCCACAAGGCAUAAUAGAUGGUUGUUGUUAAGUUCACCUAGCAACAUGAACUAUGGGAAUCAAUGGCAUUGUGAAGAGGUCACACGAGGAAAAAAAUAAAUGGCAUUGUUAAGUUCCCUUCUAGUACUUCAACAGUCUUAGCCUAUUCUUCUGAUAUGACAAAAGCAACUUCUGAAUAUGAAUAAACCUAGAAAGAAGAAUUCGGCUUUCGUAAAUAAGAAGUUCUUAAAACAAAAAGCUAACAGAUAACCAAUCAGAAUGAAUCUUGAAACCCAUCUUAUGGCUUAAACCAGACAAAUAGAAAUCUCCUCUUGCAAUAACAUAAUUGAGUCAAGUAGCCGCAAUAAUGAAAAACAAUCACCUGAUUUUUAGCAAGGCCACGUAUAACCACCGAAUCUGAAGGAAGAACAUUUCCGGCAAGAUAUUUUAGGACCCCAUUCGGAACCUGGGAGGCUGGAGAGCUCAAAGUCACUGGAUAUGUCCAAGAAAAGACGAGAUCCAACUUUUCCUGUUAGUCGUAUUAAUUAAUUAGUAUAAAUUAGUUGAAUGUUGAGUGAGUUUCUGUGAUUGCUGUGAUGUAAUAUGAUACUAUUCAAUCGAGCCACUCUGCUUUUCAGUGAUAGACACAAAUGAGAUUAGUGCACAUGCGUUAGAUAGAUAUAAUUAAAAUACCAAGAUUAUAUUCCCAUCAUAAUUAACAACUAAUUUUCAGUUCCUUGUAUCAAUUUCUAUUUCAAUAUAUCUAAUGGCAAUCUCAUGAGCUCAAUGUUAUUUUUACCGUAUUUUGCACCUUUGUGAUAUUUAAUUAAAACAACACCAACAUAAAAGAAAAUUUGACAAAAGUACUGCCAAGAUUAUCAUCAUCUGAAUUUUGGAUACCAAACAUCAUUUGUAAAUCAACAAUCCAAAACCAACUACAAAUACCCCUUAGAUAGAAAUUCAUAUUACAGUUUGUCCAACAACUAGAAACACCAUAAAAGCAGAGUACAUAGCUUGUCACAUAAAAACAGAUUAUAUCUUCUCCUCAGCAGCUGAAUCUUCCUAAGAGCUCAAUGAUAACACAAUACACAAUUUGAUGCAUAGUUGCAUGAUCGGGAAGUCUAACUUUGUACUUGCAAGAUGAUCUUUUCAUCAGACUUGGUCAAAGAUCGUUUUGUAAUUAAUUUCAUAAGCUGAAUGUAUAUAAAUGCUCGAGUGUUCUUCAUUAAAAUAGCCUGAUUGAACAUAAUUAAUAUAAUGGAAAUCAAAUUAUAAUGAUUGGAUUUUCUAGAUUAGCAUUAUUUCAUCUUUGUAUAAUCUAACUUGAGACAAUCAAUAUUUAUACCGAUUUCAUCCAUUUGAUCGUUACUUUGAUGUUUGCUUUUAAAAAUUCUCUUCACCUACCGAUUUCAUUUAACAAAAAUUUUACACACAAGACAACUUUACAGAGAAUUAUAUAAAACCAAAUGAAAUAUCAAGGCUGUUCACGAAUUGCCUUCGUGUGGUUCAAUAGCCAAGCAAGUCUUCAAUUAUUUGUUAUAAGAACUGCCACUCUGAACUAAGGGGCGGUGAGCUGAGGAUUAUUGCUAAAAUAUGAGUUCUCUGUUCUAUCAUGCAUCUUGUAUACUAUCAAUUGUUCCAGCUUAUAAACUAAGACAUCGAAACAAAGAUUCUGUUCUAGCUACUGUUUUUCACUUUAGAUUUGGGAUUGAUGUUCAGCUUUAUCUUUUAGCGCCUGUGACAUCCCAAUACACACACACACACACGCACACACAUAUUGUAUAUGACCAAGCUACUUAGUGGGGAUGGCCAUAAAAUAGACGUCAAAAUGGAUGGCCAUCUGAUUCCCCAUAACUGCAGCAAAAUUAAAUAUGAAACUCCAAUACUGUCAAUUCUUCGUUUUAAUUUUAAGUUGAAGUAUAAUGAAACUGUUAGGAAAUUGAGCUUCCUCCCAAGAUCACUCUAAGCAAUUUGUCAAGCAACAAAUUAACAGAAAAAAUUAAAUGGAGAAUACACCAAUCACACAACAGUAGAUUUACGUGGAAAACUCCAAAUCUGGAGAAAAACCACGGCCGUUGUCAAAAGCCAACCAGAGAAAAAAUAUUCACUAUGUGGAAAAUUAUUACAACCACACUCUGAGAAAUAAUUUUCUCUCACCCAAUCCCCAAAUACAUAAUCCUGAGAAAUAUCCUUUAACAAAGCAAACCUGUAACACCUAUAUUGAGGAGUCAAAUACUCCUACAAUAUAACUACAUGCUUAAGAACAUUUCUCUCUCUCAAUUUCUCACCAAAACUUGGAUCGCUUCUCUGGGAUUUGGGAUGCCAAGCUCUCAAAUGAGAGCUUCCUUUUAUAGGCAAAAUUUUGCCUAAAAUCAAUCUAUUUUUUCAACAUUCAAUAGCCACCAUUCAACAUUCAAAAUAGUUUUGGCCACUUCCAAUUACUUUUCAAAGUUCUCGGCCACCUCCCAUUUGAAUUCAAAUGAUGUCUUUGAAUUUGACUUUUCAACUUUUUUUUAAUCAAUUUUCAACAGAAACGAGAGGCUCGUGUGAUUUAAUUUUGUAUAUUUAAUUAAGUGAAACUUGCAUUGUAGCUAGACAUAGUGUAACCGGCUAUGAAUGCACUUUGUUCCUGCAGUACUUUCUAAGUUUGAAUAUUAAUAAAAUUCAAAGUUGAUGUUCAAUGGAUAAGAUUUCUCAUCCCUGAAAUUUUAUUUAAAGAAAAAAACCAAUCUCACCGAAAGGAAUACAAAUUGCUGGACCAUUGCAAAGAUCCUAGUGUAAGAGUAAGUUUUGUAUUUAGCUUGGAGCAGUUUGCAAAGUAACUUCAAUAACUAAAAGGAGAAAAAUAAAAUAAAAGAAAGCACAACAUAUGCCAUCAAUGAAAUUAGCUUUUAUUCUUUGUUAUAGUGGAAUUCAUUUGGUAAUUAGACACGUGCUUAUAAAUGGUAGCUAAAGUUCUAUGGUAGUAAUAGCAAACUGUGCUUCUUUUUGGGAAAAAAUAUCGCAACAUUCUUUUUUGGAAAAAAAUAAAAAAAAAUAUAUGUAUAACAGUAAAUAUUUGCUUUGUUUUCCUCUGUUUAUUUGCUCUGCCAGCUUGUAGGAUCUUCAUUAUUUGUCUAUUUUUCCAGCUUUUUUAACAUCUCAAACUUGUCAAAUAUUUUAGUGAUUACUUUGUCAAAAUCAAAAGCUUGUAUUUCCUUCAAUUGCGUUGCUUUCAAUUAGUUGAGUCUUCACAAAUUAAACCAAACUAAAGUUGUUCCUUAAGCAAAUCUCCUUUAAAAAAAUUCUUAUUUUUCUAUAAGACUCUCUUGCUAUACAAAUUAAUAAUUAUCUAAUUCGAAACUAAAUUUAUAUUAUGCAUUUGUGGUUUUAUAAAAUAUGCUCUUAUUGUUGUUUUUGUGAUUGAUUUUGACUUAUUUCAUUUCUAAUUUUUUUUAAGACAAAAAUCAAAUCUCUUUUCGAUAUUCUCUAGAGUCUUUGGUCAAAAUUAAUUGAACUUCUAAUUAACAUGUAGUUACAAAAUGGUUAGCGAAGUGAUAAAAUAAACUCGAUGCAUUGGAUAUAUAUCUAUUAAUUUUAAUUGUCAAUUUAUUUUCAAUAAAUACAUAUUUCAUUAUGACACGAUCAAUAUUUGUUGUCUAUCUUUACUCAUCACAUGCCACAUCGACAUCAUUCCCCAUUACUCUUUCCGUAUAUGUUAAGCUAACUCAAAUCAAUUAUAUCUUUUCUAUGAAUUACAUAAAAUUAUGAAAUCAAUGUUUUUAAUAUCAUACCAUCAAAAUUGAUUGAUAAGGAAAUGUUAGUGUAAUGCUGCACGGUGAUAGUACCAUGCCAGUCGGAUAAUGUUGUCAUGUAGACAUAUUUUCGCUGUCUGUGGCCAUUGCACAAAGUAAUAAAUUGAUCACUUAUUUCCUCUGUUCUGUUUAUUUGAUCUGCUUAACUUGUAGUGGCUUUAUUAUUUCUCUUAUCCCAAUAUUUCAUAAACCUCAAACUUGUCCAUUGAUCCUUGCUCCAAGCCAUGUCUUGUUAGUCAGACUACGAAGCUCGCUCAUUUUUUGCAUCGACUGAUCAAAUUACUUAUUUUUCUUUUUGAUCUAUGUUCUAUAUCUUCUUUGGAAAUGUUAUUGAAAUCACCCUUAGCCAAUUAUCAAAUCAAAUGAAAAGUUCUGUCAGCACUUGCAACAUAUGCAAGUGCUGACAGAAUAUGUAUAAUUUUCAUGUGUUGAUGGUGUAAAAUUUUGAGUGAUACUUAAAAGUUGCAACACAUUCAAGAAAUCAGAAAAAAGAAGCUAGUUCUUCCUAAUCGGCACAUUUUACUUAAUGAUGUGCCACAAAUGUGGGACUCUAAUAAUGUUUGGGAGAUAUAAAAGAGCUUGGGUAACAAUGUAGGAAGCUCUACUCUUCAGUGAUGGUACAAUGUUUCGUGAUUGUCAAAUAUUUUCUCUUUUAAUUAAUCAUAAAGAACUAGUAGUCGUAUUAAUUAAUUAGUAUAAGCUAGCUAGCUGAAUGUUCAAUGUUAUUGCACUUUUGAGCUACAUAUGGCCUGGUAUGCUCGCGCAAUGAAAUUAGAGUAGUGCUAGAGAGAGAGAAGCAUGAGAGAAAGACGAGAGAAUUUUGCUCUCUCUCUCUCUACCCACUCACUCUCUCUCUACCCAUUUCUUCAUUGUUUCUCUCAUCUUUCUCUUGUGCUUCUCUACACCAAGCAUUUUCCAUGAAAUUAAGUUUUGAGUUUAUGUGAUAUGAUACUAUUCAAUCAAGUAACUCUACUCUUCAGUGAUAGACACAAAUGAAAGUGCACAUGCAUUAGCUAGAUGAUAAGUAAUAGACCAAGUAUAUAUUCCCAUCAUAGUUAACAACGAACAAUCUUACGUGAUCCAGUGUCAAUUGGUUUUCAGUUUCUUUUAUUGAUUUCUUUUUCAAUAUAUAUAACGGCAACUUCAUGAGCUGAACGUUAAUUUCACUGUAUUGGGCACCUUUAUGAUAUUCUAUUAAACCAUGGAAAUGGGGGUUCGAGAUUUUGAACGAUUUAUUUAAUUGUAAAUUGUUCGGAUUAUGUAUGUUUCAGUCAAAAAUAGGAGAGUUCCUUGAAUUGGUUUGACUUCCCCUUUUGUAUUAUAGUAAAAAACAGAGGUUGUUCUGCCUUUCUAAUUAAUGUUAGUUUCAAUUUCAGAAUGUGAUGCACUGAAAUCCAGUUCGAUCUCUCAAGGACUUUGGGCUGAUGGAUUGUUUGAAAUUAUUCAGGUUGUUUUAGUCAAACUCAAAACAGAGGAAUUCCAUGCAUAUGUGUCAUCACCAUUAAUAUUUAUAUUUCUUUACACAAUUUAUCAGUUAUUGGAUAUUUGGAGUCCUCAACUUUUAAAAACUGCUAUAGCAAUGUAGGAAGCUCUGUUUUGGAUAUUUGGCACAAUAUCACGAAAUUUUGAGAUUCAGAUGAUUUUGCCUAAAGUGCUUCCUACAUCAUAUAAAUUACACCGGUUCUUCAUAAUUAUUAACACAUUAAUAUGAAUAGUUAGAAAGUAAUAAAGAGAUGGGUUUUUUUUUUUUUUUGAAGUAAACAUAAUUGAUUGAAGAAUAUUAUUAAAUGGGUGGGAUUAUUCGUAGUCUAAAAUUUACUCCCCAUUAUUAUGUGCCCUAGCUAAUGAGUUUUAAGAAAUCAAUUUUUACUUUAAACACUUUUGUAAAUAUCAAAAUACUCCUCAACAACAUUCCUUAUAUUAUCUUUAUUUUUCUUAGUACCCCCAUAAAAAUAUUGAUCACACCAAGAUUAAUUACCUUUGCUCUCCUUAUUUUUCAUAGCCAAGCAAGUCUUCAAGUCAAAGCAUUUGCUUGUGAUGCCAUGACCAAGAAUGCCGCUGCCAUAACAAGAAAUGGCAUUGCAGGAAUGUUGAAUGCCACAUGUUGCUUCUAAUCUGCAAUCAAUUUGAAAACUGUUGCAGUUCUGUAAUUUUCCCUUGUUAAAAUGUGUAAACAGACCAAAUUGAAGCAAAGUGCAUUACGGUAAAUACUAUUACGAGAGGCAUCUCAGUAAGAUGUUUGCUAAAAAACAAAAAUAAUCUUUUAAAGAGACAUUUAAUCAAACAAUUAAUGCGCAUUCAAAUAGCAGAACACUCUAAAAUCAUUUCAACAGGAUGUAAAUCUCAAAUCACUAUUAUUAUUACGAGACUCAAUUAAUUUCAAUUGAAAAUAUUACACAUUCAAUUAUCACCUGAAAUCAAAGUUGUUCUUGGCGGAAUUAAGGAGAAAGCACUGUUCUCAAUAUGAUCAAUGGGAGGAGCAACGCUAUAAUCUGCUUGAAGAAAAGAAUGAAAAAGAUAUCCUAAGUUAAAUAAACAAAAAUUGAACACAUAAAAUAAAUUGAUUCUUUCAAAAUUGAGAAUGAAAAUGAAAAUUACUCGUGCGUUCCUUGUUUGUUGAACAGGAAAUUGAGACUUGGAAUCAAUUAAAUCAACCUAGAUUGAUUAAAAAUACAAUUAAUUCAAGUAUAACCCUAAAUUAUCAAACUAGAAAGAGAGAGGUAAAAAAAAAUUAUCAAAAUUAAAGGAAACAAUACCUGAAAUUCGAGAAGCAGGUAAAGCAAGCUAAAUUCUUCGUGCGUUCUUCUUUGAAAGAGAAUGGAGAUGAAAUUCGAAAUUGAGUGACUGAUGAAAAACUGAGAGGUGAUUAUUGAAAAGAAAGUAAUGGGAAUGAGUUUGACUUUUCUCAAAAGAAACUGAUCUGUUCUAAGAACGAAAACAGAAGCGGUAUAGCAAGUUUUUUGUUUUUUUUUCUUAAGUCAAUAAAAGGAAAAGGUAAAUGAUAAUGAUUCAAUAAAUAUGUUAUAUAUUUGUCACUUAUUUGAUAAAACGUCACAAUUAUUUGACGUUUAAAUAAAUUGUCAUUUAUAUUUCACAAUUAUUUGACGUUUAAAUAAUUGUGUUGUGCGUGUACACAAAAAUGAAUCAAAAUCUCUUCCACUAGUGUCUUUGGCCAGAAAUAUUUGACUUUUCUAAUUUGUAAUAUCUUUUAAAAGAUAAUUAAGGAAUGAAACUAAGAAACCGACUGUCAGUUGUAAAAUGAAACCAAUAACUUGAUGGGUUGAUAAAUUAAUAGUUUUUCCUGGUAGAAUUAAAAAAAAAUUAAUUUUUUUUAUUCAUAAAAAAUAUAUCGCAUUUCGUUUCCCCUAAAUUUUAAAAUUGAGAUUUCACUUUUAUUCCUGAUGUAUUUCUACCAAAAAUAUUGCAUAAAAAAUAAAUAAAACAAGAUAACCACCAAAAAAUUGAUACAACAAAGCCCGAAUUAAAGACUAUAGUAUAUGACAUGAGUUUACCCAAAAAAAAAAAAUUUAAAAAUUUGAGUUUAUUAAAGAAUUGAGUUGUCAAGGACAGUAUAUAAUUCAUUUUCCUCUGUCUGCUUAACUUCUGUCUUCAUUAUUUGUUUAUUUUCCCAAUCCUUUUUUUAAUUAAAAAAAACUCAAAUUUGUCUGUUAUACUUUAUAAGAUCUGGAGUUCGAUGAUGCAGGACAAAUUAUUUAGGGUUAAUUAUUUUAGGAAGUAUUAUUAGAGAGUAUUUCUAUUCCUAUUCAUUUAUUCAAGAAGGUUUCUAAUUCAGUUUUUUUUAAAUUUUAGAUAGAUGUGCUGCAUGUGCAUGUGUAUAUCUAUAUAUACAUGUACUAAAUAGGAAGCAGCACAUAUCGAAAAGAUGGCUUCUUUUUGCCGGGCACUGAUUUUGUCUUUACAGAUUGUGGUGUAACUCUUAUUGGUUUCUCUUUUUCACUUCUAUUAUUGGAAGAAAGUCAAUAAAAGCAAGUUGAUAAAAGGGAUCAAUAAAUUUUUUCUUUUGGUAAAGAUUGGAAAUCAAAAAAAGAAACAAGAAAAAGAAAUUGAAUCAUGAUCAAUAUUAUUGUGAUAUUGAAAUUUCAUAUUCGAACUGUUUAUGUAUUUCGAAGGAAAACCUCUGCGUUGCUUUAAGUUUGUCUUGUUGUGGGUCACAUGUCAUUCGAUAACCAACUAUCAAAUGAAUUAAUAAUUUAGUUUCAUACGGCAUUCUUUUUAUGAAAUGUUCACCCCAAUUAGAGUAAUAAUAAUAUACAGAAAUGCUUUUCAACAUCACCGAUUUUUUGUUUAAAAAAAAAAGAAGAAUUAUUUUAUAGACUGCAUGCUCCCAUGGGUCACAUGUCAUUCGAUAAUCAACUAUCAAAUGAAUUAAUAAUUUAUGUAUAAUAUGUCAUUUAUUAGUAAGUUUUUGUAUAUUAAAUUUUCAAGUAAAAAGGAAGACUUUCUCCAGAGUUUGACUUUUCUCAAAAGAAACUGAUCUGUUCUAAGAACGAAAACAGAAGCGGUAUAGCAAGUUUUUUGUUUUUUUUUCUUAAGUCAAUAAAAGGAAAAGGUAAAUGAUAAUGAUUCAAUAAAUAUGUUAUAUAUUUGUCACUUAUUUGAUAAAACGUCACAAUUAUUUGACGUUUAAAUAAAUUGUCAUUUAUAUUUCACAAUUAUUUGACGUUUAAAUAAUUGUGUUGUGCGUGUACACAAAAAUGAAUCAAAAUCUCUUCCACUAGUGUCUUUGGCCAGAAAUAUUUGACUUUUCUAAUUUGUAAUAUCUUUUAAAAGAUAAUUAAGGAAUGAAACUAAGAAACCGACUGUCAGUUGUAAAAUGAAACCAAUAACUUGAUGGGUUGAUAAAUUAAUAGUUUUUCCUGGUAGAAUUAAAAAAAAAUUAAUUUUUUUUAUUCAUAAAAAAUAUAUCGCAUUUCGUUUCCCCUAAAUUUUAAAAUUGAGAUUUCACUUUUAUUCCUGAUGUAUUUCUACCAAAAAUAUUGCAUAAAAAAUAAAUAAAACAAGAUAACCACCAAAAAAUUGAUACAACAAAGCCCGAAUUAAAGACUAUAGUAUAUGACAUGAGUUUACCCAAAAAAAAAAAAUUUAAAAAUUUGAGUUUAUUAAAGAAUUGAGUUGUCAAGGACAGUAUAUAAUUCAUUUUCCUCUGUCUGCUUAACUUCUGUCUUCAUUAUUUGUUUAUUUUCCCAAUCCUUUUUUUAAUUAAAAAAAACUCAAAUUUGUCUGUUAUACUUUAUAAGAUCUGGAGUUCGAUGAUGCAGGACAAAUUAUUUAGGGUUAAUUAUUUUAGGAAGUAUUAUUAGAGAGUAUUUCUAUUCCUAUUCAUUUAUUCAAGAAGGUUUCUAAUUCAGUUUUUUUUAAAUUUUAGAUAGAUGUGCUGCAUGUGCAUGUGUAUAUCUAUAUAUACAUGUACUAAAUAGGAAGCAGCACAUAUCGAAAAGAUGGCUUCUUUUUGCCGGGCACUGAUUUUGUCUUUACAGAUUGUGGUGUAACUCUUAUUGGUUUCUCUUUUUCACUUCUAUUAUUGGAAGAAAGUCAAUAAAAGCAAGUUGAUAAAAGGGAUCAAUAAAUUUUUUCUUUUGGUAAAGAUUGGAAAUCAAAAAAAGAAACAAGAAAAAGAAAUUGAAUCAUGAUCAAUAUUAUUGUGAUAUUGAAAUUUCAUAUUCGAACUGUUUAUGUAUUUCGAAGGAAAACCUCUGCGUUGCUUUAAGUUUGUCUUGUUGUGGGUCACAUGUCAUUCGAUAACCAACUAUCAAAUGAAUUAAUAAUUUAGUUUCAUACGGCAUUCUUUUUAUGAAAUGUUCACCCCAAUUAGAGUAAUAAUAAUAUACAGAAAUGCUUUUCAACAUCACCGAUUUUUUGUUUAAAAAAAAAAGAAGAAUUAUUUUAUAGACUGCAUGCUCCCAUGGGUCACAUGUCAUUCGAUAAUCAACUAUCAAAUGAAUUAAUAAUUUAUGUAUAAUAUGUCAUUUAUUAGUAAGUUUUUGUAUAUUAAAUUUUCAAGUAAAAAGGAAGACUUUCUCCAUUUAAUAAAAUCGAGUGCUCUCUUGUCGAUGAAAUAGCAAACGACAAUCUUAAACUUACAGCCUCUCAGUGUGGGAGAACCAUUGAUUCUCAAUCUAAAAUAUAGUUCUGAGUCACUCAAUCAUAAAUACUAGCCUAAUUAACAAAAAAACAGAAUAAUCUUUCUCACUUACUAUAUUUCGACGACAAAAAAUAAACUGUUUUUUAUUGAUUUUCUUUCUAAACACUCAUUCAAUCAUGGGUUCAUUGGCGAGUUGGCGACCCAAAUAAAAAAUUAUCUGAGUGUCUGUGAUAAAAAAAAAACAUUAGAAUUACACAACUUUGCACUUUUCUCGUUAUAUAACUGUUACUUGAUUCUGUAAAAUGUUUCGAAAUACUGCUUUUGAAAGUAAGUGAAUAUGAAAAUGUCCAAAACUUAGUCUUAUUUGCUGUACAAUUAUAAAGAACAAUAUUUUGAAAACGUUAGCGGAAUAAAUUUUAGCAUUAAUUACGGUUCUACUCUGAGUCCAAAAUGUUUAUGUUUUUCUUUUAUUAUUAUUUUUAAAAUUCAUUCAUUGAUUCUUGGUCCACCCCGUCCAGUUCGUCAAGGAGAAGACAACAAGCGUGUGAAGCUUGCUAAAUUAUUGAUGGUGGUGGGGGCUGGCUUUAUUUACACUUUGGUGGAAUAAAAGUGAAGCUUGCUAAAUUAUUGGUGGUUGGAAUGUUUUUUUCUCCCUUUUCAUCUUCACUUUAGAGUGAUUUCAUCUGUGUCUAUUUGUUAGAUAACAUAUUAGAUGAAUAAAGUAAAAUAUUUCUAAAAAGAAACGUUUUAGGAGUUAAAAUAUAUAUAUAUAUAUACAGAGAAACGUCUUGAUUUAACUUGGUUUAUGAGUUGAAGAUUUGUAAAGUGAAGGCUCUACGUAACAGACACUGGAUUAACUACUUGAUCGACGAAUAUCUAAUGGAAUUUUGUGGUGAUUGGUGAAUUGCUAAAUUAUUAAUGGGUGGCGGGCUCUGUUUUUCUUGUUUUUUUUUUUUAACCACGAGGUAUCCUGGGGAGGUCCCAACUGUGUGAGGCACUUUUAAACCCGUACCAUAACUUAGACUAGAAGUCCCCGCUCGAACUGGGGGACACAUGUUCUCCCAACAAAGGCGACUUCCCUGCGACUCGAACUGGGGAGCAAACCCAGUCAAGCCACUUAAGGGGACUCCAUUGCGGAAUCUGUUUUUCUUUUCUUAGCUGCAAAGAACAACAAGUGGGAAGACUUGCCACAUUUUAUGUCGUAUUUUGCUUGACUCUUGAGGAAAAAAAGAACAAGUAGGGGUAUCAACCUUUUUGUGACCCCUUAUAGUUUGUUAGAAUGUCUUGAAAUAACAAAAAUAAACACUUUCAACUUCUUUGUACGAUUUUGGUCAGAAAAUUCGCCUGUAUCAACUAAUAAUUUUAUUACUGUUAAUAACUUAAUAUAAAGCAGCUAACUCUUGAAAAAUCUUCCCAAGAUAAAACUAAUAGACAAAUAAAACAUAAUAGAUAUUAACUCAAGGUAAAUCAAUAUUAAAAACGUGAUCAUGUUUUUCCAAAAUAAUGAAUAUUUUCAUAAAUUAAUAAUUUAUUAAUUUACUGAUUAAUUGAUAUUUGUUAAAUUUUAAUAAAUUUUUUUAUGGUUCCCAAAACUAUUAAUUUAUUGAGAUUUUAUUAUAGUUGUUAUAUGGGACACAAUGCAAUUUAUAACAAUAUAUUGUUGCAAUGGGACUAACAAAAUUUCUAGCAAUUUUCUUUUCGUAGAUAAAAACCAUUUGAUUUCGAUGACAUUAACCAUGUAAAUGUUAAUAACACGUGAUUUAAAAAAAAAAAGGGAGUUUUUCUAAUUAUUAAUAAAAGGAGAAUUCAAAGAAGAAAAUUAAAAGGAAAACAGCCAUAGGGGUUCGUGUUGGGAAUGACCAUUCGCAGGUUUUGCUAUCCUGCCACGGUUUGCUUUCUUCUCUGAACGUUUAAUAUUUGAAUGAAUGUAUUCGCAAAUCGACAUACUGGUACGGUGGUGGAAACUUUAUUUCUUAGUUUGUCCAUACACAAUUAAAUUAGACUGAAAUUUAGAAAUAUGUGUAACAAUCCAAUUGCAGCCUACUGAUUUUGAGUUGGAAUUGUUUUAACUUGUUUUAAAAUUAUUUUAACUACAACAGUUAAUAAAGCUUUUUAAUAAAGGUUAAUGCAUGAGAAAGUACUUUAUUUAUUUUGGCUGACCCCUUCUCCUUCAUUGGCUAAGCCAUUAACCAUAUGAUGAAUAAUACUAAUAAAAUAAGUUUGAUCAAUACAAAAGUUCUAUUUUUUUGAAUUAACAAAUAUGCAACACAAUCAGAAGUGGCCAAUGCGGUGCACAACACCAAAUUAAGAAAGUACUGAGAUUAAUUAAUUAAUUUUCAUCAACAAAAUAUUAAGAUUGAUAUCUGUAAUCUAAUUUGCUUAAUUUUUCUUUUAAAAAAUUUCAAGUAAAAAAGAUUUUUAAAAUUAAUUUUCAAUGGUGGUUGUUUUUACUUUCAAUUCGUCAUGGCAGCCUUUGGAGAAACCAACCAAUAUUUGUCAAUUUGUGAGGUGAGAUACAAGCAUUUCAUGAUAUUCUACAAGCUUUUAACACGUCAAUAAUCGAAACAGAUGGAAAUUAAAUCAUAGGAAUUAAAAAUCUAAAAAAAUUAUUUUUUUCAUACAUUGAUUGAACUUCAUUCUCAAUUGAAAAUUAUGACAAAGUUAAAUAAAUUAAUCACCACAAUUAGUAAAUAUUAGUACCUCAAGUUAAUGAAUUGACAACUUAAUAACGCUACAUUUUCAUCGAAAUUAAUAAGUCUUACAUAAUUCAUCUUACAUAAUCCAAGUUAAUGAAUUGACAAAUGAUUACAUGUUUGCUUCGUAAUUAAUUAAUAAAGUGAAAACAAAAACAAAUAGACCCUCACACCAAUAAUUUUACAACCAACCAAACCCCACUAUCUCCUUUUAAAAAAGAGAAAAAAUAUAAUAAGAGAAUUACAACUUUGCGCUCUUUGUAUCAUUGUUAUUUGAUUCCGUAUAAUGUUUCAAAAUAAAAAGGAAAACAUUUUGUAUAGCUUUUGUAAAUAAGUGAAUUUAAAAAUAUCUGAAAAUUAGUCCCGUUUUCUGCACAAUUAAAAAAAGAAAAUGUAUAGUAUCCAUUUUGCUUUUUGAAAUUGUUUCGUUAUCCUAGAUUAAUUCGCCAAUGUCUAGUUCCUAAAACACGAGCAUGCGAAGCUUGCUAAUGUAAUUAUUGGUGGAGGGUACCGUCUUUUAUUUCAUUUAGUGUAAUAAUAGCGUUAUGUUAAUUAUGUUAUUAGCUUAUUAAAUAUAUACCUUUAACAAACGAGUCGAAUUUGUGUUAUUUAAAAUUUCAUUUUACCUUAUUUCGACGCGACAGGAAUAUGAAUAUAAUAUUACACUACAAAUUGACAUUGUUGAUUAUAAAAAAAUGCAGUGCACUUAUAGUAAUAAGAAGAGAGAUUAAAAUCUUUUAAUUUAGCUUGCCUUUAUAAGAAGAAUUGAUAAACUCUCUUCAAACUUUUGAAAUGAACCUGAAGAGACGGUAAGAGGAGAAUAACGUAGAUUUAUUCCAAGCUAAUUAUAUUCCUAACAUUUAAGAUUAACAAAAGGGUUCUUUGCUUUCGUAUUCUCUCUGAAGUAGUGUCUAAUUAAUCAUGUUAAGUAAAGGCAAGAUUCUUGGUUCGGCUUUUAUUUAAUUUAGUAUGUAAAGCAAAGGUAUGAUUAUGAGCUCCUUCGAUUUUAUAUUUGUACUGGGCUCUGUUUUUUCUUUUCACUUUUGCGGUGGGUUUUACUUAAUGAGAAAUGGAAAAUGGAAAUUCACUUCGAAAAAAGGACAUAAAACUUCUUAACAUUUUAAAUAGACCCACACUAAUAACUUUGCAAACAACCCAACCCCACCAUCUCUUUUGAAAAAGAAAAAAUAAAAUACAAUCAGUGGAUUACCACUUUUCUCUUUGUAUCACUGUUGUUUGAUCCCAUAUAAUAUUUCCGGAAACACGAUCAUGCGAAACUUGCAAAAUUAUUGGUGGUAGUACUGUCUUUUAUUUCAUUCAGUGUAAUAAUCGCGUUUUGUUAUUUAUGUUAGUAACCCACUAAAUAUAUACCUUUAAUAAAUGAGUCGAAUUUGUUUUAUCUAAAAUUUCGUUUUCCAACAUGAAUAUAACAUUAACAUAACAUUAUGAUACGACUUCACAUUGAGAUUAAAACAAAACAAAUGUAGUGCACUUACAGGAAUAAAAAGACAGAUUAAAAUCGUUUAUUCUAACUUGCUUUUAUAAGUAGAAGACUUCUACAGCAAAGAGGAUGCAUUCUAUUUUCCUCCAUAUUCAACGUUUUUUUUUUCAUUAUUCAACGUUUGAAGAAAAAGAAAGAAUUUUGGUAUUCUUGGCGUAGAAGAAUUGAUAGACUCUCCUCAAACAUUUGAGAUGAACCUUAAUUACGGUUCUGAAAAUUAUAAAGAACAAUAUUUUGAAAACGUUAGCUGAGUAAAUUUUAGCAUUAAUUACGGUUUUUCUCUUAUUAUUAUUUUUAAAAUUCUGUCAUUGAUUCUUGGUCCACCCAUGUCCAGUUCGUCAAGGAGAAGACAACAAGCGUGUGAAGCUUGCAAAAUUAUUGCUGGUGGUGUGGGGCUGGCUUUAUUUACACUUUGGUGGAAUAAAGUGAAGCUUGCUAAAUUACUGGUUGUUGGAAGGUCAUUUUUUUUUCCCUUUCAUCUUCACUUUAGAGUAAUUUCAAUUGUGUCUAUUUGUUAGAUAACAUAUUAGAUGAAUAAAGUAAAAUAUUUCUAAAAAGAAACGUUUUAGGAGUUUAAAAAAAAAAAUAGAGAGAGAGAAACGUUUUGAUUUAUCUUGGUUUAUGAGUUGAAGAUUUGUAAAGUGAAGGUUCUAAGUAAUUGACACUGGAUUAACUGCUUGACCUAUACGAAUAUCUAACGGAAGGAAUUUCGUAACAAGUGGUGGUAAUUGGUGAAUUGCUAAAUUAUUAAUGGGUGGUGGGCUGUGUUUUUCUUUUCUUAGCUGCAAGGAAAACAAGUGGGGAGACUUGCCACAUUUUACGUCGUAUUUUGCUUGACCCUUGACACUUAUUAAUUACUAAGCAUUUUCAUUUUGCUUACCAAGUGGUGGUGUGAUGGGUGAAUUGCCAAAUUAUUAGUCAUUGGUCAAUAAAGUAUAAACGCGUGAUUUCUAGCUGGGCCAGACCCUUCACAAUCACAAACUCAUUCUGCUUAAUUAUCCAUUUUCUCACCCGUUCAAUUUUCUCAUUCUGCUUUCCAUAACCCAUAAUUCUGCUCCUUUCUUCCUUUGCCCAAAAAAAAAGAAAAAAAAUGUCAAUCAUCGGAGAGGCAAUCCUUACGGCGUCCGUUGAUUUGCUGGUCAAUAAGUUAGCUUCAGAGGGGAUUCUGUUUUUUGCACGCCAAGAGAAGAUCCAAGACGAUCUAAUGAAGUGGGAGAAUAUGUUGGAGAUGAUCAAGGCGGUGCUUGAUGAUGCUGAGGAGAAGAAGACGACUAAUCGGUCUGUGAAGAAGUGGCUUGGCAAGCUUCAGAACUUGGCUUAUGAUGUUGAAGACUUGUUGGAUGAGUUUCAAACUGAGGCUUUCCGGAGGAUGUUGCUGCUUGGAAAUGGAGAACCAGCUGCUGCUCAUGAUCAACCCAGUAGCAGUCGUACAAGAACAAGUAAGUUUCGGAAGCUCAUUCCUGCUUGCUGCACCACUUUUACUCCACAAUCGAUUCAGUUCGAUUAUGGCUUGAUGUCCAAAAUCAAAGAGAUCAACAGCAGAUUUCAAGAAAUUGUGACACAGAAAAACUUGCUAGAUUUGAAAGAAAGUUCAGCUGGAGGGUCCAAAAAAGCCAGUCAAAGGCUAGAGACAACCUCUUUAGUGACUGAAGCCAAAGUAUAUGGCAGGGAAACAGAAAAGAAGGAUGUUGUUGAACUGCUGUUGAGGGAUGAUUUAAGCAACGAUGGUGGAUUCUCUGUUAUUCCUAUUAUAGGUAUGGGCGGGAUGGGCAAAACUACUCUUGCUCAGCUUGUCUACAAUGAUAAGCGAGUGCAGGAUCAUUUUGAUCUCAAGGCAUGGACUUGUGUCUCUGACGAUUUCGACGUUAAGAGGCUAACAAAAACAAUUCUAAGAUCCGUUACUAAGCAGACUAUUGAUGACAGUGAUUUAAAUUUGCUUCAAGAGGAGCUGAAGAAGAAGUUAUCUCAAAAGAAAUUUUUGCUUGUUUUAGACGACGUUUGGAAUGAGAAAUACAAUGAUUGGGUUGACAUGAGCCGUCCGUCCGUAAGAUUAUUGUCACAACUCGUAAUCAAGAUGUUGCAGCCAUCAUGGGAACUGCUCCAGCUUAUGAAAUUAAAAAGUUGUCAUUUGAUGAUUCUGUCCGUGUUCGCUCAACACUCUUUGGGGACAAGAGAUUUCAGUUCAAACAAGUCAUUGGAGGAAAUUGGCAAGAAGAUAGUGAUCAAAUGCAACGGCUUGCCCUUAGCUGCGAAAACACUUGGUGGACUUUUACGUGGUAAAUGUGACCGAAGUGAUUGGGAAGGUGUGCUCAGUUGCAACAUAUGGGAUUUACCAGAAGAGAGAUGUGACAUUAUACCGGCGCUUAGAGUGAGCUACUAUUAUCUCUCGGCACCUUUGAAACAGUGCUUUGCAUACUGCUCAUUGUUUCCAAAGGAUUAUGAAUUCGAAGAGGAGGAGAUAAUUUUAUUAUGGAGUGCUGUGGCUUUCUUGGAUCACAGAGAGAGCGGGAAUCCAAGUGAAGAUCUAGGUCAUUUCAUCCCCAAGCUGCCGGAUUCAGUUGGUGAUUUGAGGUAUUUAAGGUACCUUAACCUAUCUGGAACUGAGAUUAGAACUCUGCCUGAAUCAGUCAACAAGCUUUACAAUUUGCACACCCUUCUGUUGGAGGGCUGUUGGCGACUGAAGAAGUUGUGUGCAGCCAUGGGAAACCUCAUCAAAUUGCAUCAUCUCAAUAAUUCAAAUACAUCUUCGUUGGAGGAAAUGCCAGUCGGAAUUGGUAGGCUGACUUGUCUUCAGACGUUGUGUAAUUUUGUUGUGGGAAAAGACAGUGGUUCCCGGUUACGAGAGCUAAAGUCCUUGACGCAACUUGGGGGGACACUUUGCAUUUCAAAUUUGGAGAAUGUAAAACACAUUAUUGAUGCCGAGGACGCUCAAUUGGAUAGAAAGGAGAAUCUUAAAGAAUUAUGGCUUCGAUGGACUCGCAAUACUAAUGGUUCAUCUUCAAGGGAGGCAGAAGCUGAAGAGGGCGUGCUUGACAUGCUAAAACCCCAUAAAAAUCUGGAACAAUUUUGUAUCAGCGGCUAUGGAGGCACAAAUUUUUCAACUUGGUUAGGAAAUUCCUCAUUGUCAAAUUUAGUAACACUUAAAUUUGAAUAUUGUAGCAUGUGUACUGCCCUGCCGUCGGUCGGGCAACUACCCUCUCUAAAGCAUCUUGUAGUAUGUGGAAUGAGCAGCGUAAGGAGAUUUGAUCCAGAGUUCUAUGGGAAGGUUGCUUCAAUUCCUUUUCCAUGCUUGGAGACUCUUUGUUUUGAAGACAUGGAAGAAUGGGAAGACUGGAUUCCUCAUGGAUCCGGUCAAGGAGUUGAAGGGUUUCCUAAAUUGAGAGAGCUUCACAUUUUAAGAUGUUCUAAACUGCAAGGAACACUUCCAGAGCACCUUCCUGCAUUGGAGAAGCUUGUUAUUAAAGGAUGUGAAGAAUUGUCUAUUAUAGGUUUAUUAACAAGUGUGAGAUAGAAUCAAGUUAGCUUUUAAAUUACAAUAGCAAGUGUUUACCAAACACUUUAGUUUAAAAAUAAUAACUGCCCAACCACAAUACUAAACAUGGCCUUAUUUUAGAAUUAAAUCUCAUUUAGAAUUGGAUGAGGGACAGGUGUCACUUUGUACUUAUACUAAUUUCAACUUCUUAUUGCUUGACAAUUUUGUGGGAAUGGUUCCAUUGAAUCUAUUAUUUGCCAAAUUUCUGGAAAGAGGAUAAACUAGCACAUUAAUGUUUAAGAAAUCAUAGCGUCUUAGUGUGUGUAUGAGUUGGGUGCCAUGACCAGGGAAAAAGCUUACAAUAGGGGUGUUCGCGGAUCGGAUUUUACGGAUUGGACAUCAAUCCAUAUCCGAUCCAUGAUUUUGCGGAUUAUAAUUUUUCAAUCCAAUCCAAUCCACGGAUUGAUAAAAUUCAAUCCAAAUCCAAUCCAUACAUCUGCGAAUCGGAUAGGGAUUUGACUCAAUCCAUAUCCAAUCCAUACGUCUGCGGAUCGGAUGCGGGUUUGACUCAAUCCAUAUGCAAUCUACCAUUUUGCACAUUAGUUUUCGAAUUAAAAAUUUUUAGUUCUCUCCAACUAAUGAAAUAAAAAAAUCUAAUGUAAAAAUAAUUCUGCUACCAAUUAAAUUUAAAAUUGAAUAAAAUUUAAAUAAAUUAAUUGUUUAAAUAAAGCUAAAAUAAUACAUUUAAAGUUUCAAAAUAUAACACAUCGAGACUAAUUAUUCAAAUAAAGCUAGUAGCUUUAAGCUACAAUAAUACGUUCAAAGUUUCAAAAUAUAACACAGCAAGCUUAAUUGUUCAAAUAAAGUUACAAUAAUACGUUAAUAUAACACCGAAAUUAAUUGUUCAAAUAAAACCACAAUUAAUUGAAAUGGCGAAGUUUCGGAAACCAAACACAGUCUGAUCCUUCACCAGGGCUGUUGCACCUGUCGAAAAGUGGUGAUUACGGAGCCAUCCACGAUGGGAAGCAAGAGAAGUCCUGUCGAAAAGUGGUGAUUACGGAGCCAUCCACGAUGAGAACCAGGAGAAGCCGUACGGGUGGUGAUCUUGAAGGUUGUGAUAGUGAAAUUGUUCAGCUGGAACCAGUGAAUGUGAAGUGGCUCGAUGGACUUGGGAAAGAAGAUGGCUUGCUCUCGCCGGAAUCACUCGGCCGAUGUCCUUUAAAUCCGGCUGGAACCAGUGAAUGUGAAGUGGCUUGAUGGACUUGGGAAAGAAUAUGGCUUGCUCUCGCCGGAAUCACGCGGCCGAUGUCCUUUAAAUCCGUGUCGAGGGUGUAUCCAACCAGUAUUGAGUGUUGCUAGUGUGUGUGACGGCAGGGAAGCUUAGGGUUUUUUGUUUGAAAUUGUUGGUGACUUGGCGUCAUGUUACUUUGCUUUUGCUAGUGCGUGUGACUUUGCUUUUAUUUUGUUUUACAAUUUUUACAAGUUAUAUUUGAUUAUUUAAUUAUUUUUCAUUUUAUAUUAUUAUUGGGUAAUGGCUAAGAUAUGUUAUAGUGCUUAGUAACUAUGCAAUGUCACAUUUAUAAUUUUUUUAAUUAAAUUUAUAAUAAUUUUUUAAUUAUAUUUAUAUAUAUAUAUAUAUUUGCGGAUUCACGGAUUUCUGCGGAUUUACAGAAGUAAAUCCAUAUCCAAUCCAUCGACUACGGAUUUUUAAAUUUUCAAUCCAUAUCCAAUCUACCAAUCCACGGAUCGGAUUUGUGAUAAUAUAAGGACUUUGACAGUGGAAGAGGGCAUCCAGAGUAGCAGCAGCAGCAGCAGCAAUAGAAGGUACACCUCAUCUCUUCUUGAGAAGUUAGAAAUUAGGGAUUGUCCAUCACUGACAUGUAUAUUUUCAAAAAACGAGUUACCUGCCACGCUUGAGUCCCUUGAAGUUGGCAAUCUACCUCCGUCUCUUAAGUCCCUUUUUGUUUGGUAUUGUCCAAAGCUGGAGUCAAUAGCAGAAAGGUUGGACAACAACACAUCUCUUGAAACAAUCAAUAUUUCUGGGUGUGAAAAUCUGAAAAUUUUACCGAGUGGUUUACAUAAUCUCGGCCAGCUUCAAGAGAUCGAAAUAUGGGAAUGUGAAAAUCUGGUGUCCUUUCCCGAAGGGGGAUUGCCUUGUGCGAAACUGAGUAAGCUCAGGAUCUAUGGGUGUGAGAGACUGGAGGCCUUACCCAAGGGAUUGCACAAUCUGACCUCUCUUCAACAAUUAACAAUAGGAGGUGAGCUUCCAAGCCUUGAAGAAGAUGGCCUUCCCACCAACCUUCAUUCACUUCAUAUUUGGGGUAAUAUGGAGAUUUGGAAGUCAAUGAUUGAGCGGGGUCGGGGAUUUCACAAAUUCUCUUUUCUGCGACAUCUUACAAUCGAUGGAUGUGAUGACGACAUGGUGUCAUUUCCACUAGAGGACAAAAGAUUAGGGACCGCGCUUCCUCUUCUUGCCUCUCUAACAUCUCUGAGGAUUGUAGAUUUUCCAAAUCUGGAACGCCUAUCUUCUUCAAUUGUUGAUCUUCAAAACCUCACUCACUUGAAUCUCGUGGAUUGUCCCAAGCUCAAAUACUUUCCGGAGAAGGGCCUACCUUCCUCACUUUUGGUCUUUUGCAAUUAAGUAUCUAUCGCUGUCCGUUGAUGGAAGAGAAGUGCAGAAAGGAUGGAGGAUUGUUAACCCAUAUACCUUCUGUUCAAAUCGAUCUUAAAUGGGUUUUUGACGGCUGAACAGAGGACGACUGAAAUAUUUUAUUAUUCGUAAUUUUUAAAAAAAAAAAAAAUCGGGUGUGUUUGUGUAUAUAAUUUCAAAUCUCAGUUGAAAACAAUUCCUUUAAAUGAAUAUGGUUCUGCGUCGGUGAGUCUUUAUCAUGUAUAUAAUGGGCUUCCGAAUUUUUUAAUUAAACAAUAGAAUGUGUGCGAGUGCAUGUUAUAUAUAUGUAUUCUCUUCAUCGGACUUUGGCAAAUAUUGUUUUGAAAUUUUAGCUGUUGGAUAUAUAUAUAUAAUCUCGAGUACUCUUUCUGAUAUAAUUAAUAUAAAUAAAAAUCAAAUUAUUAAGACUGGACCCCCUAGAUUAUCAUUAUUUCGACUAUUUAUAAUUGAUGGGUGUCGAAGCCAACAAAAAUAAAUUCCUACUCUAAAUAAAUUGUGUAUAGUGAUUGAGCAGGGUCGUGUCCACAGAGAUCGGUAAUUAUUUAAAUCCUUUUGAAACGUAAAACGUAAAAUGGGGGAAUUGUUGACAAUAAUAAAAAUCAAAUUAAAAAUAACAAGAAUGCAAAUUAAAGUUGUAAUUCAAAUUAGAAAAAACUCUGGUUGAAGGAAUUAACUCAGCUUGAUUCGACUACUGAUCAUUGAUUAAAAUAUAGAUUAUUAUUACUCAUGAAUAGACCGGUUAUAGCUACUGAGACCCUCUAAUAGCCAAUCUCUCCUUAACUAGUCGAUAACCAAGGUACGACCGUUGGAUAUUUCCCUAAUCAAUAGACAACCCUAGAUACGAUCAUAGAAUUUAAUCAAUUGACAGCCUGAAAAACCAGAAAGACCCAAAUCCUAAUCAACACAUAUGAUGAUUCAUUUAAAUUAGAUUAUUUAUUCUCACAACACAACUCUCUGCUAUGUUAUUAGUCACAAGCAUUAAAUUCUUCAUACGAUGAAUCCUUUAAUUGACAAUAGAUUAAGUUGAUAAUAAAAUAGUGGCCAAUUACCUAAUUAACAAACAUAAUCAUAAAACUAAUUCAGAGAAUAAACAAAUACCCAAAAAGCAAUAAAACAAUUAAAGCACAAGAAAGAUCUCACAGUAGUGAUGAAUCAAAGCUUCAUUAUCCUUCAACCAGAAAAAUAAGUUUAGUUCUUCAUAGAGAGAAGAGAAAAAUUAGAUCUAGGGUUUCUUUCUUUNNNNNNNNNNNNNNNNNNNNNNNNNNNNNNNNNNNNNNNNNNNNNNNNNNNNNNNNNNNNNNNNNNNNNNNNNNNNNNNNNNNNNNNNNNNNNNNNNNNNNNNNNNNNNNNNNNNNNNNNNNNNNNNNNNNNNNNNNNNNNNNNNNNNNNNNNNNNNUCUCUACCUUGGCGAAACUUUAGUAAAUCUGAGCUGCUGUACCGUACAUCCGCCUUGGCCGUACAGCAGUUUCUCCAAGAGAACAAUCAUCCUUAAACAUCAUCUUAUAGCUAAAUUUUAUCAUCAAUCAAUAGAAUUGCACCUACAAAAGUAAAACACAAGUAAAUCACUAUUAUUAAGUGCAAAACAUUGAUAUUAAGGGAAGUAAACAAUGCAAAACUAGUGCAUAAAUUGCACUCUAACAAUAAUCUUGCUGGUGAAUUGUUAGUGGGGUGAUUAUUUUAAAUAUUUUAUAUUUCAAAGUCAUUUACAUUUUGUGUGUUGUAUAUUUGAAAUUACUUUGAUCAUGUAGAGGAGUAAUUUGAGUAAAUUAAAUUUGAUUAAUUAAUAGUAAACUGAGUAUGAUUUAUUAAAAUAUUUAUACUCUUUAAAUUAAUUCACUAUAGGCGAGUCCUUGAAUUAAUUGUUUAUAUGCCACCGGUAUUAAUAUUUAUAAAUAAAAUUUUUCAGUUAUUGAAUAUUUAGAUUCAUCAAAAUUGUUAUAAUUCAUAUAGAUCUUUCUAUUAACACAUCAAAAUGACAGAAGGAAUGUCUUCAUCAAUUGGAAUGUGAUUUUUUUUUCUUAAAAUGCAUAAUAUAUGCCAUAGAAAAAAGCUUUUUCUUUUUAAUUUUUCAUUAAAAAUAAACCAAGAGUAUUAAUUUCUUUUACAAAAUUAGGAACCGGAUUUAUAAAAAGCACCUUAUUGUUGUUAAUACAUACAACCAUCCUCAAAAACCCAUCAAAAUACAAUAAACAGAACAUCUAAAGAGAAGCAUCACACAACAAAACCAUGAGAAGAUCACAAAACAAAUGGCAUAUCAAGCAAAGCAAGCACUUCUUUCUUUAAUCAAUUACAUUUGAGCCUUGGUGGCCUUACUAUCUUCACCGGAAGAAUUACCAGACUCUUCAUCAAUGUUAAUAACCUUGGGCUGCCUCUUCUUCUCCUCAGCAAGCUUUGGCACUGUGAUCCUCAGAACACCAUUUUCCAAAUGAGCCUUAAGAUGAUCAUUUGGAAAGUAAUGAAUUAAUUUCUUAUUGAAACUUCGUUUUUCUUGACUUAUCCUUCUGCUGCGCCUGUACGGUUAUAUACAUAUAAUAUUUCUCUUCACCAGACUUUGCCUUCGGAUAUAUAAAUGCUCGAGUGUGUUUGUGUAGGUAAUUUUAAAAUUCAAAUCUCAGUUGAACAAUAUUUUAAAUUAAUAUGGUUCGAUGUCGGUGGUUAAUGGGUUUUGGAAACAAAAGGAAAAGCGGUGAGUAGAACAAUUGUUUAAUUUGAUUUAAUUGUUUCCGUGUCAUUGCUAUUAAUAUUUAUAAAUACAAUUUAUCAGUUAUUGAAUAUUUAAAUUCAUCAAAACUGUUAUAAUUGCAAUGAAUCUUCGCAUUAACACAUCAAUAUGAAAUAAGAGGAAAUAUCUUUAGAAAUUGGGGUAGGAUUUUUUUUUUAGGUUAAAAUCCAUAAUAAGUUCUAGAGAAAAAGAUUUUUUUUCUAAUUUUUAUUAAUAAAAACCAAGCUCAUUAUUUCUUUUAAGGAGAUUGCCAAUUUCCCCCCUACAGUAAUCAACAUAUACCAUUUCCCCCCCUGCUGUUUUUAUAAUGGCCAAAAACCCUCCUAAUAGCAUAAGUUUGCAAUAUUACCCUUAUUUUCAACUACUCUUUUAUUUAUAUUUAUUAUAAAUUAAAUAAAUAGCAUGACUAUAAACUAAAUAAAAAUUAAGCAUUAAAAACAAGAAAUAUAUGUUUUGAUAUGAGAAAAAAAUUAAUAAUAAAUUUUGUUUCUUGUACUUAUUUAUUUUGUGCAAAUUUUCUUAUAAUAAAUAUAUAAGAAAGUUAUUAUAAAAUGAUAAAAAAAUUAUUAUAAGAAAAUUUGAAUGACAAAUAAAAAUUUAUUAUAAGAUAAAUAAUCAAAUAUUUUGCCUAUACUUUUUACAUUUAAUUUUAAUACUUAAUUUUUACUUAAACAUAUAUUUCUUGUUUUUAAUACUUAAUUUUUUUAUUUAAUUUAUAAUAAAUGUAAAUAAAAGAGUAAUUAAAAAUAAGGGUAAUAUUGUAAACUUAUGCUGUCAGAGGGGUUUUUGGCCAUUAUAAAAACAAAAGGGGGUAAAUGACUGUAGGGGGAAAGUGGCAAUCCCCUUUCUUUUACUACUGACUGUAGGACCAGGAUUUAUAAAACGCGCUUUAUUGUUGUUAAUAUAAUAAACAAAACAUUCAAAGAGAAACAUCCCACAAGAAAACCAAGAAAAGAUCAGAAGCAAACUGCACAUUAAGCAAAGCAAAUACUUUUUUUAUUUGAUUAAUUACAAUUAAGCUUUGGUAGUCUCUUCGUCAGACUUUGGCAAAUAUUGUUUUAAAAAUUUAUAUGUUGGAUAUAUAAAUGUUCGAGUGGUCUUUAUUAAAAUAGCAUAAAUUAACAUAAUUAAUAUAAAUAAAAAUUAGAUUUGCUAAAUUAUCAUUAUUUCGUCAAUGUACAAUCUCUUUCUCUCUAUAUAUAUAGAGACACACACACAUAAAUACGAUGAAAUUGAAAUUAUUUUAAUCGUGUACAGGAGCAAUCUCAUUAAUUUGCUGGUAGAGCUUGGUCCGUUGGCGUUCUUUCUAUAAUUGUAUAGGUCCGCUUAUAAUAACAAUGAUGUUAACAAAUACCAAAGCAAAUUAAAUUUGAUUAAUUGAUAGUAAACCGACCAUGAUUUACUAAAAGCACUUUAUUACACGAUCUUUGUACGUGUACACCAUCAUCAAAAAAUAGAAAAUCAAAGGAGAGAAAACAAUAUCCCGCGAGAAAGCCAAUUAAAUAUAUAUAUAUAUAUAUAUAUAUAUAUAUAAAGCAAUCUAAGCAAAGCAUUAGCCACACAAAUAUAAAAAACAAAAAGCAAACUAAGCAAACUCAUUGCAUUUCUCUGAUUACGUUUUAGCUUUAGUGGCCUUAAAAUCUUUACCAGAAUAAUUACCAGCUGCCUUAUCAACGACAAUGUCAUAAUGUUCUUUUAGGGCAUGGCCGUGUCUUCAUCACCAUCUUCUUCUUCUUCUGCUGUACCGUACAUCCGCCUUGGCCGUACAGCAGGCGUUGGUGGGGCCAGGGUUAGUUAAGUUUGUUACUACUAACAGCUGGACAAAAAACAGAGCUAUAAAAGAUGGCUCAAGGCUGAUCAGCAGGGGUACUUGAUUAACGGAUUUGAGAGGCUUAGGGUGAGAGAUAGAAAAUACUCUGUGAGAGAGAUUUAAUCCUUGUCAUCAGUUGUCUCUUUGUAAUCGACUUGUUCAAUAAAAGCUUCAAGCCCAAGAGGGUUCUUCAGCCGUGGAUGUAGGUACCUUUGGUACUGAACCACGUAAUCUUUUACUGUGUUUCUUCCUCUUUCUUCCUCUUGCUUUCUCUAUUCUUAGUUCUUUAGUGUUCUUGGUUGAGUUGUUGUUUCUUUAUUGUUAGAUAAUUGUUCUUAAGGAGUUGGUUUGAUUCGUGUGGUUAAAUCUUUGAGUCGAGAUUCGACUGUUAAUCUCAACAAAUUGGUAUCAGAGCCCUCAAAGCUCUCAACUCUGGUUCUGGGAUGGCUUCUACAAGAUAUGAUCUAGAAAAGUUCAAUGGAGAAAAUGACUUCUAUCUAUGGAGUCUCAAGAUGCGUGCAAUCUUGAUACAACAAGGGCUUGAUGCUGCUCUGGAUUUUGAAGAAGAUCAUAUCAGUAAAAAGGAGAAGGCAGAGGGGUCCUCAUUUUCAGGUGGAGACAUGAGGACCAUCAACAACAAAGCUCACAGCACCAUCAUCUUGCAUCUUUUCGAUGAAGUGCUGAGAGAAGUAGCAAAAGAAAGAUCUGCAGCAAGCCUCUGGACAAAACUUGAAGAGAUGUUCUUGAAGAAAUCUCUGGCAAAGAGGCUCUACAUGAAAAGAAGAUUGUACACGUUCUCCAUGAAGGAGGGAACAACCAUGAAAGAUCAUCUUGAUGAAUUCAACAAGUUGAUUCUGGACCUGGAGAACGUGAGCAUCAAUCUUGAAGAUGAGGACAGAGCCCUUAUACUGUUAAGCUCUCUUCCAGACUCAUAUGAGCAUUUCGUUGAUACUCUAUUGUAUGGGAGACAAACCCUUACCUUAAAGGAUGUGAAAAGUGCACUGGAAUCAAAAGAUUUGAAGAAAAGAGCUGAAGGAAAAGAUCAAGGGAUGGGAGAAAUCUUGAUGGCAAAAUCAAAAGCUGACAAGAAGAAGAAACAUGAGAAGAAAGGAAGCAACCAAAAAGAAAACACUAAUAAGAAAAAGAAGAAAAGGAAAUGCUACUUCUGUCAGAAAGAAGGGCAUUAUAUCAAGGAAUGUUUUGAAAAGAAGAAACUUGAAAAGAUCCAAAAGGAGACCUCUGGUAAAGCAGCUGUAGCAUCUGAGGAUGAAGAAGACUCAGAUGGUGCUGAUGUACUUAUUGCUGCCGAGAAGCAACCUACUGAAGAAUGGAUCCUAGACUCAGGCUGCUCUUUCCACAUGACCCCAAAUAAGCAGCUCUUCAAGACUUUUGAGAAAGUUGAGACAGGUAAAGUUUUACUUGGUAAUAACUUAGCCUGUAGAGUUGCUGGAAUUGGGACAGUUGCCAUUACCAUGCAUGAUGGGGUAGAAAGAGAUUUAAGGAAUGUUAGAUACAUACCAGAGCUUAAAAGAAAUCUAAUCUCCUUAGGAGAAGUUGAUCAAUCUGGUUGUAGCAUAAAAGCUGAAAAUGGUGAGCUACAGGUCAUUAAGAAUGGCAGAGUUACAAUGAAAGGGGUGAGAACAAAUGGUCUUUAUGUUCUAAUAGGAUCCUCUUCCAUACCAGGAAUAAUGGCCUCUGUUAGUAAGGAUAAAACUAAACUAUGGCAUAUGAGAUUAGGACAUAUGAGUGAGAAAGGAUUAAGAGAGCUAAAGAAACAAGGAGUAAUUGGCUCUGAUCAAAUCACCUCACUUGAGUUCUGUGAAAAGUGUGUGUUUGGUAAGGCAACCAGACAAAAGUUCGGCACUGGCAAGAAGGAAACCAAACACUCUCUAGACUACAUCCAUUCAGACUUAUGGGGGCCUUCACAAGUUCCAUCACAUGGUGGAGCUAGAUACUUCAUGACUCUAAUUGAUGACUACACCAGAAAAGUUUGGGUUUAUGUCCUAAAACAGAAAGGGGAAGCUCUAAUGAAGUUCAAAGAAUGGAUGACAUUAAUUGAGAAUCAGACUGAGAGGAAAGUGAAAAGGCUGAGGACUGACAAUGGCCUGGAAUACUGCAGCAAGGAGUUUGAUAGCUUCUGUAAAGAGAAAGGAAUUGUAAGACACAAAACAGUAAGGCACACACCCCAGCAAAAUGGCCUUGCUGAGAGGAUGAACAGGACCUUGGUAGAAAAGGUCAGGUGUAUGUUGUUUAGUGCCAAUUUAUCAAAACACUUCUGGGCUGAUGCUGUCACUACAGCAGCAUAUCUAAUCAACAGAAGCCCCUCUACAGCAUUGAACUUCAUAACCCCACAAGAGGCUUGGUCUGGUAAAACUCCUGAUCUUAGUAACCUUACGAUAUUUGGCUCACCAGCAUAUGCUCACAUCAACCAGGGAAAACUUGAGCCUAGGGCAAUCAAAGGUAUCUUUAUUGGUUAUCCUGAGGGAGUCAAGGGAUAUAGGAUCUGGUUUUAUGAUGGGAAACCCUCAAGAGUAAUAGUGAGCAGAGAUGUCAUUUUCUAUGAAGAUACCAUGCUGCAUCAGAAGGUUGAAACUGAAAUGUUAGCUCCUGAGCAAAAUGUCAGCCAAGAACCUAGCUUGGAGGUGGAGCCUGCAAAUGACAAGAGCAAAUCUCAUGACAGCAGAACUAGCUCCUCAGAACAAGAGACUUAUCAGCUGGCAAGAGACAUAGAAAGGAGAGUUAUCAGAAUGCCUAAGAGAUUUGGCAUAGCUGAUCUAAUAUCCUAUGCACUCACAAUGGCUGAAGAUGUUAUUGGGGAAGAACCUAGUAGCUACAAACAAGCCAUGAACAGCAGAGACAAGUCAAAUUGGUUAUCAGCUAUGAAAGAAGAAAUGGCAUCACUGAAGAAAAAUGACACCUAGAUUCUGGUAGAAAAACCAAAGGAAAGGAAGCUGGUGGGCUGCAAAUGGAUCUUCAAGCUUAAGGAAGGGGUUGCUGGGGUUGAACCUCCAAGGUAUAAAGCAAGGCUGGUUGCUAAGGGUUUUACACAAAGGGAAGGGUUGGAUUACAGUGAAGUAUUUUCCCCUGUUGUAAAGUACAGCUCUAUUAGGGUGUUGCUUGCCAUCACUGCCUACUUUGAUCUGGAAUUAGAUCAGCUAGAUGUCAAAACAGCUUUCCUUCAUGGCAACCUAGAAGAAGAAAUAUACAUGGAACAACCAGAAGGUUUCAUUCAGAAGGGAUUAGAAGACAAGGUUUGCUUGCUUAAAAGGAGUCUAUAUGGCUUAAAGCAAUCCCCUCGACAGUGGUAUCUGAGGUUUGACCAGUUUAUGGUAGCUCAUGGUUAUUCAAGGAGCCAGUAUGACAAUUGUGUAUAUUGUAAGCUUCUACCUUCUGGAGAUGGGAUUUAUUUACUUCUCUAUGUUGAUGACAUGCUCAUAGCAUGCAAACACAGAGAAGAAAUAGAGAAACUUAAGUCUGAGCUGAGGUCUGAAUUUGAAAUGAAAGACUUAGGCUCUGCAAGCAAGAUCCUAGGAAUGCAGGUCAAGAGAGAUAGAGCUGCCAAAACUCUAUUCCUCACACAGGCUGGUUAUGUUAAAAAAGUAUUGAACAAGUUUGAAAUGGUGGAUGUUAAAGAAGUUUCCACUCCCUUAGCCACUCAUUUCAAAUUAUCAAAGCAGCAGGAGCCAUCUAAUGAUGCUGAUAUUGAGUAUAUGAAGAAAGUUCCUUACUCUAGUGUAGUUGGAAGCAUUAUGUAUGCUAUGGUCUGCACUAGACCUGACAUUGCUUAUAGUGUAGGCUUAGUCAGCAGAUUUAUGGGGAACCCAGGGAAGACUCACUGGAAUGCUGCAAAAUGGACUCUCAGGUAUCUGAAGAGGACAUCUGAAUCUGGUAUUUUGUUUGGAGGGAAUAAUGGUGUCACAAGUAAAAUCAUUGGUUAUGUGGACUCUGAUUUUGCUGGUGACUUGGACAAAAGAAGGUCAACUACUGGUUUUGUUUUUACAUUGUGUGGUGGAGCUGUGAGUUGGAAAGCCUCUCUGCAGCCUGUGGUUGCUUUAUCCACAACUGAGGCUGAGUACAUUGCAUUAGCUGAGGCUGUAAAAGAAGCAAAGUGGCUCAGUGGAAUAGUAUCAGAACUGGGACUGAAUCAAGAUACGAUUCCCAUAUGUUGUGACAGCUCAAGUGCAAUCCAGCUGAGUAGGAAUUCCAAAUAUCAUGAAAGAACCAAGCAUGUAGAUAUAAGGCUGCAUUUCAUAAGGGAAGAAAUUGAAAGGGGUGCUGUAGAUGUCGUUAAAAUAUCUACAGAGGACAAUCCAGCAGAUGCAUUAACUAAACCACUGCCAACCAUCAAGUUCAGGAACUCUCUGAGCUUGAUUGGAGUUAGAUGCUUGUAAGUCAAGCAUGUCAACAAGCUGAAGCAAAGUUGGGGUGAGGCUGGAACAGAAUGAACUAAGGUGGAGAUUUGUGAAGCUAGUUAGUUAAUUCAGUUAAGAGGUUAAGUGACGAGCUGAGUCAGUGUUGGUGGGGCCAGGGUUAGUUAAGUUUGUUACUACUAACAGCUGGACAAAAAACAGAGCUAUAAAAGAUGGCUCAAGGCUGAUCAGCAGGGGUACUUGAUUAACGGAUUUGAGAGGCUUAGGGUGAGAGAUAGAAAAUACUCUGUGAGAGAGAUUUAAUCCUUGUCAUCAGUUGUCUCUUUGUAAUCGACUUGUUCAAUAAAAGCUUCAAGCCCAAGAGGGUUCUUCAGCCGUGGAUGUAGGUACCUUUGGUACUGAACCACGUAAUCUUUUACUGUGUUUCUUCCUCUUUCUUCCUCUUGCUUUCUCUAUUCUUAGUUCUUUAGUGUUCUUGGUUGAGUUGUUGUUUCUUUAUUGUUAGAUAAUUGUUCUUAAGGAGUUGGUUUGAUUCGUGUGGUUAAAUCUUGGAGUCGAGAUUCGACUGUUAAUCUCAACAACUACAUUACAAAAUUAUUUUAAAUUAAUGCACUAUAGGCCAGUUCUUGAAUGAAUUGUUUCUGUCCCAUCGCUAUUAAUUUUUAUAAAUACAAUUUAUCAAUUAUUGAAUAUUCGGAUUCAUCAAAACUGUUAUAAUUUCAAUAGAUCUUCGUAUUAACACAUUAAUAUGACACGAGGAAUACCCUUAUGAACUGGCGUGUGAUGAUUUCUUUUAGUGCUGUAGGACUAGGAUUUAUAAAAAGCACUUUAUUGUUGGUAAUACAUACAAGCCAUCCUCAAAAACCCACAAUUAACAGAAAAUCCACACUCACUUUCAGUACCCUGUUCUCUUCAACUUCAAUCUUCAUAUCAUCUUUCUUCAACCCUGGAAUGUUGAGUGUGAUCAGGUUUUUGCAUCCAUUCUAGCAAAAAUACUUAAUAUCUGAUUUCAGUUUGGACUAAAAGCAAACCUGCAGCUGAAUCUGAUUGAUUAAAAAUUCAAAACUGUACCGAAAAGAAAAUAGAAGAUGACAAGCAGCUCUAACUAAUGCGGGGGAUGCAUGCAUAUUAAUAUUUCAAAACAGAACUAUCUUACAUCAUUUAGUGAUUAGUGAUGCAGAUGUUUGAUAGAAUGAAUCAGGUUUCUGCUGAAAUGUCUCAAGGAAGGACCCUCAAGUAUUCAUCAUCUCAGCAAGUGACUCAGCACAUGAGAAUGAGAUGAACUUUCAAGAAUCACCAGGAUAAAAUAAGAUCAAGGAUGCUACGAGGACAAACAAAGAUGGCGGCUGUAGCUUUUGAUGGUACGCAUGUUACAGCGCUANNNNNNNNNNNNNNNNNNNNNNNNNNNNNNNNNNNNNNNNNNNNNNNNNNNNNNNNNNNNNNNNNNNNNNNNNNNNNNNNNNNNNNNNNNNNNNNNNNNNNNNNNNNNNNNNNNNNNNNNNNNNNNNNNNNNNNNNNNNNNNNNNNNNNNNNNNNNNNNNNNNNNNNNNNNNNNNNNNNNNNNNNNNNNNNNNNNNNNNNNNNNNNNNNNNNNNNNNNNNNNNNNNNNNNNNNNNNNNNNNNNNNNNNNNNNNNNNNNNNNNNNNNNNNNNNNNNNNNNNNNNNNNNNNNNNNNNNNNNNNNNNNNNNNNNNNNNNNNNNNNNNNNNNNNNNNNNNNNNNNNNNNNNNNNNNNNNNNNNNNNNNNNNNNNNNNNNNNNNNNNNNNNNNNNNNNNNNNNNNNNNNNNNNNNNNNNNNNNNNNNNNNNNNNNNNNNNNNNNNNNNNNNNNNNACUCGUGCUUCAAUAAGUGACCAAAACAACUGCAAAUCCGUCUAAAGUAUGUCAAAUCACGUGAAGAACAUGUGAUUCACUUACUGGAAGUAAAAGACAAUACACAGAUGUCACAUUCUCCUGUUUCAUCCAGAAACUGACAGGGCAUGCACAAUUAAGGAUACAAACCGACAUGUCAGAAAAUUCUAAAACUCAUUUUUAAGCUCACAAUUCAACACAUCUCUUUUAAGAUCCUUUUGAAUAAUUUUCAGUUUUCUGACAAAUGCAACAUAAUAUGGUCAUGUCCUACUUAAUAACACAAAGCAUAAAUGCAGCUCUUAUAUUUUUGAUAAGCCAAAGUUGUUGAACAUAUAAAUACUCAUGUAUUCAGUGUUCUUUAUUAAAUUAGCAUGAUUGGACAUAAUUAAAAUGAAAAUCGGAUAAUUAUGAUGAUUGUAUUAGUUAGCUAGAUUGGUGUCAUUUUGUCUAAUUAUCAAGGAGAACAUUCAAUUAUAUAUAAUAUUUCCUUUGCAUUUUCUCUUUUAAUUAAAAUCAUAAAAAGACUUACAAUAUAGACCAUGUAUCUAUUAUGUUGUUUACCGGAGUGAAUUGUUAUUGUUUUCGUAAUUGUCAAAUAUUUUCUUUUUAGUUAAUCAUAAAGAACUAGCAAUCCUAUAAAUUAAUUAGUAUGAGCUAGCUAGCUGAAUGUUCAACAUUAAUUGCACUUUUGAGCUAAAUAUGGCAUGAUAUGCUCGGGGAACGAAAUUGAGUUUUGAGUUUCUGUCACAUGAUGUUGUUCAAUCAAGCAACUUUAUUCUUCAGUGAUAGACACAAAUGAAAGUGCACAUGCAUUAGCUAGAUGAUAAUUAAAAGACCAAGAUUAUAUUCCCAUCAUAAUUAACUAACAAUCCAACAUGAUCCAGUGUCAAUUAAUUUUCAGUUUCUUGUAUUAAUUUCUUUUUCAAUAUAUAUAAUGGCAAUCUCAUGAGAUGAAUAUGUUAAUUUCACUGCAUUGGGCACCUUUGUGAUAUUUUAUUAGGCACAUUCGUGUAUAAAUGGAUCAUAUUCUUGCACAAAUUUCAAAUAAUCACACCAAAGAGGGACAGACUGCAUCAGAAAAAAGUGUAUUCAGCUGCCUUCACUUUCAAUGAACUACUAUGAUGAAAAUCUCCAGAUAUGAAAUUAACAACUUCUUCUGUGUUUCUUAUUGUCAUCAUCAAGGACUUUAUUUACCAUGAAGGAGAUGGAAACAGAUGAUAUAAGAUGCAAUUGAACUUUGAUAUAAACAAAAAUGCUGCUCUUCAGCACAUUUCUUUGGUUGAAAAUGAUUCAAAUAUUAAAAUUUAUGUAUCUAGCAAGAAGAUUUCUUUUUUUUCCCCACCUCUUUUUGUGCACCAUGAACUGUUAGCACCUCUUGGUAGUAAAUAAAAACAAAGUGAAUCAAGCUUGUGAGUGGUACGCUUUACUAUAAUGCUUCAAUUUCAUAAAAUCUUUCUCAAAAAUUAAAAAAAAAGAAUUAUAAAUCCAUGCAUAGUAUGAAUUCAAAUUCUGUAGGCAUAAAGAGAACAAACCAGAUAAUCAGAAACUCCUCUUUCGUAAAUCCAAAAGAGCCUCAGGUCUACAAAUUAAAGCCAAGUAUCAGCAAGAAACCGAUUAUGUAAUUAUCAAAGUAGACAUUAAGCUUUAGGUCACAGUUAUGAAAAACCAGAAAAAAGUAUGAAAUCUUAACAAUUAGCUGAGGCCAACAGAAAUAACAUCAGACAUUGUGAUUAAUUAUCUUCCUUAACUAGCUCAGUGAUCAAAUGUCUAAUUCUGUAAACAUAUAAGCUAUUUCUUCUUCCCAUCAAUUAAACCCCAAAGAAUAGAACUCCCACUAUAAGUAUCUCCUUCUGCAAAUUGGUUCCUUUUUCUUUCUUUAAUACCUUUUAAGCAGGUUUUGUUCCUUUUUACAUUAGCAAAUAACGAAUAUAAACAUCUAUAUCUCUAAGCGAAAAAAUAUAUGUUCACAAAAUCGAAAACCACUGCAAAAAGGAAAUGAUAGAUACCCAGUUGAAAUAGAGGCUUCAUCUCUCGCCCAUUCUUGCCGCAUAGCAGGAGUCAAUGGAAAAAUCUCUUCAUCGCUUCCCUAGCUUGUCUCAGCUUCUCUAUCUCACCCAUUUUUCUCAAAACCUUUAUAUACUGAAAGAAAAAAAAGCCAUUUUUAUCGCAACCCAAUUAAGAAAGAAAAGCGAACGGGUAUCCACAAAAUCACCCAAUAAGUAUGCGUAUUGAGGUUACUUGAACAUGGUUGUCGUAAUUGGAAGGUUCAUUGGAUAGCUGAAACUCUAGGGUUUGAAGCUACGUGUUCUGUUUUGCUUCGUCUUCUGAGUCAGAAUCCGAGUCGGAGUCAGAGCAUUGCUCGAGUCCGAAGAGUUGUCUUUUUUUUUUUUUGCAGGGUUGUGCUUAACGUUGGGCAUGGUCAUGUCUUCAUCACCAUCUUCUUCUUCUUCUUCUGGGAUUGUUGCUAGGGUUUCUUCUACGGAUUCCAUCUUUUGAAAUUUGAACUCCCUUACUUUGUUUCUCCCGCUCAAGGACUGCUGAUUUCUUAAUUUUAUGCAAAUUUUUUUAACGAGAAAAUGAUAAAUAUCUGGAAUGGAAAAAUUUUUUUGAUGUCCCUCAAUUUUGAUUAAAAUACAAAUAAAUUCAUUUAUUUUUGGUCAAAUUAAUGAAUGCCACACAUGUAUCCGAAAUAAGCACUUGCCUAGUUCUUAUCAUUGCAACAUUACUCCCAUUGAAUAAUGGGGUAAAGAAGAAGAAAAAUUAACUAUAUGAUUUUUUUUUCUUCCUUUUUUUUGAUAAUUUAGAUGAAAUUUAAGAGUAUUUAUGUGAAAGAAGUGAUUAAGGUAAUUUGUGCAUCAUAUGAAAGAAUGCUAUUGAUAUUAUCAAUAGCAUUCCUUUUAUUAUCUUUAUUUUUCUUAUUAGACUCAUAAAAAUAUUCAUUGCACCAAUAUUAACUGCCUUUUCUCUCCCUAGUUGUUGAUAAUAUCAUUUUCCUAAUCUUAUUUUCUAUAGUUAUCCAACAUAUAAAAUUUAUAUUCGUUAAAAUUUAAAAAAAAAAGGAUAGUUGAGAUUGCUUCUACAUAUCCGUAGAACAGUUAUUUGUGUAUAUAUGCAGGUCGUGUCUGUGCAAAGAAUUAAAAUUUAAUUUUUUAUUUAAUAAAUCAUCAUGUGUACUUGUUCAUCUAUUUGACUUUUUACAUCUAUUUCUAUUCAGUCCCGUUGAUCGUUAGGUAUAUCAUGGAAUUGAAUGCUUGUGUUUAAAUAUCUUUAUUUAGUAUGUACCUAUAUAUGAAUCGUCUCUUAAUUUUUAGAUAUGAAUUAAAUUUAUCACAUCACAACGUAAUUAAGAUUUGUAUUUAAAUUUAUCACAUCACAACAUACCACGUCCAUGAUUUUAUUUACAAGUACUUCAUGAUUUCAUAGUGAGACGUACAAAACUGUAUUAAGCAAUUGGCUAGUUGUAACUGAUGAGCAUAAUUUAUAUACAUAUUUUAUCCUUUAUUAUAUAUUUACUAGUUAUUUUUAUUUCUUAUUUUUAAUUAAUUAUAUUAUUUUAUUGAAUAGAGAAUUAAUUAGAGAUUAUGGAUAAAAAGAGUAUAAAGAAGUUCAAUUUGUGAGCAUUAAAGAUUAAUUAACUUGGAAGCAAUUAUGUUUAUAUGCAUGUUAAUUCAAGCCAAGGAAACCGAAUUCAACAAAUUCAUUUACCCAUGCACAUGCGGACAAAGAAGAUAAAGGGGUGGAAAGCAAUAGAAAGGGACCCGCACUUGACUUUCAUGAGUGGAAAAGGAUUGAAAAUUCUUUUUGGAGUACACGUGAUAGAUGCCAAGACAAGUUAAAAGCUUUGCCAGCACAUGAAGGAUUAAAGGAAGUUUAAUUGGGCUUUGCAAGAGUGGGCUGAUUUUAGCUUGUGUGAGCAAUUCACUAGCUAUCAUUAUUUGACAAGGAUUCGGCUAGGGAUUAAAAAUAUAAAAGCCAAACUUUGGCUUUAGAAUAGGGAGGAGCCGCCAGAGGAGGAAAACGUCCCAUCAAUUAAACCCCAAAGAAUAGAACUCCCACUAUAAGUAUCCCCUUCUGCAAAUUGGUUCCUUUUUUCUUUCUUUAAUACCUUUUAAGCAGGUUUUGUUCCUUUUUACAUUAGCAAAUAAAAAAGCCAUUUUUAUCGCAACCCAACUAAGAAAGAAAAGCGAAUGGGUAUCCACAAAAUCACCCAAUACGUAUGUGUAUUGAGGUUACUUGAACAUGGUUGUCGUAAUUGGAAGGUUCAUUGGAUAGCUGAAACUCUAGGGUUUGAAGCUCCAUGUUCUGUUUUGCUUCGUCUUCUGAGUCAGAAUCCGAGUCGGAGUCAGAGCAUCGCUCGAGUCCGAAGAGUUGUCUUUUGUUUUUGUUUUUGUUUUUUUGUUUUUGCAGGGUUGUGCUUAACGUUGGGCAUGGCCGUGUCUUCAUCACCAUCUUCUUCUUCUUCUGGGAUUGUUGCUAGGGUUUCUUCUACGGGGUUCCAUCUUUCGAAAUUUGAACUCCCUUACUCUGUUUCUCCCGUUCAGGGACUGCUGCUUUCUUAAGUUUAUGCAAUUUUUUUUUAACGAGAAAAUGAUAAAUAUCUGGAAUGGAAAAAUUUUUUACAUUCCACUCCCAAGUCAGCUUCAGAUAUUAAUUCACUUCCAAUUUUGAUAGCACUAAACCGAUGUAUUAUUCGAGUUAGAGUGAAUAAUUACACCAAAAGUAAACACUUAAUCCCGAUCUGCUUGAUUGUCAAGAAACAGUAGGAAAAUUCAAUAGCAUUCCUUUUAUUAUCUUUAUUUUUCUUAUUAGACUCAUAAAAAUAUUCAUUGCACCAAUAUUAACUGCCUUUUCUCUCCCUAGUUGUUGAUAAUAUCAUUUUCCUAAUCUUAUUUUCUAUAGUUAUCCAACAUAUAAAAUUUAUAUUCGUUAAAAUUUCAAAAAAAAAAAUGGACAGUUGAGAUUGCUUCUACAUAUUCGUAGAACAGUUAUUUGUGUAUAUAUGCAGGUCGUGUCUGUGCAAAGAAUUAAAAUUUAAUUUUUUAUUUAAUAAAUCAUCAUGUGUACUUGUUCAUCUAUUUGACUUUUUACAUCUAUUUCUAUUCAGUCCCGUUGAUCGUUAGGUAUAUCAUGGAAUUGAAUGCUUGUGUUUAAAUAUCUUUAUUUAGUAUGUACCUAUAUAUGAAUCGUCUCUUAAUUUUUAGAUAUGAAUUAAAUUUAUCACAUCACAACGUAAUUAAGAUUUGUAUUUAAAUUUAUCACAUCACAACAUACCACGUCCGUGGUUUAGUUAGGAUUUACUUUUUGUUUCAUUGUUUUUAUUUUUUAUUUUUAGUUUUAGUUUUGCUCGAGGACUAGCAAAAUCUAAGUUUGGGGGUAUUUGAUGAGCAUAAUUUAUAUACAUAUUUUACCCUUUAUUAUAUAUUUACUAAUUAUUUUUAUUUCUUAUUUUUAAUUAAUUAUAUUAUUUUAUUGAAUAGAGAAUUAAUUAGAGAUUAUGGAUAAAAAGAGUAUAAAGAAGUUCAAUUUGUGAGCAUUAAAGAUUAAUUAACUUGGAAGCAAUUAUGCUUAUAUGCAUGUUAAUUCAAGCCAAGGAAACCGAAUUCAACAAAUUUAUUUACCCAUGCACAUGCGGACAAAGAAGAUAAAGGGGUGGAAAGCAAUAGAAAGGGACCCGCACUUGACUUUCAUGAGUGGAAAAGGAUUGAAAAUUCUUUUUGGAGUACACGUGAUAGAUGCCAAGACAAGUUAAAAGCUUUGCCAGCACAUGAAGGAUUAAAGGAAGUUUAAUUGGGCUUUGCAAGAGUGGGCUGAUUUUAGCUUGUGUGAGCUGCUAGAAAGUCAGUUUAAUCUAGGUUAAUUUGAUUCUUCCACUAGUUAUAAUUUAGGUUGUCUUUUAUUUUAUUUAUUCAAUUUUUAUUAAGAAAAAACAGGUUGUCUUUUAUUUUAUUUAUUCAAUUUUUAUUUAAAAAAACAAAAAAAAAUUAGUUUAUUUUAUUUUGAAUUUAUUGUUUAGUUGUUUGAUUUCUUUUAUUUAAUUUUGUUUAUUUUUAUUAUUGUUGUUUUAUUUUUCUUCUUUGUCUAGUUAGUUUAUGAGUGUUUGGGAAUGCGAUUCAACAAAUCGUUUGGUAAAAAAAAGAGUCGAAAAUUGAUAAUAGUCGAGAUAGUUCUUCAGAAGUGAUGGAUGACCCCAAUAGAUUAUUGCCAAUACUUCCACCAAUGCAAGCAGAGAAAACCCUUAGAAAAUAUUUUUCACCACUUGCAGCCAACCAACCAUCUUGUAUUGUGUUGCCACAAACUACAGCAACACACUUCUGCUGUACCGUACAAGUCAUUCAACUUUUACCAUCUUUCCAUGGGUUAGAGAGAGAGGACCCAUAUUUGCACAUUAAGGAAUUUCUUGACAUAUGCUUCGUAUGUUCCCUUUCUCAUUAAAAGACAAAGCAAAAGCGUGGUUGAAUUCACUUCCUGCUGGGUCUAUUACUACGUGGGAUGAAUUGAGUAAUAAGUUUCUCACCAAAUUUUUCCCUAUGUCUAAAACAAAUGCCCUUAGGAGAGAGAUAAGUGAUUUUUAUCAAAGAGAGGGUGAGCAAUUUUAUGAGUGUUGGGAAAGAUUCAAUGAUUUACUCCUCAAGUGUCCCCACCAUGGUUUUGAAAAAUGGAGACUUAUACAAUGCUUUUAUAAUGGUUUAACCAUGUCAAAUCGUCAUAUGGUAGAGUCUAUGAAUGGUGGGAGAUUUUUGAACUUACAUGAAGGGGCUGCAUGGGAUUUCUUUAAUUCACUUUCUGAAAAUUCUCAACAGUCGGAUUUUUCAAAUCAAAGGGAAAAAUUAUCUCAAGUUUCUAGAAAGGGUCUAUACGAAGUUAAGGAUGACUUUGAUGUGAAAGCCACUCUAGCUACACCUUCUAGGAAAGUAGAUGCCUUAGCUCUGAACCAAUCAAUGACAAUAGUCCAUAUUCAUCCACAUAUAAUCCUAAUUGGAGGAAUCACCCUAAUUUUUCUUGGAAACAAAAUCAACAUUUGUCAAAUCAAGGAGGGCAACAAUUUAACAUGCCUAAUCAACAAUUUGUCUCUCCUAACCAAGUAUAUCCUCCUGCCCAACAACCUAUGUCUCAAUUUGUUGCACCCCAACAAAGAAAGUCUUCUUUAGAGGAUACACUUCAAAGUUUCAUUCAGUCAACCCAACAAGCUUUUCAGUCAAACACUCAAGCUAUUCUAAAGCUUGAACAUCAAUUGGGUCAAUUAGCAACUACUGUAGCGGAGAGAGAAAAAGGAAAAUUCCCCAGUCAAUCAAUUCCCAAUCCUAAAGGAGUGCAUGAAGUUGGAUCGAGUUCAAGCCAUCAGCAUGAAGAAGCAAAAUCUGUUAUGACCUUGAGAAGAGGAAAAUUAUUUGACAACAAGGUGAAGGUUCCAACAAGGAAGACAUCUGAGCCUACUUCUUCAGAUCCAGUUCCAUCACAAGAUCCAUCAUCAAAUGAUCCAGAAGAAAGUGGCCCGCUAGCUUACAUUCCCAAGGUUCCUUUUCCUCAAAGGUUAACAAAGGUAAAGAAAGGGACUUCAACAGAUGAGAUUAUGAAAAUCUUCAAGCAGGUAAGUAUAAACAUCCCUUUACUCGAUGCUAUUAAGCAAGUUCCUUCAUAUGCCAAGUUUUUGAAAGAUUUAUGCACUAAAAAGAUAAAUUUGCAUGUCACUAAAAAGGCGUUUUUAACUUAACAAACUAGCAAUUUACUUCAAUGUAAAAUGCCACCAAAAUGUAAGGAUCCUGGUUCUCCUACUAUCUCAUGUGUUAUAGGGAACCAAUGUUUUGAUAAAGCAUUAUUGGAUUUAGGCGCUAGUGUUAAUCUCUUGCCUUAUUCUGUUUACAUGCAACUUGGACUAGGGGAAUUAAAGCCAACUUCUAUUAUUUUGCAACUUGCUGAUAGGUCAAUGAAAAUACCUCGUGGUAUUAUAGAGGAUGUGUUGAUACAAAUUGAUAAAUUUUAUUAUCCUGUUGAUUUUAUUAUUAUUGAUACUCAGCAUGUACAAGAUCCUAAGAAACACACCCCAGUUAUUCUAGGUCGUCCUUUCUUAGCUACAGCUGAUGCUCAUAUUAGUUGCAGGACUGGAAACAUGCAAUUGUCUUUUGGUAACAUGACCAUGGAAUUAAACAUUUUUAAUGUUCCCAAGCAGGCACAAGAAGAUGAUGAAGUUGUUGAAGUAGAUAUGAUAGAAACAUCAAUUGAUGACUCACUUAUUUCUAACCACUGUGACAAUCUAUUAAUACCAUGCACAACUGACUUUGAUUUCUCUGUUGAUGUUGAUAGUGGUAUUGAAGAUGUUAAUGCUUUACUUGAUUCGACUCUUAUCAUAGAUCUAAUUAAGUGGAAAGAAAAGAUUGAGCCACUUCCUCCUGAAGAGAAAAGUGAACCAUUCAAGUUGGAGCUACUUCCUAAAAAUGUGCAACAUAGGUCACAUUCUGACAUGAAAAAGGUGGUAAGAUCUAAAGUGCUUAAACUAUUAGAUUUUUAUACUACUUCAGAUAACUCUCAGGAAAGCUUGGAACAGAAGAGAUCAAAGCAGUGCGAUAUUGAAGAGUUUCAUUACCAUCAUCCUUUUAUAGAUAAAAUGCCCCAGUGCUUAGUCAAUUAUGUUUUUUGGCAUUUUCUAUAUAAUUGCUUUGGUUUUCACCAAAUUCUUAUUGAUCCUGGUUGAUUUGUUGUUUACAUUAAUUAGUUAGCAGAUUCUUAUUGAUCCUGGUUGAUUUGUUGUUUACAUUAAUUAGUUAGUUAGUAGGAUUUUUUUUUAUUUUGUUUUGUUUUUUUAUUUUAUUAUUUAUAUUUCUUCUAACGUUUUCUUUUUAGUUGUCAUUUUCUUUUAAGCUUUCCCAGCCCAUCCAGGUGUGUUCUCUCCAAUUUUAUUAUUAUUAUUAUUAUUUAUGUUUUUAUUUUAUUUUAUUUUUACUAUAUUUUUUUUUCAUUUGUUUGCAUGCUUAUCUUUUGUUUGUGAAACAUUGAGGACAAUGUUCCGAAUAAGUUUGGGGGUGAGAAUAGUGUGUGCUUUGUUUGUUAUUAAAAAAAUCAAAAAAAAUCAAAAAAAUUCAAAAAUUCAAAAAAAAAUUGUGUUUUUUUUGUUUUUACGUGAAAAGCCAAUGAUAAGAACUUGAUUGACAAUGAAUAUAGAUCUUAGAAAGGGUUGAAUAUUGUCUUAGUUUAUACUUGAUUCCUGUGUUAAUUCCUCUUGAUUGAGAUUCUUUAAACCACGAGCACUAAUAUCAAUUCUUUCAUAAUUUUGACUUGAAAUUUGAGAUUGACGCAGCCUGAGUUGAGAAUUUUAGAUAGAGUAAAUGACUGUUUGUCUUGAUUCUUAUCUCCACAAUACAAAAUAGUAUACAGGGCGCCAAAGUCAGAAAUAGCUACCUAUAACCCUUAAGAGUGAAGCUAUCCUUGAGUAAUUUGGGCCUAUGUACCACAAGUAUGUAGAGGAUAAUCUACCAUGAGAAGAAGGCUACCUUAAGGGGUAGAGUGAAAGCUUCUGACUAUGGUUAAAAAAAAAAGAAGAAAAAAAAAAGAGAAAAAGAAAAGAAAAAAAAAUCAAAUCAAGUGCAUGUACUGAAAAAAAAAAAUCAAAAGAAAGUGCACAUAAAAGCCUGUGAAAAAAAAAAUUUUUUUUGAGAUCAAGAUGAUAAGAUUAAUUUGACCUACUCUGUUCUUUGUUUGAGGCGAAAAUUGUUGAUGUUGAGGAUUUUGUGAAUGGAUUUGAUUGAAUUGAUUUCACACACACACUACAAGAAUCGAAAGAGAGAUGGGAUUGAUUAUUGAAUUAAAGUUAGAACUUUGGCAAUAUUUGAAAUUUUCUUUGAGCUAUAUAAUUUUUGCAAUCUUUGAGGCUAUUUUUCAUGUUUUAUUUAAAGUUUUUUUUUAAUUUAAUUUAAUUGUUUUUAAAUGAUGUUUGUGGGUAUCAUCACUGAAGCCCUCACGAGACUAUAACUCGUCCACUAGGGCCGCCUAGGGGUUUAAAGGCUUGUUGCAUGUGCUAAAUGCAAUCGCGAUUACCUGCGAAAGUGGUUUAGUUAGGAUUUACUUUUUGUUUCAUUGUUUUUAUUUUUUAUUUUUAGUUUUAGUUUUGCUCGAGGACUAGCAAAAUCUAAGUUUGGGGGUAUUUGAUGAGCAUAAUUUAUAUACAUAUUUUACCCUUUAUUAUAUAUUUACUAAUUAUUUUUAUUUCUUAUUUUUAAUUAAUUAUAUUAUUUUAUUGAAUAGAGAAUUAAUUAGAGAUUAUGGAUAAAAAGAGUAUAAAGAAGUUCAAUUUGUGAGCAUUAAAGAUUAAUUAACUUGGAAGCAAUUAUGUUUAUAUGCAUGUUAAUUCAAGCCAAGGAAACCGAAUUCAACAAAUUCAUUUACCCAUGCACAUGCGGACAAAGAAGAUAAAGGGGUGGAAAGCAAUAGAAAGGGACCCGCACUUGACUUUCAUGAGUGGAAAAGGAUUGAAAAUUCUUUUUGGAGUACACGUGAUAGAUGCCAAGACAAGUUAAAAGCUUUGCCAGCACAUGAAGGAUUAAAGGAAGUUUAAUUGGGCUUUGCAAGAGUGGGCUGAUUUUAGCUUGUGUGAGCAAUUCACUAGCUAUCAUUAUUUGACAAGGAUUCGGCUAGGGAUUAAAAAUAUAAAAGCCAAACUUUGGCUUUAGAAUAGGGAGGAGCCGCCAGAGGAGGAAAACGCGAGACAGAGAAGAAAAUCUGCAGUAGUUCGACUUUCAUGGCUGCAUUUAUUUCUUUUGUUGCUCACAAUUUAAGUAUGUUUAGCUAAUUUUCUUAUACUGAGGUUAAGGAUGAAACCAUAUUUAAUGAAAUAAUUAUCUCUUUUUAUUUAAUUAAUUCCCUAUAUAUGUUCUUUGAUGAUUAUGGUUUUUAUUUCACAUGAUUAAUUGGAUGUUAUUAAAAUCUUUUCAUCAAUUCUGUCAUGCAUUAUUGAUUGUUCAACUAGGUUAGAAUUAAUAUUAAUUUUAGAUUUAAAUUAGACUUUUCAAUUUAUAACAAUCCCUGUGGGAUCGACCUCGUUACCACUACUCUAUUUCUAGAUUCGUGCGCUUGCGAGUAUAUUAAAAUUUUCACAACAGUAACAAAUGAAACCAAUAUAUCUUGAUGGGUUGAUUAAUUAAUAAUAAUUUUUGCUAAUAACAAGGAAAAAUAAAUUAAAUCUUUUUACUCUAGAUACAUCGCUACCAUGACUCUUUCGUCAUAAAACCAAAAGACUCUAGUAUAGGAGAUGAAUUUACAAAAUUGUACAUAGAAAAAUGAGAUUAUUAAUGUGCACAAGGACAUUAAUUCACUUUCCCCUGUUUAUUGGCUCUGCUUAAUUUUUUCCUUCAUUGUUUGUCUAUUUUCCCAACUUUUUUCUUAUAAAACUGAAACCAAUCAAAUCAUGAUUAUUAUUGUAAUACUAAUUUAAAAAAAAAAAAAUUCAAAUUCAAAUACUAUGUUUUGAAGGAAAUAUAUUAUCAUAUAAAUUAAUAAUUACGUAGUAUAAAAACGAAAUUCAUAUGACAUGUCUAUAUAGCUUGUGUAAAAUACAUUCUUAGCAUUGUUUGCUUCUUUUCAAAAUUAAUCUAUAAAUAUGGGAAACAAUGCAAUUUAUAACAAUAUAUUGUUGCAAUAGUGGAUUAACAAAAUUUCCAGCAAUUCUCUUUUCGUAAAUAACAACCAUGUGAUCUCGAUGACAUUAACCAUGUAAAUGUUUACGUCACAUAAUUGCAGCUUUUGCUAUCCCGCCACGGCGCCACAAUUUGCAAAACGUAAAUCCAUAUACCGGUGCAUUUAAUAUUAUUCAUUACAAAUCCGGACCGUUAGAGCUGGAUCCUAGAGAAGAAGAAAACUUAACUUUGUAUAUGAUUUUUUAAAAAAAAAAAAAUUGUGACAAUUUGAAUAUUAUUUUUGUUAAGUUAGAUUGUGCAUCAAUAUAAAAUAAGGUUGAAAUUUUUGGGUAUCAAUACGAAAGAAGUGAUAAAACUAGUUUGUGCAUAUACAAUUAAAUAAUUCAAAUUAGACUAAAAUUCAGAAAUAUUUAUAACAACCCAAUUGCGCACUAAUGAUUUUGAGUUGGAACUGUUUUAACUUGUUCUAAAAAAUUUUAACUUCGACGACUAGCAAAGGUUAAUACAAGAGAAAGUGUUUUAUUUUAGCUGAUCCCUAUUCCUGCAUUUGUUAAAAAAUAAAAUAUAAAAUAUACAAAAUGUCCAGCAUCAGAGCAAGGGAAGAUGAGCGUGCCGGCGCAGAGAUUGUGUAUGGCGCUGAAGAGUGCUAUCGCCAUUCUAUUGAGCUUCUUGAAGAGCUAGGGUUUCCAAAAGGGGUGCUUCCUUUGCAAGAUCUUGAAGAGUGUGGAAGAGUCAGAGAAACUGGGUUUGUUUGGAUGAAGCAAAGAGCCCCAUAUGAGCAUUUCUUUGAGGGGACUAAUACUCGAGUGAGUUAUGCAGCGGAAGUGACUGCUUAUGUAGAGAAGUUCAAGAUGAAGAAAAUGACUGGCGUUAAAAGCAAACAAAUGUUUCUGUGGGUGCCAAUUCCUGAGAUGAGCAUUGAAGAUGCGUCGAGUAAUAAGAUCCAUUUCAAGACUCCGAUGGGAAUUGGCAAGUCUUUUCCGAUCACGGCUUUUCAUGACCGAUGAAGAGAAACACAAGUACUUGGACAUGAAAGCCAACGAAUGAAUCAUUUGAAAACUUGCUGCAUCUCUAAUUGGCUCGGUGGGCGGGCAUAUAUAUACAUGCACUCUUUUAAUUGAUUAUCCACUUUAAUUAUCUAAUAAGGUUACAGCAUAGAGUUUCUCGUUCAUAUAUAUAGCAUGCUUAAUUUGAUUUCGUCAUAUUCAGAAAAGAGUUAACUAAUAUUUGAUAUAAUCAAUAUCGUCCUCGUAAUCAUCAUUCUUCCCAUAUGUUCCUGUUAAUCGAAAUUUGAUGUAGGAUUAAUUAAUUUUUAUAAAAUUUCAUCUUCAAUCAGUUUUAUCAGGCUAAUUUAAUCCAAUCCUUGAACACAAACAUACUAGUAUUACUAGUUAAUUUAUUUGGUAAUAAAAUUCUCUAAUUAUGAUGUUACAACAGUCGUGUUGGCUUCAAUCGGGGGGAAAAAAAAAGAGAAAAAAGGAAGCUAGCAAUCUAAAUGACAUGGUAAUUAACAAAAAAUAAUAAUAAUAAGUAUAACCAUCAUUACUUGACAUAUUUUAAGUGGAGUUCAAAUCCUCUCGUGAUUUGAAUAUUAUCUGAGUUUUGUGAGACCUAUUGGCAUGUGGCAUUUAUUAAACUUUGUGGCCAUGGUCUCUUUUCUUGUCUUUUAAUUGUUUUGUGAGCGGUCAGCCUCUAAAGGAUGCAUUUUGUUCACUUGUUUCCCUUUUCUCUUCGCUAAUAACCAACCACUAAAAACGUCCAAACAGCAGCCAAAUGUCUAAUUCACUUUUUUUAAAGCAAAGCUUUGUGCCUACUGUCACGGCCCGCUUGUUCCCUCGCUGUGCCGCGCGGCUUUAGGCGCCAAAUUUUAUUCUUUUGGCCUUAAGUUAGCCUUGCACACUCAAAUUCAUUGCUGGAUUCGAAAGUCGGAAAGUGUAUUUAUUCAAACCCGCUCAAAAUGGGAGGAAAAAACUCGUAUUACUCAAAAAAAAACUUACAAUGCCUAUGUGCUGGAUUUUAUAUGUUGCUUGUUAUGCCUUGACCAAAUGAAACUCCUAUAUAUAGAGUAUAAUAGAGUAUAAGGGAGUGGUCUCAAUGCUCAAGGACCACAAUAAAUGUAAGAAAAAUUUAUAUAAUCAUAUGGCUGGUGUUAGUGGGCGCUACGUUGGAGCUGAUCCAACGUAGCCGAACCUUUAUUUGAAUUAACAGAUAUGCAACGUAAUUCAGGAGUGGCAAAUGUGGUACACGACACAAAAUUAAAAAAAUGGAAGUAGUGGAAUUAAUUAAUUAAUUAAUUUUUUCAGCAACAAAAAAUUGAGAUUAACAUAUGAUAUACUUGCAUGCAAAUUUAUAUAAUUUAACUUUCUCUCUUUUGGGACAUGAUCGAUUCUUGUUCUCUCUUAUUAAAUUAACCAUACUCACAUUUUAAACUAGUACCGGAUUUAUGUAUAUCUCUAGUCUAAUUUGGUUAAUUUUUCUUUUCAAAGAUUUCAAGUAAAAGAGAUUCUUAAAAUUAAUUUUCGAUAGUGGGUGUCCCUUGAUGAAAAUUUAGGUGUCUUUGUGAGCAUUUUCCUAAACCUUAAAAGUGUCGGUAUCCUUUUUCCCAAAAAAAUAAAAAAAAUAUGUAUAAUGGUAAAUAUUUGCUCUGUUUUCCUCUGUUUAUUUGCUUUGCCAACUUGUAGGGUCUUCAUUAUUUGUCUAUUUUCCCAGCUUUUUUAACAUCUCAAACUUGUCAAAUAUUUUAGCGAUUACUUUGUAAAAAUUAAAAGUUUAUGUUUCCCUCACUUGUAUUGCUUUCAAUUACUUGAGCCUUCACAAACUAAACCAAACUAAACCAAACUAAACUUUUUCCUUAGCAAAUCUCUUUUAAAAAAAUUCAUACUUUCCUAUAAGACUCUCUUAUUAUAUAAAUUAAUAAUUACUAAUUCAAAACUAAAUUUAUAUUAGAUGUAUUUGUGGCUUUUAUAAAAUAUAUCCUUAUUGUUGUUCUUCUAAUUGAUUUUAACUUAUCUUAUCUCUAAUUUUUUUGGUAUACAAAAAUCAAAUCUCUUUUAGAGUCCUUUGUCAGAAUUAAUUGAACUUCUAUUUAACAUGUGGUUACAAAAUGGUCAGUGAAGUGAUAAAAUAAACUCGAAGCAUUGCAAAUAUAUCUUUUACUUUUAAUUGUCAAAUUAUUUCUAGCAAAUAAUAUUAAAUUUUUAAAGCAUCAUUUUGUUGCCAAUAUUUUUUUUCAGUAAAUACUUAUUUCAUUAUUACAUGAUCCAUAUUUGUUGUCUAUCAUUACUCAUCAAACGCCACAGUGAUAUCAUUCCCCAUUACUCUUUCAUUAUAUGUUAAACUAACUAAAAUCAAUUAUAUAUUUUCUAUGAAAUUACACAAGAUUAUGAAAUCGACGUUUUCAAUAUCAGACCAUCAAAAUUGAUUGAUGAGGAAAUGUUAAUGUAAUGUUGCAUACUGAUAGUACCACGCCUGCAGGAUUAAUGAAGUCAUGCAGGCAUAUUUUCUCAGCAUCUGAGUUCCCAUUUCAGUUAGAAAGAAACGAUACACUACCCUUGCACUGCGUGAGCCUUAAGAAACUGACGGUCUGGCAGUUACAAACAAAGAUUGAUGGGUUGAAUUCAAAAAAAAAGAAAAAAAGAAAAAAAAAUCUUGAUGGGUUGAUGAAUUAAUAGUUUUACUAGUAGAAAUAAUAAAUUAAAUCUUUUUUUCAUGAAGUAUCAUAUCGCAGUUCAUUUCUCCAAAUUGUAGGUAACAUAUUAAUCGUUUUAUUAUUUUAUUAAAUAUCUAUAAUAACUAAGUCGAAUUUAUAUUCAGCUAAAACUUUGUUAUAUUUAUUUUGACACGACACUAAACAAGCUCUUGCCCCAUAUUCUGCACAAACAGUUAAUAUAUUCUCUAUCUCUUUCCUGCUGUAAAAGCAAGCCAGUUGGAUUGAUUGUUGGACCAGAAAUGUACACCCACGGCUUCUUUACAGUCUCGAUCGAGUAUUGUCACAAGUAUCAAAGCCCACUUCAGACUGGGGAGGGAUAUUCACAAUGAUAGCUUUCAAAAAUUUGGCAGCAGAAACAUACUUCCCAUUGGAGUCUGCUGGGAAGCAUAAUGUAUUGUUCCACUUUGUAGGAUACAGCAGAGGACUAGCUUAUUAAACAGAGAUUGAAAGCAAUCUGCAUAUAUGAAUUCUGCAUUUGUAUCGACUGGGAAACCAACAUUGCUCUUGAUAUACUGUUUGAUGCUUGGGGGGACGUCAAUGUCUGACUCAGACAUGUUUUCUCUUGCAAAACUUUCAAGGAUAGCAGCUUUGACUGGGGAUGGUAUCGGCAAGAAGGUUAAGUCUACAUCCAUAUGAAUCAGGUUAGAGUUUGGUGUCUCAGUAAUUGACAGUUGUUGAGGACAGAGAUGGCUGAUCUAGAAAACCCGGUCAUCCCAGUUGAUUUGGCCUUUCACAACCCCCCUGAAGAAGAUUUACCAAAAAGCAAUCCCAUAAGCUAACUUGCUUCAGUGAAAAAUAACAAAUAGCAGAAAAUGCCAAUGUAGCGGCUAAAGUGCUGUGAAGUGAACUACAGAGAAAUAUUAAGAAAAAUCAGAGGUCGGAUAAGCAUACAGCCAGUGAAUUAAGAAAAAAGUCCAAGAAGCAAAGGAAUCGCUUUGGGUCAAUCGCUCCAUCUUAAGUCCAGAAAAAUGGACAUAAUUAUUAAAGUCCUCGCAUGAUACUGAAUUGCUUAAGUUGCUUCCAACUUUUGUAACAUAAAUAUCAACUAUCUGAUUACUCUCAUGUUCAAAUGGAAGAGAAGCUCAUGAAAAAGACAAUCAGCGCAGUAGUCCCUUCUAGUACUUCCACAGUCUUAUAUUACACUAUGCUAUAUUAAUUUUUUAAUGAGUAAUUUAAAUUAUAUAUUUAUAAAAUAACAUUUAUUAGUAGUUAGAAAAAUACUAAAUAUAGAAUUCUUAAAUUUUAGAAAUUUAAUAUUAUCUUUUUGGUAUAAACAUUGAAAAAAAAUCAUAAUUCUUCGUAAAGAUUGAAAUAAAUAAUUCAAUCAAAUAACCUUCAAAUAAUAUUAUAACAUAAAUAAAUAAUUAAAAUGUACAAGAUUAAGUUAAAAAUCAUUUUAAGAUAAAAAAAUAAAAAAAUUACACAUACUAUAAAAUAAUAUAGUAGCUGUAGUACGAUAACCAACAAAAUAGAUUGUUAAAAAUAAUUCAAGUAAUACAACAAUAUUUACAAGUACCGUUUUUGCUAUCUUUCUCUUUUAAAGACUCCUUUUUUUUGUUUUAUUCUCAUAACUUCAUAGUUCUUUGUUUUCUUUUUCUUUUUCUUUGCCUCUAUUUUCUUUUUCUUUCUUUUCCUUUUCCUUUUUUUUCUUCUGUUUCCUUUUUCAUUCUUUUCCUUUUCCUCUGUUUUUUAUCUUUCUUUUUCUUAUAAGUUUCCUUUGGGUGAUUUGUCGGAGAGUUGUGUGGCUUUGAUUGCUGGGUCUUUGAGAUCGCCUUCGAUGGUUUUGGUGCAUGGGUUCUUUUGCAUGCCUUCGUAGCCGACGCCGUAGUAUGCGAAAGAAUAUGGCAAUUUUCCGGAGCUUGAAUAGCUAUUUUUCCGGUGGAAUCGGCACCUGCGGCGUCGAGGACGAGGUCAUGUUCGUCGGAGAUGGUGGUUGUGGACAUCUGGUUCUUGUUGCGGACAUUUCUCCUUUCUUCGUCUCCUUCAUUUUUCUUUUUUUUUCCUCUUUUUCUCCUUCUAACGCAAUGAGGCGUAAUUCCGACUCCCCCACGGGUUUAUUUUAUGCGGUAUUUGGUGUAUUACAACAGUAAUUUUAUGUGGUCUAAUACCGUGUUAAUUUUCGCCAAACGUAGUAUUGUAUUAAUUUAAUACAAUAUAAGAUUAUAAUGAGGUGUAAUGCUGGGUGCCAAACACGCCCUUUGUAUACUAUGAAUUGCUUAAGCUUGUAAACAAAGACAUCAAAACAUAGAUUCUGUUCUAGACACAAUUUUUCACUUUAGAUUUGGGAUUGAUUUUUAGCUUUAUCUUUUUAGGCUUAUAACUAAAAGCGCGAAAAAAAAAAGGAUAAUAAAAAAUAAUAAUAAAUAAAUAAAAUUUGCUAACAAUGAUAUUAGCUUUUUUUUUCCUUUUUAAAGUGGAAAUUAUUUGGUAACUGGACACGUGCUUAUAUAUAGUAGCUAUAUAGUAGCUAACAUUCUAUAGUAGUAAUAGCAGACUGUGCAUUUAUUAUUUUUGGAAGAAAGUAAAUAUUUGCCCUGUUUUCCUCCGUUUAUUUGCAUUGCCAACUUGUACGGUCUUCACUAUUCGUCAAAUAUUUUAACGAUUACGUUAAAAAAAUUAGAAUCUUAUAUUUCCUUCAAUUGCAUUGCUUUCAAUUACUUGAGCCUUCACAAACUAAACCAAACUAAACUUUUUCCAUAAGCGAAUCUCUUUUCAAAAAUUCCUGCUUUCCUAUAAGACUCUGUUACUAUAUAAAUUCGUAAUCACUUAAUUCGAAAUUAAAUUUAUAUUAUAUAUUUGUGGGUUUUACAAAAUAUAUUCUUAUUGUUGUCCUUGUAAUUGAUUUUAACUUAUCUCAUCUCUAAUUUUUUGGAAUGCAAAAAUCAAAUCUCUUCUCGACAUUCUCUAGAGUCUUUGGUCAGAAUUAAUUGAACUUCUAUUAAAGUUGUCGUUACAAAAUGGCUAAUGAAGUGAUAAAAUAAGCUCGAAGUGACAAAAUGGCUAAUUGAACUUCUAUUAAAGUUGUCGCAUAUACAUCUUUUACUUUUAAUUUUCGAAUUACUUUCUUGCAAAUAAUAUUAAAUUUUUAAAGCAUUAUUUUAUUGCCAAAUAUUUUUCAGCAAAUAUAUAUUUCACUAUUACAUGACUAAUAUUUGGUGUCUAUUAUUACGCAUCACAUGCCAAAUCGACAUCAUUCCCCGUCUCUCUUUCUUUAUACGUUAAACUAACUCAAAUCAAUUAUAUCUUUUCUAUGAAAUUACAUAAAAUUAUGAAAUCGAUGUUUUUAAUAUCAUACCAUUAAAACUGAUUCGAUAUUAGAAGCUCAUGAAAAAGACAGCCAUAGUAGUUUUGACCAAUCAGAGCAGUAGUCCCUUCUAGUAAAUUCAACAAUCUUAGACAAGGCCUUAAAGAUGGCCUCUUCGUCUGGUAUGAAAAAAGCAACUUCUAAAUCUAGAUCGUCCUAGAAAGGAGAAUUUUGCUUCCGUAAAUAAGUUCUUAAAAUAAAAAAGCUAACAGAUAACCAAUCAGAAUGAAUCUUGAAACCCGUCUUAUGGCUUAAAUCAGACAAAAUAGAAAUCUCCUCUUGCAAUAGCAUAUUUGAGUCAAGUAGCGGCAAUAAUGAAAAACAAUCACCGAAUGUCAAGGAAGAACAUUUCCGGCUGGGAGGCUGGAGAGCUCAAAGUCAUCGGAUAUAUCCAAGAGAAGACGAGAUCCAACUUCUCUUGUUAGUAAGCAUAAAUUAGCUGAAUGUUCAAUGCUCAUGCACUUUUGGGUGAGUUUCUGUGAUUGCUGUAACGUAAUAUGACACUAUUCAAUCAAGCCACUCUGCUUUUCAGUGAUAGACACAAAUGAGAUUAGUGCAAAUGAUAUAAUUGAAAUACCACGAUUAUAUUCCCAUCAUAAUUAACAACUAAUUUUCAGUUUCUUGUGUCAAUUUCUUUUUCAAUAUAUCUAAUGGCAAUCUCAUGAGCUCAAUGUUAAUUUUACUGUAUUUUGCACCUUUGUGAUACUUUAUUAAACCAACAACACAAGAAAAUUUGACAAAAGUGCUGCCAAGAUUAUCAUCAUCUGAAUUUUAGAUACCAAACAUCAUAUAUAAAUUAGCAAUCCCAAACUAACUAAAAGGAUACCCAUUAGAUAGAAAUUCACAUUACAGUUUGUCCGACAACUACCAAAAGAAACACCAUAAAAGCAUAGUACAUAGCUUCUCACACAAAAACAGAUUAUAUCUUCUCCUCAGCAGCUGAAUCCUUCUAAGAGCUCAUCGAUGACACAAUACACAAUUCGAUGGGUGGUUGCAUGAUGGGGAAGUCUAACUUUGUACUUUUUUCAUCAGACUUUGUCAAAGAUCGUUUUGUAAUUAAUUUCAUAAGCUGAGUGUAUAUAAAUGCUAGAGUGUUCUUCAUUUAAAUAGCAUGAUUGAAUACAAUUAAUAUAAUGGAAAUCAAAUUAUAAUCAUCGAAUUUUUUAGAUUAGCAUUAUUUCAUCUUUGUAUAAUCUAACUUGAGACAAUCAAUAUUUAUACUGAUUUCGUCCCUUUGAUCGUGACUUUGAUGGUUACUUUUAAAAAUUCUCUUCACCUACCGAUUUCAUUUAACAAAAAUUUUACAUACAAUACAACUUUACAAAGAAUUAAAUAAAACCAAACGAAAUAUCAAGGCUGUUCACGAAUUGCCUUCCUAUGGUUCCACAGCCAAGCAAGUCCUUAUAUACAACUAAAAGUCAAUUUGAUUCUUUGACUUAGAUUUGGGAUUGAUGUUCAGCUUUAUCUUUUAGGGCCUGUGACAUCCCAGUACACACAUACACACACGCACACACAUAUUGUAUAUGAUCAAGCUACUUAGUGGGGAUGGCCAUAAAAUAGACGUAAAAAUGGAUGGCCAUCUGAUUCCCCAUGAGUACAGAAAAAUUAAAUAUGAAACUCCAAUACCGUCAAUUCUGCGUUUUAAUUUUAAGUUGACGUAUAAUGAAACGAGAGGCUCAUGUGAUUUAAUUUUGUAUAUUUAAUUAAGUAAAAGUGAAACUUAUUGCAUUGUAGCUGGACAUGGUUUAACCGGCUAUGAAUGCACUUUGUUCCUGCAGUACUUUCUAAGUUUGAAUAUUAAUAAAAUUCAAAGUUGAUUUUGAAUGGAUAAGAUUUCCCAUCCCUGAAAUUUUAUUUAAAUAAGAAAACCAAUCUGACCGAAAGGAAUACAAAUUGCAGGACCAUUGCAAAGAUCCCAGUGUCAGAGUAAAUUAUGUAUUUAGCUUGGAGCAGUUUGCAAAGUAACCUCAAUAACUAAAAGGAAAAAAAUAAAAUAAAAUAAAAUAAAGCACAACAUAUGCCAUCAAUGAAAUUAGCUUUUAUUCUUUGUUAAAGUGAAAUUCUUUUGCUAAUUAGACACAUGCUUUUAUUUCCUUCAAUUGCAUUGCUUUCAAUUACUUGAGCCUUCACAAACUAAACCAAACUAAAGUUGUUCCUUAAGCAAAUCUCUUUUAAAAAAAUUCCUAUUUUUCUAUAAGACUCUCUUACUAUACAAAUUAAUAAUUACCUAAUUCGAAACUAAAUUUAUAUUAUGUAUUUGUGGUUUUUAUAAAAUAUGCUCUUAUUGUUGUUCUUGUGAUUGAUUUUGACUUGUUUCAUUCCUAAUUUUUUUUUAAUACAAAAAUCAAAUCUCUUUUCGACAUUAUAAUUAAAAUGUAGUUACAAAAUUGUUAGCGAAGUGAUAAAAUAAACUUCGAAGCAUUGGAUAUUUAUCUAUUAAUUUUAAUUGCCAAUUUAUUUUCUUGCAACUAAUAUUAAAUUUUUAAAGCAUCAUUUUAUUGCCAAAUAUUUUUCAGUAAAUACAGACUUCAUUCUUACAUGAUCAGUAUUUGUUGUCUAUCAUUACUCAUCAGAUGCCACAUCGACAUCAUUCCCCAUUUCUCUUUCUUUAGAUGUUAAACUAACUCAAAUCAAUUAUAUAUAUCUAGUACAUGAAAUUACACGAAAUUAUGAACUCAAUGUUUCUAAUCUCAUAUCAUGAAAAUUGAUAGAUGAUCAAAUGUUGAUGUAAUGCUGCAUGGUGAUAGUAGGAUUAAUUAAUGUAGUCAUGCAGACAUAUUUUCGCUGUUGCUGUGGCCACUGCACAAAGAAUUGAUCGGUUAUUUCCUCUGUUUAUUUGAUCUGCUUAACUUGGAGUGGCUUUAUUAUUUGUCUGUUUGCCCAAUAUUUCAUAAACCUCAAACUUUUCCAUUGAUCCUUGCUCCAAGCCAUGUCCUGUUAGUCAGACGCAUGCAUGCAUGUGCGAAUCUUGCUCAUUUCUUCCAUCGACUGAAAUUACUUGUUUUUUCUUUUUGAUCUUUGUUCUAUAUCUUCUUUGAAAACGUUAUCAAAAUCACCCUCAGCCAAUUAUCAAAUCAAAUGAAUAGGCUCACUUUACUUGUAUUAAUUUCUUUAUAAUUUCUCCAAAUUGCAACUCAUGUCAUCUACUGAAGUGUGAAUCCUGCUAAUUCAUGAUAUGAAGAUUUGGAAGUCAUUGAAAAUUGCAACGUAUGCAAGUGCUGACAGAAAAUAUAUAAAUUUCCCGCAGGUGUUGACGUUGUAAUUAACUUGCAACAUAUGCAAGUGCUAACAAAAAAUUGAAUUGUUUUAUUCAUGAAAAAACAUAUCGCAUUUCAUUUCUCCCAAAUUUUAAGAUUGGGAUUUCACUCUUAUUCCUGAUUUAUCUCCACCGAAAAUCUUGCACUAUAAAAACGAAAAAAAAAAAAAAACAAGAUAAACUCCAAAAAAUUGAUACAACAAAGCCCAAAUUAAAGACUACAGUAUAUGACAUGAGUUUAACCCCCAAAAAAAAAUUACAUUUAAAAAAUUGAGUUUAUUAAAGAAUUGAGUUCUCAAGGAUAGUAUUUAAUUCAUUCUCCUCUGUUUAUUUGCUCUGCUUAACUUGUGUCUUCAUUAUUUGUCUAUUUUCAUAAUCUUUUUUUCUUUGAAAAAAAAAAUACCUCAAACGUGUCUAUUAUCCUUUAUGCGUGCUUUGUAAAAUCCGGAGUUUGGUGAUGCAGGACAAAUUAUUUAGGGUUAAUUAUUUUAGGAAGUAUUCUGAAUAGAGAGUAUUUCUAUUCCUAUUCAAGAAGGUUUCUAAUUCUGUUUUUCAAAUUUUAGAUAGACGCGCUGCAUGUGCAUGUGGAUAUCUUAUAUCUAUAUGUGCAUGUACUAAAUAGGAAGCAACACAUAACGAAAAGUUGGAUUCUUUUUGCUGGGCACUGAUUUUGUCUUUAUAGAAUCCGGUAACACUUGGUGGUGGUGGCCUCUGUUUCUCGUUUCACUUCUAUUAUUUGAAGAAAGUCAAUAAAAGCAAGUUGAUAAAAGGGAUCACUAAAUAUUUUUCUUUUGGUAAAGAUUGAAAAUCAUAAAAUUGUAAGUAGACCUUAAUCUUGAUUGACAUUUUAUCUGCAAUUAAAUUAAACUUCAGCCAUUGAUCAUUAUCUUCCGUGCAUUAUUUGUUUUGCUACUUGUCGUGCGAUUACUUCAAUUUAUAUAUCUGAUAUCUAUAACCAGAAGAGAGAGCACGUUCAACUGCUUACUUUUGAAUUGAAAAUUAUGGAAACUACGAGUGCAGGUAAAUUAUAGUUUUAGUACAGGAUCAUUGAGUAUCAUUUUUAUAUAUAUUAUGUUAUUUAUUAAUAAGUUUUUAUAUAUGAGAUUUUCAAGUCAAAAAGAAUGAUCAGAUACAUUUUCUCAUAAAGGAGACCUUAUGCAUUUCUUCUUUUAAUAAAUUUGGGUGUUCUCUUAUCGAUGAAAUAGCUAACGACAAUCUUAAUCCUAUAGCCUCUCAGUAUGAGAGAACAAUUGAUUCUCAAUCUAAAAUACUAACCUAAUUAAUAAAAAAACAAGAUAAUCUUUCUCACUUACAAUAUUCUGACGACCAAAUAUAUAAACCGUUAUUUAUUAAUUUUCUUUCUAGACACUCUAAUUCAAUCAUGGGUCAUGGCGAGUUGACGACCCAAAUAAAAAACGAUCAUGAGCGUCUGUAAUAAAAUUGCCUGCCACCUUUUUUUAGCUUCAUCUUGAUGCACCCAUGUCCAGUUCGUCAAGCAGACAACAACAAGCGUGUGAAGCUUGCAAAACUAUUAAUGGCGGUGAGGCCUGGUUUUAUUUACACUUUGGUGGAAUAAAGUGAAGCUUGCUAAAUAACUGGUGAUUGGAUUUUUUUAUUUUUUUAUUUGCACUUUAGAGUGAUUUCAAUUGUGUCUAUUUGUUAGACAACAUAUUACAUGAAUAAAGUAAAAUAUUUCUAAAAAGAAACGUUUUUGGAGUUUAGAAAGAAAGAGUGAGAGAGAAACGUUUUGAUUUAACUUGGUAUUUGAGAUGAAGAUUUGUAAAGUGAAGGUUCUAGGUAAUAGACACUGGAUUAACUGCUUGACAUACGAAUACCUAAUGGAAUUUCGUAACAAGUGGUGGUGAUUGGUGAAUUGCUAAAUUAUUAAUGGGUGGUGGGCUCUGUUUUUCUUUUCUUAGCUGCAAGGAACCACAAGUGGGGAGACUUGCCUCAUUUUACGUCGUUUGCUUACCAAGUGCUGGUGAUGGGUGAAUUGCCAAAUUAUUAGUCAUUGGUCAAUGAAGUAUCAGCGCGUGAUUUCUACUAAGCUUGCUGGACCAGACCCGUCACAGUCGCAAAUUCAUUCUGCUUAAUUAUCCAUUUCUCAUUUGUUCAAUUUUCUCAUUCUGCUUUCCAAAACUCAUAAUUCUGUUCCUUUCUUUCUUUGCCCCCAAAAAAAAAAAAUAAAUAAAUGUCAGGUUAAUUCUUCUUUUCAAAGAUUUCAGGUAAAAAAGAUUCAAUUUUGUGAUGAAUGCGCCUAUAAAGAAGCCAACCGAUAUUGCCAAUUUGUGCAUUUGAUGACAUUCAACAAGUUUUUACUGCCUCUUCAGCAAUGUCAACAACCGAAACAAAGUUAAAUCAAACUAGGAAUUAAAAUCUUAAAUAAAUAUAUAUAUAUAUAUAUAUAAAAUCUUUAAUAUAUAUAUAUAUAUAUAUUUAUAUAUCUUUUUUUUGUACAUUGAUUGAACUUCAUUCUUCAUUGAAAAUUAUGACAUGUUAAUUUAAUGAAUUAAUCACCACAAUUAGUAAAUAUUAAUACUUCAAGUUAACUUAAUGAAUUAAUAACUUAAUAAAUGUUUAAUAGAAAUUAAUAAGUCUUACAAAUUCAUCUUACAUAAAUUAUAAAUACUAAGCGUAACUUCUUCUUAAUACCACCCAAUAAUCUGAUGCUAGUGAUCUUUUUAUAAAUCAUUACUGAUAUAUUUAAUUAUUUACAAUUCAACUAUUAUUGGGACCAAUUUACCAAAAAAAAAAAACAAUCAAAGAAUUACACUCAAUUUUCAACAGAAACGACUGCUGUACGGCCAAGGCGGAUGUACGGUACAGCAGAGCUUCAGAGCUGAUUCGGUGGUUUGCACGCCAAGAGAAGAUCGAAGACGAUCUGAUGAAGUGGAAGAGCACGCUGUUGAUGAUUCAGGCGGUGCUCGAUGACGCUGAGGAGAAGCAGAGGACUAAUCGAUCUUUAACAUGGAAAAACAAAACCAUACAAUAAUUUUAUUACUGUUAAUAUAAAGCAGCUAACUCUUAAAAAAUCUUUGCAAGAGAAAACCAAUAGACAAAUAAAACAUAAUCGAUACUAACUCAAGGUAAAUCAAUACUAAAAACGCGAUCAUGUUUUUCUAAAAUAAUGAAUAUUUUCAUAAAUUAAUAAUUUAUUAAUUUGCCAAUUAAUUGAUGUUUGUUAAAUUUUAAUACAUUUUUUUAUGAUCCCCAAAACUAUUAAUUUAUUGAGAUUUUAUUAUAUUUGUUAUGUGGGAAACAAUGCAAUUUAUAACAAUAUAUUGUUGCAAUGGGACUAACAAAAUUUCUAGCAAUUCUCUUUUCGUAGAUAACAACCAUUUGAUUUGGAUGACAUUAACCAUGUAAAUGUUAAUAACACAUGAUUUUUUUUUUUAAAAAGGAGUUUUUCUAAUGAUUAAUAAAAGGAGAAUUCAAAGAAGAAAAUUAAAAGGAAAACAGCCAUAGGGGUUUGUGUUGGGAAUGACCAUUCGCAGUUUUUGCUAUCCUGCCACAGUUUGCUCUCUUCUCUGUACGUUUAAUAUUUGAAUGAAUGUAUUCGUUAAUUGUAACAACUCAAUGUAAUGACAUCGUGUCGUUAAUGUUCAUAUUGAGAGUUUGUUAAUUGAGUUAUUUAUUACGUAAAUUGAAAUUAAUUACACUUGUCGUCCAUUAUAUUACGUCUCUUUUAUUUAUUAGUAGUGGGCAAAUACAUGGUCCAGAUUUGCCAUCGAUGACGGUCGAUAUUUCCAGAACUAGUCAAGCGUUACAGAGAAGAAAGCAAAAAAUCACAAAACCAAUCAGAUGCAAUGGCUUCAGAUCAACCUCUUCCCACGAUGUUCGGGACUCAACACGAGAGAAUGAGAAGAGCUCUCAAGAAUCACCAGGAUGAUAUUAGAUCAAGGAUGCUAUGAGGACAAACAAAGUUGGCCGCUGUAGCUUUUGACAAUAUACAUGCUAUAGCUGUUAGAUUAAACAAACACAAACCACCAGAUAUAAGUUUUGUAUAUAUAGAUUCAAAAUGAAUGAAACAUUGCUAUGAUGUGCGUGCAUUAGUCUCUUAUUUUGUUUUCAUUGAAUCUUGUUGAUUCUUGAUCGAUUAAACUCAUUCUAAAACCACCAAGAUCUCACUAAACUCUCUAAUUGAUGAUUUAGAAAUGACAAGCAAAUCACACACCUCGAAACAAGCAAAACAGAGGCACAAUUUAAGUGGUUCCGCUUGGAGAUAGCCUAUAUCAAGUGAAGAACAGGGCAGCAAUCUUAUCUCCAUCACCGACAUCAAACUACAAGCAUUAAGAAGAAGUUACAAGCUUUUCAUGUCUCAACUGUAGCCUCUAAGACUAUAUAUACAGAUCAUGAAGAAUCUAGAUAUUUCCCCCCACUCACAAGCUGCAUUCUGGGUUUGUUAAAACAAACCCAGAAUUUUCCCGCCUUGUAAAGGUCAAUUAACAACCUUGAAUGACGUUCUUAAUUCGUGCUUCAAUGAGUGACCAAAACGACUGCCAAAUGUGCGGUAUAGGGUAAAUGAAAUCACGUGAAGAACAUGUGAUCCAGACGACAACACACAGCUGUCAUAUUCUUGUGUUCCGUCCAACAACCGACAGCGCAUGCACAAUCAGGGCUAUCAACCGACACGUCAGCAAUGUCUAAAACUCAGUUUAAGCUCGCGAUUCAACACCUCUUUUCAGAUUUUUUUUCAAUAAUUUUCAGUUUUCUGACAAAUGCAACGUAAUAUGUGUUGAAAAUUGAUUAAAAAAAAAAGUAUCAAAAUGGUGGGUGGUUGAGCAACCAUCUUUGAAUUCAAAGAUGGUGGGUGGUUGAGCAACCAUCUUUGAAUUCAAAGAUGGUGGGUGGCUAGCCAUUGAACAAGGAAAAUGGGUAGGUGCCGCCCAUGGAAAGAAGAAAAAAAAGGAAGAAAAGGAAGCCAUAAUUUGACUAUAAAUAGAGGAGUGCUCCUCCUUAUUUUUGCAUCCUAAAUCCCAGAGAAGGAAUCCAAGUUUUAGUGAGAAAUUGAGAGAGAGAAAUGUUCUUAAGCAUGUAAUUAUAUUGAAGGAGCAUUUGGCUCCUCAAUAUGGGUAUUACGGAUUUGCCAAUGACUAUUAGGUUUAUCAUAAACUUGAAUGCUUAUGUUUAAAUAUCUUUAUUCUAUACGUACCUGUAUAUGAAUCAUCUCUUAGUUUAGAUUGGAAUUAGAUUUAUCACAUCACAAUGUACCACAUCUAUGAUUUUAUUUGCAGGUUCUUUGUGACUUCAUGACGAGAAUUACAAAAAUGUAUUAAGCAAUUAGCAAGUUGUUACAAAUGAAACCAAUAUCUCGAUGGGUUCAUUAAUUAAUAAUGAUUUUUGCUAAUAAAAAUGCCAAAAAAACAAAAAUAGUUUUAUUCGAGGUGUAUCGCUACCAGGAAUCUUGCAUCAUAAGGUAAUAAAACAAGAUAAACACCAAAGAACUGAUGCAACAAAACCCAAAAUACUCUAUCUGGUAUAUGACAUGAAUUUACGAAAAUGUACAUAGAAAUUUGAGAAUGUUGGAGAAUUGAGAGCUCGAGGACAGUACGCAAUUCACUUUCCCCUGUUUAUUGGCUCUCCUUAAGUUGUGUCUUCAUUAUUUGUCUAUUUUUCCAAAAAAAAAAAUUUUAAAUCAAACCAAUUGAAUCGUGACUAUUAUUGUGAUAUUAAAAUUUUUAAAAAAGUUAUUUCAAAUUCAAAUAUUAUACUUUGAAGGAAACAUAUUAUUAUAUAAAUUAAUAAUUAAUAUGUUCUCAAUAUUGUUUGCUUCUUUUAAUAAUUAAUUCGGAAAUCCAUAUACUGUUAUGGUGGUGGAAACUUAUUUUAAUGAAAAAUAAUACAUGCUCCAGAUUUGCUGUCAAUGGUCGAUAUUUCCAGAACUAGUCAAGCGUUACAGAGAAGAAAGCAAUAUUUCCAGAACUAGUUCCUUCAGUUGCCAAUGGAAUUUUAAUUUUAUGCAAUUUUUUUUUAACGAGAACUGCUGUACGGCCAAGGCGGAUGUACGGUACUACAAAUCCCAACCGUUAGAUCAACGUAAUUAAAAUCUAACAGCUGAGCAGAAUAACGAUAAAAAAGAGGGGUAUGGAGCUGGAUCCUGGAGUAAAGAAGAAGAAAAAUUAACUACUGUAUAUGAUUUUCUUUUAAAGAAUAAUACAUUUUGUGACAAUUUAAAUAUUAUUUUGUUAAAAAGUUAGAUUGUGCAUCAACAUAAAAUAAGGUUGAAAUUUAUGAGUAUUAAUAUGAAAGAAGUGAUAAAGUUAGUUUGUACAUACACAAUUAAAAUUUCGUAUGCGUUAUUUCGAGAGCGUCAGUGUAAUUCUUGACGUUAUUAUUAUCGAUCUUGUAUCUUGGUAGUAUUGUGUUGAUGGCCUGGCAGUAUUUGGAUGCUGAGUUGCUUACUUCGAAUGCCAGAGCUAAGUUAUAGUUCACGAAUUGCCAUCGAAUGGUUCAAUAGUCAAGCAAGUCUUCAAUUAUUAGUUGAUUUGGAGCGCUACUUAUAUACAACUAAAGGUCAAUUUGAUUCUUUGACUAAUAGGAACUGCCAUUGCGAACUAAGGGCCGGUGAGCUGAGGAUUAUUGCUAAAAUAUGAGUUCUGUGUUCUAUCAUGCAUUUUCUAUACUAUGAAUUGUUUGAGCUUAUAAACAAAGACAUCAAAACAUAGAUUCUUUUUUUCACUUUAGAUUUGGAAUUGAUGUUCAGCUUUAUCUUUUAGGGCCUGUGCCAUCCCAAUACCCAAACACAAUAUAUAUAUGUAUGUAUGUGCAUGUUGUUGAAGAAACGUGUUUUCAUUUCUUAAAUAAAGCAUUAUACAUUGAGAGUUAUUUAUAGAUGCAGAGGCUACAUUUUUUCAAAGAUUACAUAUGUGAAUACGGAAGGAAAUGUGUCAAUCCGUUCGGCGCGGAUCUUGUCUUUGACAAGUGCAGAUUACCCCUUUGACAAGUGCAGAUUCUGUCUUUGAAAGCUUCAUUCAAUGCCGUUUUAUUUGAUUCUCAACAGUUGUGUGUGACCGAGCUACUUAGUGGGGAUGGCCAUAAAAUAGACGUAAAAGUGGAAGGCCAUGAUUCCCCAUGAGUACAGCAAAAUUAAAUAAGGAACUCCAUUGCCAUCAAUUCUACGUUUUAAUUUCAAGUUGGAAACUAGAGAAACUGGAGGCUCAGGUGAUUUAAUGCUGUAUAUAUUUAAUAAAGUAAAAAUGGAAUUAGCAUGGUAGCUAGACACAGUUUAACUGGUGCUAUGAAGGCACUUUGUUUCUGCAGUCUUCUAAGUUUGAAUAAUUUUGUUUUUCAUCGCUGAAAUUUUGUUUAAAGAAAAAACCAAUCCCACAGAAAGGAAUACAAAUUGCAGGACCAUUCAAAAUAUCCUAGAGCAAGAGGAAAUUUUGUAAUCGGCUUGGAACAGUUUGCAAGGCAACUUCAAUAACAAAAAGAAAAUAAAAUAAAAGAAAGCACAACAGGCAGUAACAAUGAAAUUAGCUUUUGUUCUUUGUUAAAGUGGAAUUUAUUUGAUAAUUAGACUCGAGCUUAUAUAAUAGCUAACAUGCUAUAGUAGUAAUAGGAGACUGUGCUUCAUUUUUGUCUUAAAAAAAUCGCAACAUUCGUUUUUGAAAUUAAAAAAUAUAUAUAUGUAUAAUGGUAAAUAUUUGCUCUAUUUUACUCUAUUUAUUGCUCCACAAACCUGUAGGGUCUCCAUUAUUUGUCUAUUGUCCCAACAUUUUUAGCAUUUUUGCGAUUACUUUGUCAAAAGCGGAAGUUUGUAUUUCCUUCAAUUGCGUUGCUUUCAAUUACUUGAGCCUUCACAAACCUGAAACUUGUCGAAUAUUUUGAUGCUUAUUUUAUAAAAUUAUAAGCAGAUAUUUCCUCCAUUGAUAUUUGCUCCAAGCCAUGUCCUGUUAGUCAGACACAUGCCCCUUUUUUGCAUCGACUGAAAUUACUUAUUUAUUUAUUUUAUCUUCUUUCUAUAUCUUCUCUGAAAACCUUAUCGAAAUCACUCUUAGCUUAUUUCACUUAUAUUAAUUUCUUGAUAAUAUCUGAAAAAUUAAUAUUUUGCUUUAGCCGUGCAUGUGGAGUUGGUCGGACUUGAAUCCUGCUAAUUCAUGAUAUGAAGAUUUGGAAGUUACUUGAUAUUCAUGGUAUGAAGAUUUGGCAGUCAUUGAGAAAUUGUAACAUGCAGGUGUUGAUAGAAUGUAUAUAAUUUUCCUGCUGCUGUUGACGGUAUAAUUAAAAUUUUCAGUGAUACUUGAAUGCAACAUACGCAAGAAAACAGAGGAAAGAAGCUGGCUCUUACUAAUUGGCAUAUUUUACUUAAUGAUCUGUGAUAAAUUUGGGACUCUAAUAAAUGUUUUGGACAUAAAAAAAAAUGAAGUGAUAAAAUACACUUAAAGCAUUGCAGUAUAUUUUAAAAGAUAACAAUAGAACGUAGGAAUUAACUGACUGACCGGCACUUACAAAUCUACAUCCGCCUUGGCCGUACAGCAGCAUUUUAUUCAUGAAAAAUCAUAUUGCAUUUCAUUUCCUUAUAUUUUAAGAUUGGGAUUUCACUCCGUUUCCAAACAUAUACAAGGAAUCUUAGAUCAUAAAAGAACAAAAGCAAGAUAAACACGUACCAAAAAAUUGAUACAACAAAACCCAAAAGACUAGUAAACGACAUGAAUUUACAAAAAAAAAACACAAAAAUCCUUUUUUUUUAAGGAAAAUUCUGCGAUCAUCAAAGACAGUAUGCAAGUCAUUUUCCUAACUUCAUUUUUUUUUUAACUCAAAUUUGCCUUUUAUAUUUUAUGCUUUACAAAGUUUUGUGAUGCCUUAAUUAAAAAAAAAAAAGAGUUUGGUGAUGUAAGACAAUUAUUUAAUUAGGGUUAAUUAUUCCAUUUUAAAAAUUUUUGUCUACUAAAUUUUGAUUAAGGUAGUAUUUGGUAUGUUAUAGAGCAUUUCUAUUCCUUUUAGGAAGGUUUCUACUUAAAGAUAAUUAACAUACCUUCAUUCAUUAUCACUCAAGUACAAAAAACACUCCAAUAUACUAUGAAUCUUCUGACAUAUGUAUUUCUUUUUGAUAACAUUAUUCAAUGAGCAAACACAAGUAAAGUUGUUCAAGUUAUGCUGGGGACCCUUUUCGGUAUUUAUGAUAGACUAUUAGUUAUUUAUCCUUAUAAAUUUUUAAAUAACAAUAAUAUUAUUAUUCAGUCAUUUAGAAGCACCUGAGUAUUUAUGAUUAGUUUAUCUCUCAGUAAAAACUGGACGCAUGUGCAUAUGUGAACUCUAAUUAAAUCUUGAUACUUGCAUUUUAUAAGAGCCAUAUCUGAAAAACUGAGUUUUAAUUUCUACUUCCGUCUUUUAAAUGUUAGAUAAAUGUAAUUAAAUAGGAAGCGGCACAUAACGAUGGAUUCUUUUUGCUGGACACUAUUUUUCCCCCAAGUUAUCCAAUGAUGCUUAGUCCAUCUCUGUCCUGUUUGUCAAGCAGACAAGCACAAGCAUAAACUCAAAACGGGGGACUUCCUUGCGUCUGUAUCAGUACUAUUAAUAUUUCUAUUUCUUAACACAAUUAAUCAGUUAUUGGAUAUUUGGGCUCAUCAACCUUUAGAAACAGUUACAAUGAGGUAUGAAGCUCUUUAGGCACAAUAUCACGAAAUUUUGAUAUUGGCCCUUAAAAGAGUUCGGGCACAGUCAAAGAAGUAACUGAAGGGCUUCCUACUUGAUAUAAAUUACACCAGUUCUUCAUAAUUAUUAACGCCUGUCUUCUUCAAUUGCUGAUCAUCAAAACCUCAGCAAAUUGAAACUCUGUAAUUGUCUGAAGCUCAAGUACUUUCCAGAAAAGGCCCUGCCUCCUUCUCUUUUGCGAUUAGAGAUCUCGGGUUGUCCCUUACUAGAAGAAAGGUACACAAAAGGAUGGAGGACAAUAUCGGCACUUGCUAAUUAAUCCAUAUACCUUAAGUCAUACUAAAUGGUCGAGCAGUGGAUUUCGAUUUGAAACAGAGGACGAAUGAGUACUGAACUGUAUAAAUAAAUUAAUUAUUCCUACUGCAUGGGUGUGUAAAUUUCUUUUAAAACAGAGGAGCCAGGACUGUAUUAAUUAGUUUCUUACUGGGGUGGGUGUAAUGCGUGACGGCCUCUAUGUAAUCCUUGAUGUUAUUAUUAUUGAUGUUGUAUCUUGGUAUUGUCUUGAUGGCAUGGCGGUCUUUGGGCAGCUGAGUUGCGUACUUCCAAUGGCAGAGCUAAGAUGUAAUCUUCAAAUUGCCAAGCAAGUCUUCAAUUAUCUUCCGAAAGAUGUGCUCCUUUGUUGACACAGUGCUCUAAUUGUAUGCAAGUAUGUGGGCAGAGUUUAGUUGAUAAUCUACUUUAACCUGUUGAACAGAACAGAUUUUCUGAAAUGAAUUUCUAAACUAAAAAUCUAUAUGAGUUUUGUGUUCUAUCAUGCGUUGUAUAUAUACUAUUCCUUGUUUGAGCUUAUAAUCUAAGACAUCAAAACAUAGAUUUUUUUCUAGCUAGUGUUGUUUUCUUUAGAUUUGGGAAUUGGGAUUGAUUUUUUGUUUGAUCUUUUAAGGCCUACGUCAUCCCAAUACGUCUGUAUAUGACCAAGCUACUAAUUGGAUGGCCAUUAAAAAGACAUAAAAUUGGAUGGCCAUCUAAUUAAUUUCCCAUGACCUAGAGCAAAAAAUUAAAUAAGGAACUCCGAUACCAUCAAUUCUGCAUUUUAAUUUCAAGUUGGAAAAUAGUGAAAACAGAAGGUUCGGGUGAUUUAAUUUUGUAUAUAUUUAAUCAAGUACAAAUGGCACCUGCGUUGUAGCUAGACACAGUUUCACUGAUAUGAAUACAUUUUGUUUGCACAGUUAUCUUACUUUGAAUAAUAACAAAGUUCAAAAUUUGUAUUCAGUGGAUGAGUUUUCCCAUCUCCCAAAUUUUUGUCUAAAGAAAAAAACCAAUCUCACAUAAAAGAAUAGAAUCGCAUAUUACAAUGACUCUAUGACAUGUUUACUAAUCAAUAAUCGGAAUAUACUGGAAUUGAAAUGUGGAAUGAGAAUUAAAAUAAAUUAUUUACUUCAACUAUAACAAUUCGGAAUAAACUAUAUUACUAUUAAUAUAUUUACUUUAUCUUAAAAUCACAAUGAAUGAUUUAAAUUAUUAAAAUACCCAUAAUUCAUUAUUACCAUUAUUUUUAUUAUCUAUUAUAUGAUUAUUGUUAUUAAGAAAAUUAUUGUUAAUAAUAAUAAUAAUAAUAAUAUUUAACUUAUUUUAUAAUAAUAAUAACAAUAAUUAUUAUUUUCCUCUUUUGUUUUUAUUAUUAUUUUCUCUCCUGUUUUUUCCUUUUUUCCUUUUUUAUUUUUUAUUUGUUCUUUUUAUCCUCUUCUUCUCUUUUUUUUCUUUUCUCUCUCUGUUUUAUAAACUCCUCGUUACUUCUUCGUCAUCAAUCAUGUCAAUUUCAUCUUCUCCAUCAACAUCAUCACCAUCACCACAAUUAUCUUCUUCCUAUAGCCGAUUUCAUUAUCAACAUCACAAUUGAGUUUCAUCUUCAUUAUCUCAUCGCAAUUACAUCAUCUUCAUCAUCAUCAUCAAAAUUAUUGUCAUAAAAAAUCAUCAUCAAUAAUAUUAAUCAUCAACAAUGGCAAUCCUUCUUAAAAAAAAAACAAUGGUAAUCAUCAUCAUCAAUCAUCCUAAUUAUUGUCAUAAAAAAUUAUCAUCAUAUUUAUCGAUCGGUUCUUCAACGACAACAAAGAGGCCGACCAUGACAGCAGCGAUGAGCUACUGAACCAACAUGAUAGAACCAACGAAUCCGAACAGUGAUGAGCAAUGGAUACGGGCUGCAAUCGGCAAUGAAUUCGGCUAGUGACGAGCUGCUCAACUGGCUAGUGAGUGAGAUGUAUCUUUAUUUUGAUAACAGUAAUUCCUUCCUCAACUGCUCCAGCAAUUAGACCUGAGCCAAACUGAUCCUCCAUGAAACCCUCCAUACAGGGAAAUGUGGAGGGCAAAAAAAAAAAAGUUACAAGAAGUAUGCUUCAUAUGACCUUAACAUGUUCAAAUGUAACAACUUGAUACAGUAUGUUCAUUAUUAGUCAAUCUACUUGCACUCUAUUUCAAAAAGCAAUCUGUCAAAAUCAAUAAACUUUCUCAGUUAUCCACAAGGCAUAACAGAUAGUUGUUGUUAAGUUCACCUAGCAACAUGAACUAUGGGAAUCAAUGGCAUUGUGAAGAGGUUACACGUUAAGAAAAAAAAAAUCUAAUGCAUUUAAGUACAAUUGUAUCCAAGAGAUCUUUAUUGCUCUGGGAUUAAUAUCAAGGCCAUAGACUGCAAAACGAUAUUCAGACAGCAUAAAAGAACUGCUACAAGGUUAUAUUUUCAACAUACUCCAACAAAGACUUUUGGACAAGGACAGAGUUGAUAAUUAUGUAAUUUUUCCUAAUAGGAGUGCAUUAAAUCACCAUAACCUGGUGCCAAUGCUGUUAUAAAUAUCAAAUGGCCUUGCAAAACACAGAGAUAGAAAAUGAUGAGAGAAAUCAUGAUGGAGCCCCUGAAGGCACUGGUAAGGAAGGAAACAAAAGCUCUCACAUGGCAUAAGGACGACAAACCAACAAAACUUCAAAGGCAACACUUCUCGGCUACGGCAAUGGUUAUCCAUCCAUUUCCACAACCAAGCUCAGCCACAGCUUUGUCCUUCAAAAUAGAGUCUGGAAUUCUAUUUAGUCCUUCAUAGAAAGUGAAUUGACCAGUCUCCUGGGAUAAAAAUGCUGGGGAUGACCAUCAAUGUCAAUUUUUUUCCUCCCUUGGUAGCCUAUACUUAGAAACAAUAAAGUGUCAAAGCAGAAAAUCCAGCAACCAUAAUCUGGCAUGAAUCUAAAGGAAAAAAAAAAAAGUCAACAAUAACCUAUCGAUGUUUUUGUUGGGAAGAUGAUAAAUGAAACUUUCGUAUGACAGGAAAGAUAAUAAUGCAGAUGCGGACGGGUUAAUAAGCUAGAAAGGAUAAAACUAAAAUUUGGUGCUUUUAAAGCCCCAGAAACAGCUUCAUCAGUGGUAUAUGAGGGAUCAUGAAUUUCAGUAGGGAAAAUUUACAUAGUGAAACCAUGGCGACCAUGUUAGCAUGAGACAUACAAAAACCUCCUAGUGGCCUUGCAAAAUUUUCACUAAAUAAAGAUGAAAGUUGAGUUGGCUUAUUGAUUGCAUAAUUUAUGCACAAGAUGAAUAAAAUGGCUAAGGAAUUAGCAUCAAUGAUUAAAAUGCUCCAAAGUAAAGAACAAGAUUAGUGUUUUAUAUAGUUAAUAUGAGGAACUGCAACAUUGAACUCAAAUUAACUAAGAGAAGUUCAUCCAUAGAACUUUGUUCAUGCACUCGUGACAAAUUUUCAGGAAACAAAACCAUUAAAAUCUUGGACUUAUUAUUGAAUGAUGUAUGAACUUAUUGAAAUAAAUUAACAGCUGUAAUUAUUUUAGUCUUACCUAAAACGCAAAUUCUAUCUACCAUUUAGUAUAUUUUUGGUAACAUUCAUUCCACUCCUAAGUCAGCUUCAGAUAUUAAUUCACUUCCUAUUUUGUUAGCACAAUAGCACUAAACCUAAGUAUUAUUCGAGUUAGAGUGAAUAAUUACACCAAAAGUAAACACUUAAUCCUGAUCUGUUUGAUUGUCAAGAAACAGUAGGAAAAGAAGGGAAAGAAACAAAAGCGAACAAAGUAAAAAUAAAAGCUCACUGGGCUCAAUGAAAAAGAUAAAAACAUAAAUUAAUUUAAACUACAACUAUUGACUUCGUUUUUGUUUUCUUGGAAACUGAAUCCUAAAAAUGACCAGCACUCCGCCCAAGUUUUCUCAAGACACUCAUUGAUUCCUCAGAACACCCAACUACGGUGGACCCAACCAAAGUCUAUUGCAUUGUUGAAUGAAAGUAUGAAAUCUUAACAACUAGCUCAGGCCAACAGAAACAACAUCAGACAUUGUGAUUAAACAUCUUCCUCAACUAACUCAGCGAUCAAAUGUCUAAUUCUGUAAACAUAUAAGCUAUUUCUUCUUUCCAUCAAUUAAACCCCAAAGUAGAACUCCCACUAUAAGUAUCCCCUUCAAAUUGGUUCCUUUUUUCUUUCUUUAAUACCUUUUAAGCAGGUUUUGUUCCUUCUUACAUUAGCAAAUAACUAACAUAAACAUCUACAUCUCUAAGCGAAAAAAACAUUUGCUCACAAAAUCAAAAACCAUUGCAAUAGGAAAUGACAGAUACCCAGUUGAAAUAGAGGCUUCAUCUCUCGCUCAUUCUUGUCACAUAGCAGGAGUCAAUGGAAAAAUCUCAUUCAUGGCUUCCCUAGCUUGUCUCAAUUUCUCUAUCUCACCCAUUUUUCUCAAAACCUUUAUUUACUGAAAAAUAAAAAUAAGAUAAAAACCAUUUUUAUCGCAACCCAAAGAACAAGCAAACGGUUAUCCACAAAAUCACUCAAUAAAUAUGUGUAUUGAAGUUACUUGAACAUUGGUGUCGUAAUUGGAGGGUUCAUUGGAUAGCUGAUACUCUAGAAACUCCUCUUUCGUAAAUCUUCUCAACUCCCAAAAGAGCCUCAGGUCUACAAAUUAAAGCCAAGUAUCAGCAAGAAACAGAUUGUGUAAUUAUCAAUAUAUACAUUAAGCUUUAGGUCACAGCUAUGUAAAACCAGAAAAAAGUAUGAAAUCUUAACAAUUAGCUGAGGCCAGCAGAAACAACAUCAGACAUUGUGAUUAAUUAUCUUCCUCGACUAACUCCGCGAUCAAAUGUCUAAUUCUGUAAACAUAUAAGCUAUUUCUUCUUCCCAUCAAUUAAACCCCAAAGAAUAGAACUCCCACCAUAAGUAUCCCCUUCUUCAAAUUGGUUCUUUUUUUUUUCUUUCUUUAAUACCUUUUAAGCAGGUUUUGUUCCUUUUUACAUUAGCAAAUAACUAACAUAAACAUCCAUAUCUCUACGCGAAAAAACAUUUGUUCACGAAAUCAAAAACCACUGCAAAAAGGAAAUGACAGAUACCCAGCUGAAAUAGAGGCUUCAUCUCUCGCCCAUUCUUGCCACAUAGCAGGAGUCAAUGGAAAAAUCUCAUUCAUGGCUUCCCUAGCUUGUCUCAACUUCUCUAUCUCACCCAUUUUUCUCAAAACCUUUAUAUACUUAAAAAAUAAAAAUAAAAACCAUUUUUAUCGCAACCCAAGAAGAACAAGCAAACGGGUAUCCGCAAAAUCACUCAAUAAAUAUGUGUAUUGAAGUUACUUGAACAUGGGUGUCGUAAUUGGAGGGUUCAUUGGAUAGUUGAUACUGUAGGGUUUGAAGCUCCAUGCUCUGUUUUGCUGCGUCUUCUGAGUCAGAGUCAGAGUCCGAGUCCGAGUCCGAGUCCGAGUCUGAGCCAUCGCUCGAGUCCGAAGAGUUGUCUUUUGUUGUUGGUUUAGGGUUGUUCUCAACGCCGAGAAUGACCGUGUCUCCAUCUUCUUCUUCUUCUGGGAUUGUUGCUAGGGUUUCUUCUUUAGGUUCCAUCUUCUUUGUUUCUCUCUUUCAGUGCCUGAUGGUUUUUUUAAUUUUAUGCAAUUUUUUUUUAACGAGAAAAUAAUAAAUGUCUAGACUCUGGAGUGGAAAAUUUUUGUUUGGACACUUGAAUUUGAUUAAAAAUACAAAUAAAUUCAUUUAUUUUUUGUCAAAUUAAAGAACGGCACACACGCGCGUACACAAGCAUUUGUAUCGGUGCAUCUAGGGGUAGGCACGGUUCAGUCCGAUUCGGUUCAAAUUGAAAUUAAGCAGAAUCGAUUUAAAUCGGUUAUUUUAUAAAAAGAAUUAAAUAAGAACCAAACUCAAUAAAAACCGAAUAUAAAUGGAUCUUUUCAAAUCGAUUCGGUUCGGUUUUUUCAGUUUCGGGCCUAUUGGACCUAUUUUGAAUUUCUAAAUUUUUAUCCCAUUAGACCUUACGAAUGUAAUAAUUUUUUUCAACAAUUAAUUUAUCCUAAUUUCAUUACAAAUAUUAACAAUAAAUACAAAGUAUUCAAAACACAUUUUAUCACUAAUAUCUUAUUAACUACUAAUAAGGUACUUACAAAAUAUGAAAUAUUAAGAUUUCAAAAUACAUAAUCAAAUUUCAAUACUCCAUCUACAUAAACAUAAUGUUGUAAAGAUAAAUAAAAAUAACAACAAUUAAAACUUACAACGCAAAAUAAAAAGAAAAUUUGGAAACAAACACCAACAAUAAUUUUUUUUUUUUUUAAAUAUAUAUAUAUACCCAUAAUCGUGUGUGUGUAUGCAUAUUUUAGUUAUCUUAAGCAACUAAUUAAAAUUUAACGCAUGUCUAUUUAAAUAAAAUUCCAAGAAUAACUCGGUUUUUCGGUUCAGCUAAGUGAACCAAAUACCGAACCUGCAUUUCGGUUUUUUUUACAAACCAUAUAUUUUGAUUUUUUUAAAUAUUAAAACCGAUCCAAACAGAAUGGUAAGAUCGGUUCGGUACGAUUUUCUCUAGUGCACGGUUUUUUUGCCCACCCCUAAGUACAUUACAGCGACAAUCACUUUAAUUUUCCCCUUAAUUCUCUCCCCUCCUAAUUUAUUAUAUUCCCAUUGAAUAAUGGAGUGAAGUAGAAGAAAAAUUAGCUAAAUGAUUUUUUUUUAAUUUUGUGACAAUUUGAACAUUAUUUUUGUUAAGUUAGAUUGUGCAUCAACAUAAAAAAAGGGUUCAAUUUAUGAAUAAUUAUUUAUGAGUGAGUCUAUAUGAACCCAUAAUUUUACUCACCAAAAAUAUCAAAUUCAUCAAAAAUUUUAUUGCAAAAUUCUCCCAAACCAAAAUUACACCUAAGGACAAUAGCUAACUUUUUUUUAACAGCAAAACAACUUCAAGAACAAAUGUCAAGAACAUCGAAUUCUCUGCAUACUGGUCUAUAGUCUAAAUCCAUUAUCAUGAAAUUCAUUAUUUGAUUUAGGUGAAAUUGCAAUUAUGUAUUCUUUAUGAUCUAAAACUCACCAUGUCAAACCUAGUUUGGUUUCUAGUUGUCUUAGAAGUUUUUUCUUUUAAAACACAAGAAUUUCUUUUGUUUUAUUUUGGGAAAUUAUCAAUCAUAUACCCUUAUUUUACUCCGUUAUCAAAUUUACUACAACACUUUCAGGGUCUAUCAAUCGUCCACUCUAAGUUGACAAAAUGUAUCUGUUGUUGUUUAAAAAUGAUAACGUCAGAGGGGUAAUCUGGUCUGUCAUAUGAUACAUAUGAUAAUUUAUGGGCAUAUAAAUGAUAAUAAGAGAUUUUAAGGAUAUACAAGUGAUGAUUUUUAAAGGUAAAAUCGUCAAUUCGCUAUAGUUCCGAUAAUUUUCAAACGGUAGUUAACGGUUUAGUGGUUGAUAGAUAAUUUUUGUCAAUUUAGGGUGGACGAUUGAUAUACGCUUAAAGUGUUAUAGUAUUUUUUAUAAAAGUGAAAAUUUAGGACAUACGAAUAAUAAUUUUCCUUUUUUUUUUUUAAAUGAAAACAAGUAUAACAAGUUUCCAUCAAAUCUGAAUUAUUGGAAGUUCUUAGUCUUUUAUUUUCAUACAUUGCCAAUGAAGCUUUUUCCAAACCAAGAAUAUCAUAUAGAAAACAAACAAAUAAUUCAUUAAUGAUAUUUCUAAUCUCUGUGUUAUGAUAUUGAAACUCUAAUGAAUGAAUGAACAGUGGCAAAAAUAUUACAGAUUCAAAUAAAAUUUGUGAAUGUUGAAGACAAACAGAAGUGAAGACAAAUGUGUCAUAUUUGUGAUAUUAAGAGGUGCUUAUAACAAGGAUUUUUGAAUUUUCAUGAUGGGUUUAAUGAGUAAAGGAAUUUAAAGAGUAGUUUAAUGAAUUCAAAUAGUUCUACCCUCUAUUUAUAUGAAAGAAGUGAAAAAGUCAGGUUUGUGCAUCCACAAUUAAAUUUGAAUGAAAUUUAGAAAUAUUUAUAAUAAUCUACUUACAGCCUACUGAUUUUGAGUUGGAACUAUUUUAAAUUUUUUUUAACUUCAAUAAUUAACAAAGGUUAGUACAAGAGAAAGUAGUUCAUUUUGGUUGACUCCUUGUUCUACAUUUGCUAAGCCAUUAACCAUAAUGAUGAAGAAUAUUAAUAAAGUAAGUUAGAUUGAUAGAAAAGCGUACUAUUUCUUUGAGUUAACAAAUAUGCAACAUAAUUCAGAAGUGGCCAAUGUGUUACACACCAUAUAAUUAGAAAAAAGAUUAGUGGACUUAAUUUAUUAUUUGAACAACAAAAAAUUAGAUUAACAUAUGAUAUGCCUGCAUGCAAAUUUGUAUAAUCUUUUAUUUUCAAUCUCUUGGGACAUGAUCAAUUCUCGUUCUCUCUUAUUAAAUCAUACUCAUAGUUUAAAAUCGUAACUGUUUGGUGAGAAAAAAAAAUGGAGAGCGAAGGGAUUACUUUUAUCUUAUCCUUAACUUUCGAGAGUGGAGGAGAACAAAUAGAAAAAUAGGGCAACAAACCAGGGAGGACUCCUCCAUGAUUGAGAUCAUUUUGGGGGCGGGGGGGGGGGGGAACUUAAACCUUUAUAAAAAAUUCCUAGGGGAAUGAAUAAAGAGGGAGGUUCAACUUUCUUUCUCAAUUUUAAUUUUUCUAUUACAUUUACUUAAGAUUAUUUAUUCAAAAAAACUAGAAAUUGCAUAUUUUGUUUUUCUUGUAAACCCGAUAACUGACUUGAGCGUUGGAGGGUUCACGCCGGAAAAACUUAUGGCGCCUCUUACCAUUCUUUAUGAUUUCAGGUGUUUGCGAGUUAUCUGCUAGUGAUCGUAGGACAUCCUUAGUGAUUGGUAAGCCGCUUCCCCAACAAAUAAAUUUAAUAGUGACGCAAAAUUUGGUAUCCAGUCUGUAACUAACUAGUCCAAAUUUUGGCGUCGUCAGUGGGGAACCAUACAAAAAGCCAACUUUGGUCUCUAUCAUAGCGAACGCAAAAUAUUAUCAUGAAUGAAUCAGCCCAAGCUCUCUUUUAGUUCCAAAUCCAUCUUUUGAUCUCUUCUCAAUCUGUUUCUCUCUUUCAGUGCCUACUGGUUUCUUAAUUUUAUGCAAUUUUUUUUCUAACGAGUAAAUGAUAAAUAUUUGGAAUGGGAAAUUUUGUUUAUAUCCCUCGAUUUUGAUUAAAACACAAAUAAAUUCACUUGUUUUUUUGUCAAAUUAAUGAAUGCCACGCUUACAUCUGAAAUAAGCAUUUGCAUGAGUUUUUAUCAUUGCAACAAGCACUCUAAUUUUCUCCUUAAUUUAAUUUCUCCUUUCUCCUAAUUUAUUAUAUUCCCAUUGAAUAAUGGAGUAACAAAGUAGAAAAAUUAACUAUAUAAUUUUUCUCUUUUUUUGGGUGACAAUUUAGGUGAAAUUUAUGAGUAUUUAUUUGAAAGAAGUGAUAAAGGUAAUUUUUGCAUCACACAAGUAAAUUAGACUGAAAUUUGGAAAUAUUUAUAACAAUCUAGAGUAAUGGCAAAACUCGGGGUCAAGUUCGGGUAUGGCAAUGCCUAGAUCCAACCCAAACAUAUUUUUUGGACACAUUGGGCUAGGCUUUUUAUUUCACCCGAGAAAGAUUGGAUUUUAUAUUUUAUAACAUUAUAUGUAUGUAUAUAUAUUUUUAAUUUAUUUCAUAAUUUUAUAAUUUUUAAAUCUUAUUUUAAUCAAACUGUGCACAAAAUACAAAAGUUCAAAUUUUUAAAUAUAUGUAAUAGACGAACCAUAUAAAUAUAAUUACUUACAAUAAUAUAUAUUUAUUUUUUUCUAUAAAAAAUAAUUUCUUGGCUGGACCUUGGACUUCUCUAAUGAUGCCUGAGACUAGACCUGCACAUCCCUAAACUAGCUCGGAUCCGGUUUGAAUUCAGUCCAGACGAAUAUUUUUGACAUCCCUAAGUUAUAAACUACUAUUUUGUUGGAAUUGUUUUAACUUGUUUUAAUUUUUUUUAACUUCAGCAAUUAAUAAAGGUUAACACAAUAGAAAAUACUUUAUUUUGGCUGACUCCUCCUCCUAAUUUCCUAAGCCAUUAACCAUAAUGAUGAAGAAUAUUAAUAAAGUUUGAUGGAUACAAAAGUAUUAUUUGGAAAUAUUUAUAACAAUCUAGAGUAAUGGCAAAACUCGGGGUCAAGUUCAGGUAUGGCAAUGCCUGGAUCCAACCCAGACAUAUUUUUUGGACACAUUGGGCUAGGCUUUUUAUUUCACCUUAGAAAGGUUGAAUUUUAUAUUUUAUAACAUUAUAUGCAUGUAUAUAUAUUUUUUAAUUUAUUUCAUAAUUUUAUAAUUUUUAAAUCUUAUUUUAAUAAAACUGUGCACAAAAUAUAAAUGUUUAAAAUUUUAAAUAUAUGUAAUAGACGAGCCAAAUAAAUAUAAUUACUUACAAUAAUAUAUAUUUAUUAUUUUUUCUAUAAAAUUUAAGUUCUUGGUCGGACCUUGGACUUGGAAGACCUUGGACUUGGAAGACCUUGGACUUCUCCAAUGAUGCCCGAGACUAGACCAGCACAUCCCUAAACUAGCUUGGAUCCGGUUCGAAUUCAGUUCGGACGGAUAUUUUUGACAUCCCAAAGUUAUAAACUACUGAUUUUGAGUUGGAACUGUUUUAACUUGUUUUAAUUUUUUUUAACUUCAGCAAUUAAUAAAGGUUAAUACAAUAGAAAAUACUUUAUUUUGGCUGACUCCUCCUCCUAAUUUGCUAAGCCAUUAACCAUAAUGAUGAAGAAUAUUAAUAAAGUUUGAUGGAUACAAAAGUAUUAUUUCUUUGAAUUAACAAAUAUGCAACAUAAUUCACUAUGUGUUACACACCAUACAAUUACAAAAAGGAAGCAGUGGAAUUAAUUAAUUAAUUUUCAGUCUCAAAAAAAAUUUAAGAUUAACAUAUGAUAUACCUGCAUGUAAUUUUGUAUAAUUUUAUUUUGAGUCUUUUGGGACAUGAUCAAUUCUCAUUCUUUCUUAUUAAAUCAUACUCACAUUUUUAAAUUGGUACCGAAUUUAUGUAUAUCUCUAAUCUAAUCUGGUUAAUUUUUCUUUUCAAAGACUUCAAGUAAAACAAGAUUCUUAAAAUUAAUUUUCAAUAUAUGGUGGGGUUGUUACUUUCAUUCGUGAUGGCCGACUAUAAAGAAACCAAACGAUAUCUGCUGAUUUGGAUAUGAGAUACAAUGACAUUCAACAAGCUCUUACAAGUCAAUAAUCGAAAAAGAGUGAAAUCAAAUCAUAGGAAUUAAUACAUUGAUUGUAAAGCAUGUUAAGCAAAGGCAAGAUUCUUGGUUCGGCUUUUAUUUAAUUUAGUAUGUAAAGCAAAGGCAUGAUCAUGAGCUCCUCUGAUUUUAUAUUUGUAGUGGGCUCUAUUUUUUCUUUUCAAUUUUGCGGUGGGUUCUGCUUAAUGGGAAAUGGAAAUUCACUCCUAAAAAAAGAAAUAAAAUUUCUUAACAUUUUAAAAAAGAUAUAUAACCCUUAUUUUUAUUAAUAAAUUUAAUUUAUUUUAAUAAUAAAUUUAUUUUUAAUUUACAAUUACUAUUACGUCAUCAUAAUAAAUAAAUCAAUAUAUUUAAAAUUUUAGAUAUGAAUAAGAUAAUCUUACACCACUCUUUUAUUAGUCCUAUUUCCUAAAAUUAAUUUCAUCAAAUAACAUCUAUUUUUUAUACAUCAAAUAUCCAAUACAUUGUUUUCCAACAGAAUCAAUAUAUUGAUUCCUGGCAAGCUUACAACAUUCAUGAAUAUUCAAGUUUACUUUAUUCGAUGUACAACGUAAGCAAAUAACGAAGCGUUUCAUUAUAUCCUAGAAGUAUAUUUGCUUAACUCAUGUGCAUCACUUAAUUGGUGAGAAUAAAUAAUGUCUUAAGGAAAGUAAUAUUUAUAAUGUGUCUUAAAUAUCAUAUUAAUUUUCUAUAAUUUACUUUUUUCAUCAUAUUAAAGUUCCACCAUUUUAUUAUUAUUCUCUAUAUUUGCCAUUCCGGACAAAUACAUAUCCCCAACCUAUUAGUUGUCACUUCUUAGAAAUUUUGUAAAUAUCAACAAUUAAGCACAAGGCACUAUUUUUAUGUUUGCUAUUCUCUAUCCACUGAAUAGGAAGCAACAAAUGAAGAUGGGUUGUUUUUGUUGGACACUGAUUUUUAUUUUUUUAUUUUUUUCAAUUAUUUAAUGGUGCCUAGUCAGCCACCCGGCCUUUGGCCGAGUGGUGAGAGCUGCUGCUCUCCAAGUUGGAGAGUACCAGUUCGAACCCCACAAUGUAUUGUGGGGGUGUUUCCUUCCUAAGUCAAUUUAAGUCAAGUCAGUCUGCUUCCUUACCCCAAUGCAAGGAGUAGACAUCCCUCGAAUAUUUGAGAGGGUUAAAAAAUUUGGGCAGCGCUCCAUUAGGAUUGAUGUAUGUUGGUCCCAGUUAUAAUUUGAUUUGUAAAUAUCAGUUAUAUUCUCAUGUAAUAUAAGUUGUACUCUGAGUAAUAAUUUCAUGUAAUAAAAAACAAACAAUGGUGCCUGGUCCAGUUGUACUCUGAGUAAUAAUUUCAUGUAAUAAAAAACAAACAAUGGUGCCUGGUCCAGUUGUACUCUGAGUAAUAAUUUCAUGUAAUAAAAAACAAACAAUGGUGCCUGGUCCACCCAUGUCCGGUUCGUCAAGCAGACAGGCACAAGGGCGUGAAGCUUGCUAAAUUAUUGAUGGUGGUGGGGGCUGCCUCUGGCUUUUGUUUCCACUUUCGUGUAAUAAAGUGCAGUUUGCUAAAUUAUCGGUGGCGCCGUGGCGGGACUUUUUUUGUUUUCACAUUAGAGUAAUUUCAGUUGGGUCUAUAUCAUUGAUAACAUAUUAAUCGAUUUGGUAUUUUAUUAAGAAAAAUUAUUACCGUACCACUUCUAUUUUAUAUUAUAUUUAUUUAACCACUACGACAUUCUAAUAUGUUCUAUGUACUUUUUUUUAAAUUUAUAUUAAUUAGUCACUUUUAUAUUUAUACUAUUAAAUAAUUAUUUUGUAAUUAUUUUUAUAAUUAUAAUUUUUAUUAAAAAUAAAAAUUCUAAUUUUGAGAUUUAUUUUUAUUAAAUUUAGGGAUAUUUUUACAAUUAUAAUUUUUUAUUUUUUAAAGUUUUUAUAAAAUAAAGUAAUCUAUUAAUUUAUUUAGGGGUAAAAUUAUCAUUUUGUUUAAAUUAUUUAAUAAUGUUAGUGCAAAAAUGGUUAAUUGAUAUAAAUUUAAAAAGAAAUAUAGUGCAAAGAAUAUAUUAAAGUUUUAUGAUGGUUAAAUAAAUAUAAGAUAAAACAAAAAUGGUGUAAUAAUAAUAAAUGAGUCGAAUUUAUGUUCAUCUAAAAUUUUGUUAUAAUUUAUUUUGACACGACAAUAAUAUAACAUGACGGUAAAAAUUAUUAUUGUGAUUAUAAAAAAUUAUAGUGUACUUUUAAGUCUUCGUUUUAGCAUGGAAAUUAAUUCAAUAAAUAAAGUAAUCAUGUGGCAAAAGGGUAGAGAGAGAGAGAAACGUUUUUUUAUUUUUUAUUUUAACUUGGUUUAUGAGUUUGAAGACUUGUAAAGGAGAGGUUCGUAGUAAGAUAGAUUCCAUUUUCCACUUUAUUCAGCAUUUACCCGGACACUGGAUUAAUGUUGCAUGGCCCUACAAAUGUCGAGGUGUGAUUUUAUAUUCAUUGAAUCGGGUAACAAGUGGUGGUGACCGGUGAUUGGUGAAUUGCUAAAAUAUUAAUGGGUGGUGGGCUCUGUUUUUAUUUUCACUUUCCUGGAAUAAACAACAAGUGGAAGACUUGUUACGCGCAUUUUGCUUGACCCUUCACACUUAAUGUUACAAUUUUCUCAUUUUGCUUUUCAAAACUCAAAAUUCUGUUUCUUUCUUUGAAAAAAAGAAAAAAAAAGGAAAAAAAGAAAAAAAAAUGUCAAUCAGCGGAGAGUAGCGUAAUUAUUGGUGGUAGUUCUGUCUUUUACUUCAUUUAGUGUAAUAAUCACGUUUUGUUAGUUAUGUUAUUAACCUACUAAAUAUAUACCUUUGAGUCGAAUUUAUUUUAUCUAAAAUUUUAUUUUACAACAGAAAUAUAACAUUAUGAUUCAACUUCGCAUUGAGAUUAAAAAAAAAAAAACAAUGUAGUGCACUUAUAUGAAUAAAAAGAGAGAUUAAAAUGAUUUAUUCUAACUUACUUUUAUAAGUUGAAGACUUCCACAGUAAAGAUGGAUGCAUUCUACUUUUCUCUAUAUUCAAUAUUUUUUUCAUUAUUUAACAUUUAAAAAAAAAUAAGAAUUUUAAUAUUCUUAAUAUAGAAGAAUUGAUAGACUCUCUUCAAACAUUUGAGAUGAACCUUAAUUACUGUUUUGAAAAUUAUAAAGAACAUUAUUUUGAAAAUGUUAGCCGAGUAAAUUUUAGCAUUAAUUACGGUUCGACUAAGUCGAAAAAGUGUAAGUUUUUCUCUUAUUAUUAUUUUUAAAAUUCUGUCAUUAAUUACGGCUCUGUUUUUUCUUUUCUUAGCUGCAAGGAACAGCAAGUGGGGAGACUUGCCACGUUUUACGUUGUAUUUUGCGUGACCCUUGACACUUAAUUAUUAAUUACUAAGCAUUUUCAUUUGCAUACUUUUUCUCCAUGUACAGGACAAGUGUGGUGCAUGCAUUGGGUGCGUAUGUUACAGAAUCUGCAACAUAGACUUCUCCAUUUCAGUUGGGUCUAUAUCGUUGUUAAUUUUAUUAAGUAUAUAUAUUUAAUAAAUGGGCAGCGCUUAACUUAUAUUUAUUAUAAGUAACAUUAUGAAAAAAUGAAUCGUUAGAUUUCUUAAUUUGCAGAUACAACAACUGUGAUGAAAGUUAACGUACAAUUAGAUUCUGGCUGAAAAUUUAUUUUUAAAAACAAAAGAAUGGCAACUUGCUAUAACGGUUGUCGAAACAACCAAGUUAAGGAGUUAGUUGGUAAUAAUAAUUUUAAAGAAAAAUAAUGAGUGACGAACGAUCGUCUGAAUAUUCUGAAAAAUUUAAAAUAAAAAAUACAAUAAUUAAAUUUUAAAAGAGAGAAAACAAUAAAAGCAGGAAACGAAAUAAUUAAAUUCCUAUUUCAUUUUUUCAGAUCACAAAUUAGGAAAACUAAAAAAAUUACAGCACCACUUGUCAAAAAAAAAAAUAUUGCAGCACCAUAAAAUCGAUGGUAGGUUGAUUGGUGAAUUGCCAAAUUAUUAAAAGAAAAAUUGCACACUAUCCUUUUUUUUCAUUUUUAUUCUUUAUUUUAAUAUUUUUAGUCGGUCUCACAAAAAAUAUUUUAUUAUUUGUUAUGGGUCCCACAAAAGAGAAAUUAGAUGAGGGAACGCGUUUUCUGGGACCUGUCUAUGUUACAGAUUCUGUAACAAACAUCUCCCGUCAUCCCACCAUCCGAUUUUCUUUUGUUUAGUUUCUCACUCCACAUCCAACCACAUCCAACGGCUGAUGCUGCAGUCUGUACCUUACAGAAUCUGUAACGUAGUUUUGUCCCGUUUUCUGUCGUCCCUUCGUCGGCUUUCGUUCCUUUUCACUAUCCAUUUUUUAAUUCUUUAUAGUCGGUCCCACAAAAGAAUAUGUUAUUAUUUAUUAUCGGUCCCACUAAAGAAAAUUUUGAUGAGGGAACGCAUUUUCUGUCGUUCCUUCGUCGCGCUUUCGUUCGUUUACACAAUCUUUUUUUUAUUCUUUAUUUUACUAUUUGUUGUCGGUCCCAUAAAAAAAUAUUUUAUUAUUUAUUAUUGUUCCACAAAAACAAAAUUGGAUGAGGAAACGCGUUUUCUGUCGUCCCUUCGUCGCACUUUCGUUCUUUUAUCAUUUUCCAAUUAUCAAUGGGUGGUGGGCUCUGUUUUUAUUUUUCACUUUACUGGAAUAAACAACAAGUGGAAGACUUGCUACAUGCAUUUUGCUCAAUUUUCUCAUUUUGCUUUAAAACUCAAAAUUCUGUUUCUUUCUGUGCGGGAAAAAAAGAAAAAAAAAAUGUCAAUCAACGGAGAGGCAAUCCUUACGGCGUCCCGUUGAGAUGAAAUACCAAACAAAUAUUGCCAAUUUGUGAGAUGAGAUACAAGCAAUUGAUGACAUUCAGCAAGUUUUUUACUGCCUCUUUAGCAAUGUUAAAAAGUAAAAGAGAGUGAAAUCAAAUCCUAAGAAUUAAAAUUAAUUUUUCUCCAAUAAAUUAAUUGAACCUCAUUCUUUAAUUACAAAUAAUGACAAGUUAAGUAAAUUCACCAGCACCACAAUUAGUGAAUAUUAAUACCUCAAGUUAAUGAAUUAAAUAAUAACAUGAUACAUUUUUAUCGAAAUUAAUAAGUCUUAUAAAUUCUUCAUUGUGAAUAGUAAGUGCAAUACCUCUCAAUAAUCUGAUGCCUGUGAUCUUUACAAAUCAUUACAUGUAUGCUUCACUAAUUAAUUAAUAAAGUUAAAACAAAAACAAAAUAGACCACGCUAUUAACUUUGCAAACAUCCCAACCCCACCAUCUCUUUUGAAAAAGAAAAAACAAAAAAAAAAAAAGGAAGAAGAGGCAUGUUUGAUUUUUACAAAUCGCUAAUAACUUUACAAAUCAUUACAUGUUUGAUUUUUUUUUUAAUUUCUGUGCUCCUCUGAUUUUAUAUUUGUGGUGGCUUCGUUUUUCUUUUCACUUUUACGGUGGGUUUUUCUUGAUUUCUAGGCUUGCUAGACACAAUCACAAACUCAUUCCGCUUGUUCACUUUUCGCAUUUUGCUUUCCACAAACUCUUAGGUAGUGUUUACUUUCAGGAGUGAGAGUGUGGAUUUCUCCCACUCCAGUGUUUACUUACCUAGGGGGAGUGGGAGUGGGAAUCCGUGGAUCCCACUCAAUUUUAGAGGGGUAGUGAGAUUCCCACUCCCUCUUUCCAUUUUAUCCCUAUAAUUAAAUAAAUAAAUAAAUAAUAUUUAAUAAAAUAAAUAAAUAUUAUAUUUAAAUUAAUAAUAUUAAACAUUAAUUUUAAUAAAUAUUAAUUAAUUAUUUAAUUAAUAAUAAAUAUUUUGUUUUAAAAAAANNNNNNNNNNNNNNNNNNNNNNNNNNNNNNNNNNNNNNNNNNNNNNNNNNNNNNNNNNNNNNNNNNNNNNNNNNNNNNNNNNNNNNNNNAAAUAAAUAAAUAUUAUAUUUAAAUUAAUAAUAUUAAACAUUAAUUUUAAUAAAUAUUAAUUAAUUAUUUAAUUAAUAAUAAUAAAUAUUUUAUUCUAAAAAAUAUUAAUUUUGCUAUAUUAUCAAUAAUAAUAUUUCAUUUGUGUUGCUAUUAUUAAUAAUUUUUAUUCACAUUAUUUAAAUUAAAAUUAAUAAAAAAUUAUGAUUUACAUAAUUAAGAAUAUUAGUAAUUAUUAUUAAUUUAGAAAUAUAAUAAAAUAUUUAUUUUAUUUUCCAAAUAUUUUUUAUUAAUUUUUUAAUUACAAAUUAUAAUUCUGUAUAUAAGGAUAAAAUUGUAAUUUAAAACAAUUUACUCUCAAUCCAAGACAAAGUAAACAAAUAAUUAAGAUUCUGAUUGACAAUCCAUACUUUCAUUUAGUCUAAGUAAACACCCUACUUCCACUCCCACUCCACACUCCUAAUUCAAGAAUUCUCAAUUCCCACUUCAAUCCAAAAAAUAAACGCAGCAUUAAUUCAGUUUCUUUCUCUGUCCAAACAAACCCAAAAAAAAAAAAAAAUGACUCAUAAUUCAGUUUCUUUCUCUGUCCAAAAAAACCCAAAAAAAAAAAAAAAAAAAAAUGUCCAUCAUCGGAGAGGCAAUCCUGAUGGCGUCCGUUGAGAUGCUGAUCAAUAAGUUAGCUUCAGAGGGGCUUCGUUUAUUUGCACGCCAAGGUCGAAUCCAAGCAAAUCUAGUGAAGUGGAAGAAGAUGUUGGAGAUGAUCAAGGCGGUGCUUGAUGAUGCUGAGGAGAAGAAGACGACUAAUCGGUCUGUGAAGAAGUGGCUUGGCGAGCUUCAGAACUUGGCUUAUGAUGUUGAAGACUUGUUGGAUGAGUUCGAAACUGAGGCUUUCCGGAGGAAGUUGCUGCUUGGAAAUGGAGAACCAGCUGCUGCUCAUGAUCAACCCAGCAGCAGUCGUACAAGAUCAAGUAAGUUUCGGAAGCUCAUUCCUACUUGCUGCACCACUUUUACUCCACAAUCGAUCCAGUUCGAUUACGCCAUGAUGUCCAAAAUCAAAGGGAUCAACGACAGAUUUCAAGAUAUUGAAGAAGGAAUACGCUCGCUGAAUUUGAUAAAAAGUUCAGCUGGGGGGUCCAAAAAAGCCAGGCAAAGGCAAGAGACAACCUCUUUGGUGGAGGAAGCCAAAGUAUAUGGCAGGAAAACAGAAAAGAAGGAAAUUGUUGAAUUGUUGUUGAAGGAUGAUUCAAGAAAUGAUGGUGGAUUCUCUGUUAUUCCUAUUAUAGGUAUGGGCGGGCUGGGUAAAACCACUCUUGCUCAGCUUGUCUACAAUGAUAAGCAGGUGGAGGAUCAUUUUAAUCUCAAGGCGUGGACUUGCGUCUCCGAUGAUUUUGAUGUUAGCAGGCUUACAAAAUCAAUCCUACUUUCAAUUGCUCCUGGCCAGAAUGUGGAUAAUCACGACUUAAAUAAGCUUCAAGUGGACCUAAAGAAACAACUAUUUGGAAAGAAAUUUUUGCUUGUUUUAGAUGACGUUUGGAAUGAGAAUUACACUGAUUGGGUUCACCUCAGCCUUCCAUUUCAAGCUGGCGCACAGGGAAGUAAGAUUGUUGUCACCACUCGCAAUGAAGAGGUUGCCAAAAUCAUGAGCCUGGAUCAAGCUUAUGAACUCAAAAGCUUGUCAACUGAGGACUGUCUGUCUGUGUUCGCUCAGCACUCUUUGGGGACAACAGAUUUCAGUUCACAUAAGUCAUUGGAGGACAUUGGCAAGAAUAUAGUGAUCAAAUGCAACGGCUUGCCCUUAGCUGCGAAAACUCUUGGUGGACUCUUACGUGGUAAACGUGACCGAAGUGAUUGGGAAGAUGUGCUCAGUUGCAAGAUAUGGGAUUUACCAGAAGAGAGAUGUGACAUUAUACCUGCGCUUAGAGUGAGCUACUAUUAUCUUUCGGCACCUUUGAAACAGUGCUUUGCAUACUGCUCAUUGUUUCCAAAGGAUUAUGAAUUUGAAGAGGAGGAGAUAAUUUUAUUAUGGUGUGCUNNNNNNNNNNNNNNNNNNNNNNNNNNNNNNNNNNNNNNNNNNNNNNNNNNNNNNNNNNNNNNNNNNNNNNNNNNNNNNNNNNNNNNNNNNNNNNNNNNNNNNNNNNNNNNNNNNNNNNNNNNNNNNNNNNNNNNNNNNNNNNNNNNNNNNNNNNNNNNNNNNNNNNNNNNNNNNNNNNNNNNNNNNNNNNNNNNNNNNNNNNNNNNNNNNNNNNNNNNNNNNNNNNNNNNNNNNNNNNNNNNNCUGUUAUUCCUAUUAUAGGUAUGGGCGGGCUGGGUAAAACCACUCUUGCUCAGCUUGUCUACAAUGAUAAGCAGGUGGAGGAUCAUUUUAAUCUCAAGGCGUGGACUUGCGUCUCCGAUGAUUUUGAUGUUAGCAGGCUUACAAAAUCAAUCCUACUUUCAAUUGCUAGUGACCAGAAUGUGGAUAAUCACGACUUGAAUAAGCUUCAAGAGGAGCUAAAGAAACAACUAUUUGGAAAGAAAUUUUUGCUUGUUUUAGAUGACGUUUGGAAUGAGAAUUACACUGAUUGGGUUCACCUCAGCCUUCCAUUUCAAGCUGGCGCACAGGGAAGUAAGAUUGUUGUCACCACUCGCAAUGAAGAGGUUGCCAAAAUCAUGAGCCUGGAUCAAGCUUAUGAACUCAAAAGCUUGUCAACUGAGGACUGUCUGUCUGUGUUCGCUCAGCACUCUUUGGGGACAACAGAUUUCAGUUCACAUAAGUCAUUGGAGGACAUUGGCAAGAAUAUAGUGAUCAAAUGCAACGGCUUGCCCUUAGCUGCGAAAACUCUUGGUGGACUCUUACGUGGUAAACGUGACCGAAGUGAUUGGGAAGAUGUGCUCAGUUGCAAGAUAUGGGAUUUACCAGAAGAGAGAUGUGACAUUAUACCUGCGCUUAGAGUGAGCUACUAUUAUCUCUCAGCACCUUUGAAACAGUGCUUUGCAUACUGCUCAUUGUUUCCAAAGGAUUAUGAAUUUGAAGAGGAGGAGAUAAUUUUAUUAUGGUGUGCUGUGGGUCUCUUGGAUCACGGAGAGGGGGGGCAUCCUAGUGAAGAUCUAGGUUGAAAGUUCUUUCGAGAGCUAUGUUCAAGAUCUUUCUUCCAGCAAUCAAGCAACAGUAUAUCACGAUUUGUGAUGCACGACCUUAUCAGCGACCUUGCUCAAUGGGCUGCGGGGGAGAUAUACUUCACAAUGGAGUAUACCUUGGAGGUUAACAAGCAACAAGGCUUUUCCAAAAAUCUUCGUCACCUGUCAUACAUUCCUGGAUAUGGUGAUGGUGUUAAAAGGUUUGAGGACUUGUACGAUAUCCAACAUUUGCGAACAUUUUUACCAGUAAAGCUGUCAAAUCGUUCGCGUGGAUACUUGGCUCAUAGCAUUCUUCCCAAGUUGUUCAAACUCCAACGCUUGAGGGUCUUCUCCUUGUUUGGAUACCGCAUCUAUGAGCUACCAAAUUCAGUAGGUGAUUUACAAUUUGCACAGUCUUAACCUAUCUGGAACUGAAAUUAGAACUCUGCCUGAAUCAGUCAACAAGCUUUACAAUUUGCACAGUCUUUCGUUGGAGGACUGUCGGAAACUGAAGAAGUUGUGUGCAGAAAUGGGAAACCUCAUCAAAUUGCAUCAUCUUAAAAAUUCAAAUACAGAUUCCUUGGAGGAAAUGCCACUAGGAAUUGGUAAUUUGACUUGUCUUCAAACGUUGUGUAAUUUUGUUGUGGCAAAAGACAGUGGUUCCGGGUUAAGAGAGCUGAAGUCGUUGACGCAUCUUAAGAGGACACUUAAAAUUUCAAAAUUGGAGAAUGUAAAAUGCGUUGGUGAUGCCAUGGAGGCUCAAAUGGAUGGNNNNNNNNNNNNNNNNNNNNNNNNNNNNNNNNNNNNNNNNNNNNNNNNNNNNNNNNNNNNNNNNNNNNNNNNNNNNNNNNNNNNNNNNNNNNNNNNNNNNNNNNNNNNNNNNNNNNNNNNNNNNNNNNNNNNNNNNNNNNNNNNNNNNNNNNNNNNNNNNNNNNNNNNNNNNNNNNNNNNNNNNNNNNNNNNNNNNNNNNNNNNNNNNNNNNNNNNNNNNNNNNNNNNNNNNNNNNNNNNNNNNNNNNNNNNNNNNNNNNNNNNNNNNNNNNNNNNNNNNNNNNNNNNNNNNNNNNNNNNNNNNNNNNNNNNNNNNNNNNNNNNNNNNNNNNNNNNNNNNNNNNNNNNNNNNNNNNNNNNNNNNNNNNNNNNNNNNNNNNNNNNNNNNNNNNNNNNNNNNNNNNNNNNNNNNNNNNNNNNNNNNNNNNNNNNNNNNNNNNNNNNNNNNNNNNNNNNNNNNNNNNNNNNNNNNCGAAUCCGGCUUACCGGAUUCCAAAUCCGGCAGACCGGAUAGGCAAAAUUUUGAAUUUUGCCUUAACGGUCACAAAAAUCCGGCUUACCGGAUUCCAUAAACGGCAGACCGGAUUCCCCAGAAAUGUGAGUAACGGCUAGUUUUCGAGCUCAAACUAUAAGAACUCCAAUCCAACUCAUUUUGAAGCUCUCCAACAAGCAAGAACAAAAAGCACACGUGAUAUCUUGAGCCUUCAACUUGUAAAACACAAUUCAUUGAAUCAUUCAUUGUUCUUCAUCUUUGAAUAUCUACUCAUUGAGUGAGUUUUAUUGUAAUCUUCAUUUCUUCAUUUCAUUUGUAAGAACUUGAGUGUGUGAGACACUUGAGUGAAGAGAUUGGGAGAUAAUCUCUUCGUUGUAAAGGUUUAUUGACACCUCGAAGUCAAUUGUAUUUGUUGAAGCCUUGGAAAGGCUUGGAUAGUGAAAUCCUCAAGCGGGUGAGCUUGGAGGCGUGGACGUAGGCGGGGAUAGCCGAACCACGUAAAAAUCCUUGUGUUCGUUUUCUCUUCCCUUACUCUUUUAAUAUUGUGUUUCAUUGAAUUUAUUGUUUUCGAAUUGAUUAAGGCGAUAGAUUAAAUUGUUGUGCGAAUUAUAUUGCAUAAUUUUUAAAUUUCCAAUUCACCCCCCCUCUUGGGUUGCACACUUAUAUUUCAAUUGGUAUCAGAGCGAGGUGCUCUUGUGUAGACUUAAUCGUCUAGAGUUAAAGAUCAAUAGCAACCCAAAUUAGUUCAACUUUCAUGGAAGGACAAUCUAUCACUAGACCUCCAUUUUUCGAUGGAAAUGAUUAUCCUUAUUGGAAAACUAGGAUGAGAAUUUAUUUACAAGCUUUAGAUUAUGAAAUUUGGGAAGUUGUUUGUGAUGAUUUACUCAUUCCUAGGAAGAAUGCUUUAAGUGAAUUGGAUAAGAAAACUAUGUCUUUAAAUUCCAAGGCUAUGAACGCUUUAUUUUGUGCCUUAGAUAAAAAGGAAUUUCAUAGAGUUUCAAAUUGUUCUAAUGCUUAUGAAAUUUGGAGAAAACUUGAAAUUGUGUAUGAGGAGACUACGAGCGAGGAGGAAUUUCACGAAGUGUCGAAUUUGGCACUUAUGGCAAUUGGAGAUGAAUCGGAUGAUGAACUUGACGAGGUAAAUGAUCUUCCUACUUAUAAUGAAUUACAUGAUGCGUUUAAAGAAUUGUAUGAUGAGUGGAUGAAAAUUGGUAAAAAGAAUGCAUGUUUUAAGAAGAAAAUGCUAGAACUUACAAAUGAAAAGGAUACCAUGCAAAAAUGCAUUGAUUCAUUUAAUGAGAAGAUAAAGGAGUUAGAAUUAGAAAAUAAAACAUUGCAUGAUGAAGUUGCAUUAUCAAAUGAGAAAUUUAGCACUUCACAUGAGCAUCUAGAAUCAUAUGUAGAUGACUUGAAAAAUGAAAAUGAUGCUUUACAAAAAUGCAAUGAUUCAUUAAAUGAAAAGCUUAAAGGACUAGAGAUAGAUAAUAAAAUGUUGCAUGAUAGAAUUGCAUCAUUUAAAUAUCAACAAAGUAUUUCGUAUGAGCAUGAAAAAUCACAUGUUGAUAAAUUGAUGAAAGAAAAUGACGUGCUUAAGAAAAAGAGUAAUGAGCUCAAUGAAAUUGUUUUGAAAUUCACAAAUGGGCAAAAGAUGUUGGAUAACAUGCUUAAUUCACAAAAAUGUGUGUUUGAUAAAGGAGGACUUGGGUAUAAACCUUACUUGAAACAAAAAUAUUAUAAGAAUUAUUUUGUUAAGGCUACCUCCACAAAUGAUCAAAUUGUAUGUCAUUAUUGCAAUCAAAAUGGUCAUAUGAAGAAUAGAUGUCCAAUUAAAAGAAAUGUAUAUUAUGGAGUAAAAUGUAUUUGGGUUCCAAAAGGAACCAUUGCUAACACUCAAGGACCCAAGAGCAUUUGGGUACCAAAGGGCACAACGUGAGUAUUUUCUUUGUAGGUACCACAAUCAAGGAAUGGUGGAGAAGUUUCUUGAUGAAAGCUUGUGAGGAUAAUCACUUGAGCAUGAUCUAGGAGAAAAAGAUGAGGCAAGAUAAUUCAAUUAUUUUGGUAACAAUUAUUGCCAUAUUAAUUUUGUUGAAUGAAUCAUGAUAAAUGAAAUUGCGGAAGUAUGCUUGUAUGUUUACAUGAUGGAAUUAUCAUUGUGUGUAAUAUUGAGUGAUUUAUCAUGAUAGUUUUGCUUGAUGUUAAUGUUUAUGAAGUGUUUAAGCAUGAUAGUUAAGUGGUGUGUUUGAUUUAUUCACUUUUGAAUGCUUAUAUAUUUAAUCGUCGUUGAAAAUCCUGAGUCUGCACAUGCUGUAAUGAAUUGGUCAUAACUUCUUCUAGAGAACUCUAAAUCAAGCUCUGUAAAAUUUAUUGGAAAGUUAACUUAAUUAUCUUUCCAACGGUAUAUAGCUUGCACAUUACUUCUGGUUCAAUCAAUACAGUUUUUAUUUUGAAAUUGACCUUUCUGCAUGUUCUUAAGUUUUGAAUGCUUAUAUGCUUCAUGAUUGUAUGCUUGUUGGAUGCUUAUUGUUUCAUGACUGUGAUGAAUGAAUUAUAUGCAUGAAUUCUUGUGUUGUUAAUUGUGUUAUAUCAUCAUCCACUUAUAAAAUUAACAUCAUUCUUUGAUACGAUUUCAUAUGUUUAGUCUUGUAUGUAUAUAUGUUUCAUACACUAAUUGGCUUAUUGAAAAGUUAAAUGAUUUUUAGCAUUGAUCAAUUUCUAAGCCAAAAAUAAAUUUGUGUUUAUAAUACAAGUCUAAGAGCUUACAAAAUUUCAAAAAUAUUUUCCAAAGCUUAACCGGUUUAUCACUUCUAAUCAACCGGAAAGCUGUUUUUCAUUUUGGAGCUCUCGGGUUGAAAUUCGGAUAACCGGAUUUUCAAUCCGGAAAACCGGAUUUGCUAAGCUUCUUCUCUGCUUCAUAACCGGUCUACCGGUUCUUCAAUCCGGCAACCCGAAUUUGGAAGGCAACUCACUGCCUCACAACCGGUCUACCGGUUAGCAAAACCGGAAAGCCGAAUUUGUAGUGUUUCUUAAAACCGGCCAGCCGUUUAAGCAAACCGGCAAGCCGAAUUCAUGCUUCUCACUCUCGGGCCAAUAUCCGGCCAACCGGAUCACAAAUCCGGCAAGCCGUUUUCGGCUUUUAUGAUUCCAGUCACUAACCGGCUAACCGGUUAGGAAAUCCGGCAAGCCGGAUUCGUGAGCUUUUGUUUUGCUUCUUCUUCCUCUCUCGUGAGUUUUCUGCACUUGUUCUCUCCUUCACUCAAAACCGUGAGCUACCCAUCCAUUUUCACCUCCAUUUUCUUCACUUUUCAUCCAUUUUCAUGCCCAAAUCAAUCAUUCAAACUAAUACCCAUGCAUUUCAUCUUCAUUAAACACUUCUCCAUCAUGAUUUCUUCACUUGUUCUUCAUCAUUUCAUCAUCAUCUUCUCACGCGUGAAUAGUGCUUUAUCAUGAUACAUGGUUUUAUAUCUAAGAUGAUAACUUGUCAACUCAUCAUGAUAAAUUUGUUUUGAUUAUGUAAUGCAUAAGUAUGAUAAAUAAGUGAUAUGCUUUAAUUAUCAAUCUUUGAAUACUUACAUAUUUCAUGAUUGUGUGAUGUAUAUGCAUGAUAGAUAAGUUAUAUGUUAUUUCUUGCAUUAGAAGCGAUCAUGGUGGAUAAUUCGAAAAUCAUGCAUUUGAGAUUUUUUUUGUGAUGAUUUUGCCAUUGAGUAUAAAUUUUCAUCACCUAGAACUCCACAACAAAAUGGAGUUGUAGAGAGAAAUGAUAUGUUUAUUGAGUGUAUAACAAAAGAACUUUGAUUGUGAAAAAUUUAUACUUGUUAUAUUUGAUUAGUCUAAUUCUUCCUCUACGGAGAAAGUUGUUUUUGAUGAUAAUGUAGACGAAGAGCUACAAGAAGAUUAUCAAAUGAUAGCUAAAAGAAGGCACCACUUGAAAAUCAAGAGGAGCAGUAUAAAGAAACAAAUGCGAAGUAAAAUGAAGGUACUUCUCAAAUACUCCCCAAGGAGUGGAGGUAUGUUUCUUCUCACCUUAAGAACUUAAUUUUGGAAGAUCCAUCACAAGGUGUAACUACUAUAUCAUCACUUAAAAAUAUAUGUGAGCAUUUGUAAUAAUGGAUUUGAUCACUUGUUUUUUAGCUCAUAAUGAUGGCUUUUUAGUUGUGUUGAUUUUGAUGAUCUAUAAUGGCAUAUGUUGAUUUUGAUUAUCUAUAUGUUGCCAUUAUGUGCUUAUGUUUUUACUUAAGUUUUGAUGAUAAAGAAUGUGAUUGAUAAUUAUGGAGCUUGAAUAUUUGAUAAUAUGCAUGCCAAUUUGGUAAAGAAAUCAAAACCUUUUUGUGAAGAAGAAUUUUCAAAAAAAUUCGGCAUAAACUUGGAAUGAUUUGAUUUCUUGAUGAUUUUGGUAAUUGAUGAUUAUAUGUGCUUGAUUUGAAGUCUUGAUGAUUGAUAGGGGGAGACAAAUAUGAUAUGUUUUUGGAUAAAAUCAUUUUGGUUAAAAUUUUAAAUUGGCCAUAUAUUUAGGGGGAGCAUAUAAUAUGUUUUUGAAUAAUAUGCAUUUUGAACUUUUUUGUUGUCCAAAGGGGGAGAUAAAGUAAUAUCUCAUUUCGAUGUAGUCAAAAGGAGAAUAACAUGCAUUUUGAGUAAUUGUUUUGAUAAUUGAUAUUUGAUUAUGAUGAUGAUUUUGAGAUAUGAUGAUUUGAUUACAUGAGUGUUUUAUAUGAUGAUGAUAAUUUGGAUGUGAUAUUACUAAUCUUAUAUUUGAGGUGAUGCUUGUUGUUAGGGGGAGAUUUUGUCGAAAUUUCUAUUCGAACAACAUGGGUAACAAAUUUCCUACUCUUAUUCUUUUCCUUUACGUUUUCUUUUUUAUGAUGAAGGGAGAGAAGAAUACAUGUUUUCAAAUUUAUAAAAAAAAAAUUUGCUAUUUUUUUGCCAAUUGAGUUUUUUCUUUUUGAUGAUGAGGGGGAGAAAAAUCUAUGUAUUUAAAUCAUUAAUUUAGCUAAUUGGCAAAUUGUAAAAGAAGAUUUGGACUUGCAGUACCGAUGGUUCAUCUUCAAGGGAGGCAGAAACUGAAAUGGGCGUGCUUGACAUGCUAAAACCUCAUACAAAUCUGGAGCAAUUUUGUAUCAAAGGCUAUGGAGGUAUGAAAUUUCUGUUAACAUAUAUGUUUCCAUAAUAUUGAUUUUGAUGAUAACAAACAAGAUUAAGAAUGAUUAAUUUUUAAGUUUAAAUUAUUAAAUAUUCUUUUUAAAUAAAUCAUUAUUUUCACAUUAUAAAUGUUUCAUAUUUAAUGGAAAAAUGAUUUUAUGAAAUUGGUUGUUUUUCAAAGUUUAUGGUUUAAUUGAAAGUAUUUUGAAAACUUUGAAAUAAAUAAGUAUUGCUUGAAAUUUUGGUGAAUGACUUAUUUGAAAAGUGUCAUAGCAUUUUGGGCUAUAACAUAAUUUCAGAAAGUUUUGGGAUUAACAAAGCAUUACUUAGAAAUUCUAAAAUUGGACAUAUUUGUAAAGUUUCAUAACAUUUUGGGCCGUAGUACAGUUUGAUAAAGUUUUAGGGUCAAACUAUAAUUUUGGAAAAUAGUNNNNNNNNNNNNNNNNNNNNNNNNNNNNNNNNNNNNNNNNNNNNNNNNNNNNNNNNNNNNNNNNNNNNNNNNNNNNNNNNNNNNNNNNNNNNNNNNNNNNNNNNNNNNNNNNNNNNNNNNNNNNNNNNNNNNNNNNNNNNNNNNNNNNNNNNNNNNNNNNNNNNNNNNNNNNNNNNNNNNNNNNNNNNNNNNNNNNNNNNNNNNNNNNNNNNNNNNNNNNNNNNNNNNNNNNNNNNNNNNNNNNNNNNNNNNNNNNNNNNNNNNNNNNNNNNNNNNNNNNNNNNNNNNNNNNNNNNNNNNNNNNNNNNNNNNNNNNNNNNNNNNNNNNNNNNNNNNNNNNNNNNNNNNNNNNNNNNNNNNNNNNNNNNNNNNNNNNNNNNNNNNNNNNNNNNNNNNNNNNNNNNNNNNNNNNNNNNNNNNNNNNNNNNNNNNNNNNNNNNNNNNNNNNNNNNNNNNNNNNNNNNNNNNNNNNNNNNNNNNNNNNNNNNNNNNNNNNNNNNNNNNNNNNNNNNNNNNNNNNNNNNNNNNNNNNNNNNNNNNNNNNNNNNNNNNNNNNNNNNNNNNNNNNNNNNNNNNNNNNNNNNNNNNNNNNNNNNNNNNNNNNNNNNNNNNNNNNNNNNNNNNNNNNNNNNNNNNNNNNNNNNNNNNNNNNNNNNNNNNNNNNNNNNNNNNNNNNNNNNNNNNNNNNNNNNNNNNNNNNNNNNGUUGAAGCCUUGGAAAGGCUUGGAUAGUGAAAUCCUCAAGCGGGUGAGCUUGGAGGCGUGGACGUAGGCGGGGAUAGCCGAACCACGUAAAAAUCCUUGUGUUCGUUUUCUCUUCCCUUACUCUUUUAAUAUUGUGUUUCAUUGAAUUUAUUGUUUUCGAAUUGAUUAAGGCGAUAGAUUAAAUUGUUGUGCGAAUUAUAUUGCAUAAUUUUUAAAUUUCCAAUUCACCCCCCUCUUGGGUUGCACACUUAUAUUUCAAUUUCCAACUUGGUUGGGAGAUUCCUUGUUCUCAAAUUUAGUGACCUUAAAUUUUGAAAAUUGUGGCACGUGUACGACCCUUCCGUCAGUCGGGCAACUACCCUCUUUAAAGCAUCUUGCAGUAAGUGGAAUGACUAGUGUAAAGAGGUUGGGUUCAGAGUUCUAUGGGAAUGAUUCUCCAAUUCCUUUUCCAUGCUUGGAGACUCUUCUUUUUGAAAACAUGCGAGAAUGGGAAGACUGGAUUUCCCAUGGAUCCAGUCAAGGAGUUGUUGAAGGGUUUCCUAAAUUGAGAGAGCUUCACAUUUUAAGAUGUUCUAAAUUGAAAGGAACAUUUCCAGAGCACCUUCCUGCAUUGGAGAUUUAUGUUAUUAAAGGAUGUGAAGAAUUGUCAGUUUUAGUUUCGAGUCUUCCAGCUCUUUGCAAAUUACAGAUUGGUGGAUGUAAAAAGGUUGUGUGGAGAAGUGCAACUGAUCAUCUCGGCUCACAGAAUUCAGUGGUUUGUAGAGAUACAUCAAAUCAAGUGUUUCUCGCAGGGCCAUUAAAGCCGCGACUGCCAAAAUUGGAAGAAUUGAAGAUAAAUGAUAUGAAAGAGCAGACAUAUAUAUGGAAGAGUCAUAACGAAUUGCUGCAAGACAUUUGCUCUCUCAGAAGACUGACGAUUACAAGCUGUCCCAAACUUCAAUCCUUGGUGGCGGAGGAAGAGAAAGACCAACAACAGCAGCUCUGCGAGUUGUCGUGCAGACUCGAAUAUAUAGAAUUGAGCGAAUGCGAAGGCCUUGUGAAGCUGCCACAAUCAUCUCUCAGCCUCAGCUCCUUGAGAUAUAUAGAAAUCUACAAGUGCAGUUCCCUUGUUUCCUUUCCUGAGGUUGCUCUGCCUUCCAAGUUGAGGGAAAUUAAUAUUUGGCAUUGUGAUGCACUGAAAUCGUUACCGGAGGCAUGGAUGUGCGACACCAAUUCCUCUCUCGAGAUCUUGGAGAUUUGGAGUUGCCGUUCGUUGACAUAUCUUGCUGCAGUCCAGCUACCACGGAGCCUUAAGAGGUUGGACAUCCAGUGUUGCAGUAACAUAAGGACUUUGACAAUGGAAGAGGGCAUCCAGAGUAGCAGCAGCAGCAGCAGCAGAAGGUACACUUCAUAUCUUCUUGAGGAAUUGUGUAUUAGCAGUUGUCGAUCACUGACAAGUAUAUUUUCAAAAAACGAGUUAUCUGCCACGCUUGAGUCCCUUGAAGUUGGCAAUCUACCUCCGUCUCUUAAGUCCCUUCGUGUUCAGGGUUGUUCAAAGCUGGAGUCAAUAGCAGAAACGUUGGACAACAGCACAUCUCUUGAAACAAUCCACAUUUUUUAUUGUGAAAAUAUGAAAAUUUUACCGAGUGGUUUACAUAAUCUCCGCCAGCUUCAAGAGAUUAGCAUAGAGGGAUGUGGAAAUCUGGAGUCUUUUCCCGAAGGGGGAUUGCCUUGUGCGAAACUAAAGGAGGUCGUUAUCCGUUGGUGUGGGAGACUAGAGGCCUUACCCAAGGGAUUGCACAAUCUGAAGUCUCUUCAAAAAUUAACAAUAGGAAAAGGAGGCCUUGAAGAAGAUGGCCUUCCCACUAACCUUCAUUCACUUGAUAUUCGGGGUAAUAUGGAGAUUUGGAAGUCAAUGAUUGAGUGGGGCCAGGGAUUCCACAGAUUCUCCUCUCUGCGAGAACUUAGAAUCGAAGGAUGUGAUGACGACAUGGUGUCGUUCCCACCGGAGGACAUAAGAAUGGGGACCACGCUUCCUCUUCCUACCUCUCUAACAUCUCUGGCGAUUUUCAGUUUUCCAAAUCUGGAACGCCUAUCUUCUUCAAUUGUUGAUCUUCAAAACCUCACUUCAUUGUAUCUCGUGGGUUGUCCCAAGCUCAAAUACUUUCCGGAGAAGGGCCUGCCUUCCUCACUUUUGGAAUUAUGGAUCGGGGGAUGUCCGUUGAUAGAAGAGAAGUGCAGAAAGGAUGGAGGACAAUAUUUUUAUUCUUUAUUUUACUAUUUAUAAUUGGUCCCACAAAAGAAUAUUUUAUUAUUUGUUAUCGGUCCCACCAAAGAAAAAUUUGAUAAGUGAACGCGUUUUCUGUCGUCCCUUCGUCGGCUUUCGUUCGUUCUCAGUUUCCACUAUCAUUUUUUUCGUUUUUUAUUCUUUUUUUUACUAUUUAUAGUCGGUCCCACAAAAGAAUUUUUCAUUUUUUCCAAUUGUUCAAUGGUGCUUGGUCCACCCAUGUCCAGUUCGUCAAGCAGACAAGCACAAACGCGUGAAGCUUGCUAAAUUAUUUUCUUUUCACUUUUGUGGUGGGUUUUGUUUAAUGGGAAAU